UGGCAGAGGAUGAAAACAACGUCAAAGCGCUAUUUAGGCGAGGAAAAGCCAGAGCAGAGCUUGGGCAGACAGAUGCGGCGCGGGAAGACUUUCUAAAGGCGCACAAAUUUGCACCUCAAGACAAAGCUAUUGCAAGAGAGUUACGUCUGCUUAUUGAACACGACAAGGCUGUUUAUCAGAAACAAAAAGAAAUCUACAAGGGAAUUUUCGGACCAACCCCAGAACCUAAACCCAAACGGGAUAAUUGGUUGAUCAUCUUUUGGCACUGGCUGUUGUCGUUGAUCUAUCGUCUCUUCAGGCGCGACAGGCAUAAAGCUGAGUAGUCAAAGAACUUAAGCUCUUGAAUUGUAUGAUAAAUGAAGAAAUUUGUGUAUUGAACUUGCUAAUAAACAAGACUAUGAAAUGUGACCCUGAAGGUUCACUCAUUUAGCCGGGGACGAAGAUACGGUGAUCAGAUUAAAGUCUAGGGGUAAUCUAUAAUGGGUAGAAUCUGGGGCUGUAAUGGAAUUUCAUACAAACUAAGUGUUGAUGUUUUUUUUUCAAACUUUACCUACAUGUUAUCAUAGCAUCUCUCAUUUAAAAAAAAUAAAAGAACUCACAUUUUCCCUUUUCCAUUUAUAUUUACAAAUGGCAGACAUUCUUACAAAGGCUCUACCGAUUGACAAGUUCUUGUAUUUCAAAGCAAUGCUCGGAGUAAAAUCAGCUGCAAGCUUAGGAGGGAGUGUUGAUGUCUAAUAAGCUUUGUAGCCAUGUUCAUGAAGAAAAAGGAUGCUUGAUCCAUUUAGGAAGCUUUAUAUUUCAGUUGUAAUGCUUUGUAAAUGAACGACCAAGAUUAGAAAGGGUCAUGAUGAGUAGCAUCUACCGAUCACUCACUUAAUUGACCCAUGUGCAUUGCACAUGUUUAAUUUUGUUUGUCUGGUAGUGGUGGAGGUCCAACGGCUAUAUGCUUAUAGCCUCUCACACCCAUUUGAUGCUUGAAUUCCUUCACCGAGAAUUAAGGAAGUGGAGUAACUACUCCGUCGUCUUCAACGUCUCUCACUCUCCAUUGAUCGCUGCAAUUUCUCAUUUCAAUUCCUUGUUGAAGUUUAUUGCAGCAUAAACCACCCUAAAACACCUAAAAAUACAGAAUCUAACAUUCACAACAUCCACAUGUAAGAGAAGCAGCUUGUUGAUUAGUUUUGGUCAUGAGGCAUUGCUUAGUUAUAGUGAGAUAUCAAUUAGUUCAGGAAUAAGUUGGUGUUGCAAAAAUAAUUUCAUUGUAUCCAGCCAUCAUUUCAAAUACAAACUUAAAAAAAAGAAGGCUUUUUAGCCAAAAUGGUUUCUGAGAUUUGCAUAACCCUUCACUUUGAUCCCUGACAUUUGAAAUCAAUAGAAGUGGUCUCUGAGUUUGUCCACUAUCAAUCAUUUUGGUUAUUCCUUUAAAAAUCUCUAUUAAAUAAAGAUAAAAUGACAAAAAGACCCUCAAUUUUUGUGAAAUCAUUUUGGCCCAUUGUUUAUUAAAUUGAGGGUAUUUUUGUCAUUUGGUCCUUAAUUUUUCAAGGAAUGACUAAAAUGAUUGAUGGUGGACAAACUUAGGGACCACUUCUAUUGAUUUCAAAUCUCAAGAACCAAAAUGAUGAGUUAUGCAAAUAUCAGGGACCAUUUUGGCUAAAAAGCCAAAAAAAGUUAUUUGCUCUAAUGUUGCCUCCCUCUAAUGACAUUACAGGUCCAUCGUCUUACCUUUCAAUUCUUCAUGAUUUAAUAGAAGUCAAGAACGAAAUCAAAAUAAAUAAAAAUUAGUAGGAAUUAAUUUAUCAUUUUAGGGCGUGUUUGUUUGCACUCACUAAGUAUCACUGGAUUGGACUGGCUUACUAAGAAUAUUAAUCCCGUGUUUGGUGCGAGCCAGGAUUGUGUUUAAUGGGACUACGUCGGACUCGUGCCGACUACACUCUUCACUAACCGGUCUUAGCGAGACCGCCCAAAAAGGAUGGGAUUGCUAAGACCAUCGCUUCGCUUCGUCUGCUUAGUCUUCGUCUUCCUCAACUCACUUUGUCUUUGUCUUCCUCAACUUGCUUCUUCUUUUAGAUCCCGCACCAACCGUCGCGCCCUACUCGAGUUUGCCAAGAGCUUCGCCCGGAAGAUGCGCCAGCAAGUUUGUCUCUUUCUUCUGCAAUAUUGAUUGAAGUUGAUUUCGUGAGGUCAAUUGAAAUGAAUUUGCAGAUCCGACGAUCCGACAAAGCCUCUGCAAAUUUAAAAAAAAAUGGGGAUUUUUCUGGGUUUGAUUUGAAGAGAAAGUUAGUAAAUUAAAAGAAGAAAAAUAUAGGUUUGAAUUCAAGAGAGCAAAUGCAAAGAAGAAAAAAUGUGGGUUUUUUUUUUCUGGUUUGAGUUUUACUAGGAGCGAAUCUGGGCGUGAAGAACCAAAGCAAAUGAAUGAAGAAAAGAGAGAGACAGGGAGGAAGACGCAGGGAGACGCAGGGGGGAGGGGGGUGGAGAGAAAGAGAGUCAAAUAAAAAUAGUUGUAUUUUGUUUUGUUUUUUUUUUAAGAUAAAAAAUGUGUAUUAAUAAUAGUAAAAUGAAUUAAUGAAUGACAAAAGAAGUAUUUGAACUCUAAACACUCCACUAUUCUUAUCCAGCUUAGUCUAAGCCAAGUUAGGCUAACUUAGUCUCGAAAGUUAGUCUAAUCCGAGAUAGUCCGGUACAACAAACGUAUCCUGAAUCAUGUAUGUUUCUUUCAUUGGCAAGAAAAUUUGGUUUUUAUUUUUUUAUUGAGUCUCACUCUAAUCCAAUAUUAUUAAUUUUAAUAAUAUCUUUAAUAUAAAAAGUAAUUAAAAUAGAACAAUAAUGUAGUCCUAAUCUAAGCAAACAUCAAACUGGUAAAAGUAUUGUUUUAAUUAUCCUGCUUCUUAGUUCGACACUGCACCAAACGCUUCACUAAGCUAGUCCAACUUAGUCUAGUCUAAGUCAGUCCAGCUUAGUCUCUGCAACUAGUCUAGUUCGGAAUAGUCCGAUAUAACAAACGCACCCUUAGGGUUUACGGGGAGGAUGGCAUAAAGUCCUUUAUGCGAUUACCAUGUUGGAAAAGCUUGGUCUAUUGAGGUUAAGUUCCAUGGAGUGGGCUAUUACCAAUGUUGUAAAAACUUGGUAACACCCUUUUCGGCCACUUGUUAUGCUUCCAUGAGCAAGUUGGGGCGCAAGAUGGAACGAAAAGUUUAAGCGGCCCAACUUGGUCAUCACUCGAACUGUGAAACCAAAAAAAAAAAAAAAAAAAACUUGCAUAAAUUGAUUCAUCCUUAUUGGUAAGAUCCAAAAUUUUUAAAUCACCAUUCAUCCAUCAAAAAGAACUUGAUAAGCGUCUUAGGAUUUUAGCCAAAUAGAUCGUUAGAGAAAAAUUAUGUGAUGGUAAGAUUUAAUUGUUAGCUGUGGGUUUAUUGAUAAAUUUUAGAUGGGUAAAGUACAAAAAACUAUCUCAACUAUUGAUGUCACGACACUUUCAUACCUCAUCUUUUAAAAUUGACAAUGUCAUACCUCAUCUUAGGAAUUUGUGACAAUGUCAGACCCCCGUUAGUUUUUCUGUUAAUUUCUUUGUUAAAUGCUAACGUGGCCCGACACGUGUCCCACUCACUAAUCCAACUGGAUUAAAAAAUAAUAAAAUAUAUUUUUAAUAAUUAAAUAUUCAAAAAUUAAAAAAAUUAAAAAUUAAAAAACUAAAAAAAAAUUUAAAAAAUGGCCUAAGAUCCGGCCUUCCCUUCCACCCGCAGCACCAACCCUUUUUUUUUUUCUCUCUCUCUCUCUCUCUCCUCUUUCUUCCUCCUUCUUUCUGUAGCCAUUUUUUUUUCUUUUUCUUUUUCUUUUUCUUCCUCUUCUUUUUCUUCCUUCUCCUUCUUCUUUCUGGGUUGUUUGUUUGUUUUUUUUUUCUUCUUCUUCCUCCUUCGUUCUGGGUUGCAGUGUUUUUUUUCUUCUUCUUCCUCCUCCUCCUUCUUUCUGGGUUGCAACGUUUUUUUUUUCUUCUUAUUCCUCUUCUCUUCUUCUUCCUCCUCCUUCUUCUUUCUGGGUUGCAGCGUUUUUUUUUCCCUUCUUCCUCUUCUUCUUUUUCCUCCUCCUUCUUCUUUAUGGGUUACAACAUUUUUUUUUCCUUCUUCCUCUUCUUCUUCUUCAUUAUGGGUUGCAGGGGGUGGACCUGGUCGAGCGAGGCGCUAAGGCAGAGCUCCAUAGCGAGAGCUUGGAGAAGUGGGUCUGUGGCUGGUGGCGGUGGCGGUGGCGGGUAGGGGUGGUGGGUUUGGGUGUAGCAACAUGUAUUGUAAGAGCUUUUGCAGCAAAUGGCAGUGGUGGGAGGGGGAGAUGUUGGGGCGGGUGGGAUUUGGGUUUGGGGUGGUUCUGGUUUUGGGUUGGGGUUAGGGGAAGACGGGAAAGGGAAGAAAUGGUGAGGGGAUAAAGGUGCAUAGAGAGGGAGAUGAGAGAGAGAAGAGAGAGAGGAGAGAGAGGGGUCCCAACAUCCCUUUAGGCCAUUUUUUUUUAGUUUUUUAAUUUUUAAUUUUUGAAUAUUUAAUUAUUAAAAAUAUAUUUUAUUAUUUUUUAAUCCAGUUGGAUUAGUGGGUGGGACACGUGUCGGGCCACGUCAGCAUUUAACAGAGAAAUUAACAGAAAAACUGACGGAGGUCUGACAUUGUCACAAAUUCGUAAGAUGAGGUAUGACAUUGUCAAUUUUAAAAGAUGAGGUAUGAAAGUGUCAUGACACCAAUAAUUGAGGUAGUUUUUUGUACUUGAUAGUACUUUACACAUUUUUUUUUUUAGUCAAAGGUAAUUUACACAAUAGGGUAAAAAGACAAUUCACAUUUAAUAUUUAAAUUAGGUGUAAAGUGAGGUUAUAUGAGUUUAAAUAAAUUUUCCCAUAAAUAAUUUGGUAUUGGAGACCGAUGAAAUUGCAAAUGGAUUUAAAAAAGUUAACUUUUUUCAUACAUGUUCGUUUUGUUGUUUAUUAUUAUGGGAACUGUUAUUAGCACUCCAAAAAUUUUCUUUUACACUUUUCACGAGUGUGUUUUUCUUUAUAAUUAUAAAAAAAAUUAAAGUACAAAAUGAAAAUUUUCAAGUGCUAAUAAUAAUUCCCAUCGCAAUCUUAGUUGAUAUUGAUGUAACUUUAAUGCUUUUUGCGGAUAGCUAACUAUAGUUAAGUUGUUUGUGCGAGACAUUCUUUUUCCUUCGACCGGGUUGAAUUCCCCGGCAAGAUUUGUUAUCGAAUCUCUUUUAUGCACACUAUCCUCUUACUUUGUACGUAUUCUCCUCUUUAAUGAAUAUCCUACUUAUUUCAAAAAUUCCCAUUAUUAUUCCAGCUUCUCCUCUUUAUUUUAUGCAUGGAAUGAUGAUGUAUGAGUGGUUGGAUGAAACUAUUAAUUCAUAAUAAAUUGUCGGUGGCGUUGGUUCUGGUCAAAUUAUUUUAAUGUUUCACCCACCAAGCCGGCAUUAAUAAUAUAGUGACAAUUCUUUUGUUUUUAUCCACAGAAUGCUGCAUGAGUGGUUGGAUGAGAGGGGCAUAUAAAGACUAGCAGAAGGAGCCAUCUUUCACUACGCAAAACCAUAUUCUCGGUUACAAGCUUCUACUUUAAUUCACUUCAUUUGUGUUUUACCUUGUCCUGAAUACAAGAAAUGGCGGAAGGAGUUCUUUUCAACAUUGCAGAAGGGAUCAUCGGAAGGCUAGGCUCCCUUGCUUUCCAAGAGAUUGGAUUGAUUUGGGGUGUCCAAGAUGAGUUCCAAAAGCUCAAGGAGACAGUUGCCGGAUUCCAAGCUGUUCUUCUUGACGCUGAGCAAAAGCAAGCCAACAAUGAAGUCAAACUGUGGCUGGAAUGCGUAGAAGAUGCAGUUUAUGAAGCCGAUGACGUGUUGGAUGAGUUUAAUACUGAAGUUCAGCGGAGACGUAAUACUAAGGUGUUAAAAAAGGUACGCAUGUUCUUCUCUUGCUCAAAUCAACUUGCUUUUGGGCUAAAGAUGUGUCAUAAGAUAAAAGAUAUUAACAAGUGGCUUAGUGCAGUUGCAUCUAGUAGAACCUUUUUAUAGUCACAUGAGCCUAUUGAUAUCCACCUAUUAGGAAUACAAUAGGUCUCUCAAUAACUCAUAAUUAACUGCAAUAAAUCCUAUACAUUAUUGUUUAGAAUGUUUCAUAUAACUUACCAUUACAAAACUAUAUUAACUUAAUAAUACAGUUCUAUUGAAAUAAUGAUUGUGUUUACUCAAAUUCUUGCAUGUGCGCAUCUUCUUUUCUAGCUCAAAUCAACUUGUUUUUGGGCUAAAGAUGGAUCAUAAGAUAAAAGAUAUGAAUAAUUAGGAUCCGAUCCCUAAUCACCAAUGUUUAUUAAUUGAAACAUUAUUGGUUUUAAAUUUUUUAUUGAAGUCCUUUGACUUAUGCCCACAUCAAAUUCUUAAAAUUAAUCAAAUUUUAUGUCAAAUUUUCCUUUUUAUUAAAAAAAACUCAUUAUUCAUUUCCUUUUAUGUCAUUUCAGUUUAGGAUAAUUGAUUAUGCACAUAAUUUAAGGGAUUUUAUUGCAACUAGAUAUCCCUAACAUCCUUUUAAUUUGAAAUUUAAAAAUGAAUUUUUAUACGUUCCAAUAGUUUCAUCUCGUUUUUCUUUUGACUGAAUUUAAUCCAUCUUUUAUCAUAAUCAUGGGUACGUACAUUAUAUUUCCUAGAACGCAUAUGGAUACACUUUCUUUUUUUGGGAAUAAUUAGGAUCCGAGUCCAAGUCACCAAUGUUUAAUUGUUUAUUGAUUGAAACAUUAUUGGUUUUAAAUUUUUUAUUGAAGUCCUUUGACUUGUGUCCACAUCAAAUUCUUAAAGUUAAUCAAACUCCAUGAUUUUCCUUUUCUUUAUUUAAAAAAACUCAUGUAUUCAUUUCCUUUUAUGUCAUUUCUGUUGAGGAUAAUUGAUUAUUUACAUAAUUUAAGGGAUUUUAUUGCAGCUAGAUAUCCCUAACAUCCUUUUAAUUUGAUAUUUAAAUGUGAAUUUUUAUACGUUCCAAUAGUUUCAUCUCAUUUUUCUUUUGACUGGAUUUAAUCCAUCUUUUAUCAUAAUCAUGGGUACAUUUUAUUUGCUAGAACGCAUAUGGAAACCCUUUUUUUCAAUCGAAUUGGGUACAUUCUUUUGAAAUUUAUAAUUACGUAUAAUUGUACUCAUCUAAUUAUAUGGGUACAUUCUUUUUAUAAAAAAAUAUUAGGGGUAUACACAUAUCAAAACAAUUUUCUUUUGGGAGGAUGUUGGAAUUGUACCAUAAUUUAUGUUUGCAACUGUAUGGGUACAUUCUUUUAACAAGUAACUACUAUUAUAUCAUCCGUAUCACUGUGAUAGGUACAAUUGCAAUUGUCUCCCAUAUAUAUGAGUUGAUUUUUUAGUCUCAUGUUUUCUAUGAGUUUAGAAUUUACCCACUUGAUUAUUAGUAGAUUAAUGUUGUGGUGGUUUCAAAUUUUACUAUUUUUAUACUUUUUUAUGUGUUUAGAAUGCACCCGCUUGAUUCAUGGUUUUAAUGUGUUUAGAGUGUACCCGCUUGAUUAUCAGUAGAUUAUUGUUUUGUUGGUUUCAUAUAGAAUAAUUAUUAUAAAAUUUGAGGUUCAUAAAUUAAGGAAUUUCAAAAAUAGAUAGUUGACAUGGAAAUACUUUAAUAGCAAUAUGAUGAGAUGUACAAAGUCAAAGGACAUUGAUAAAAAAUAAAAAUAAAACUAAUAAGGUUUCAGUCAAACAAUAUUGGUGAUUAGGGAUCGCAUCCAAAGUCUAUUGACUAAAAAGAUAUUGACGAGAGGCUUCAUGCUGUUGAAUCUCGUAGAACCUUUUUGUAGUCACAUAAGCUUAUUGAUAUCCACCUAUUAGGAAUACAAUAGAUCUCUAAAUAACUCAUAACUAACUGCAAUAAAUCUUCUACAUUAUUGUUUUGAAUGUUUCAUAUAACCUACCGUUACAAAACUCUAAUAACUUAAUUAAUACAAUUCUAUCUAAAUAAUGAUUAUGUCCACUCAAAUUCUUACAGGUGCGUCUUUUCUUUUCUAGCUCAAAUCAACUUGUUUUUGGGCUAAAGAUGGGUCAUAAGAUAAAAGAUAUUAACAAGAGGCUUACUGAGGUUGCAUCUCGUAGAACCUCUCUACCCUUAGAAGUAAAUCGUGAAGAUACACCAUUUAUAAUGAGAGAGAGGGUCACUCACUCAUUUAUCCCUAAGGAAAAUAUUAUUAUAGGGAGAGAUGAAGAUAAAAAGGCAAUAAUCCAACUUUUGUUGGAUCCCAUCUCAACUGAGAAUGUGUCAACCAUUUCCAUAGUUGGAUUUGGAGGAUUGGGGAAAACUGCACUUGCCCAACUGAUAUUCAACGAUGAGGAGAUUCAAAAUCAUUUUGAGUUGAAAAUAUGGACAUGUGUCUCUAACGUAUUUGAGUUGGAUAAAGUUGUAAAGAAAAUCCUUCAAUCCGAACAUAAUGGGAUAGAGCAGUUGCAAAAUGAUCUUAGAAAAAAAGUAGAUGGGAAGAAGUACCUACUUGUGUUGGAUGAUGUGUGGAAUGAGGAUCAGGAGAAAUGGCUUAGCUUGAAGUACUUGUUAAUGUGUGGUGGAAAAGGUAGUAGAAUACUAAUUACCACUCGCAGUGAAACCGUUGCGACAAUAUCAGACACAGCUAAACCAUACACCUUAAGGGGUUUGAAUAAAGAGCAAAGUUGGUAUUUAUUUAAGAAAAUGGCUUUUAAAGAUGGAAAAGAGCCAACAAAUUCAACAAUUAAGACAGUUGGGACGGAGGUUGCAAGAAAAUGUCAGGGAGUUCCACUUGCUAUUCGGACGAUAGGUGGGAUGUUGCACACCAAACUUCACGAAAUAGAAUGGUUGAAUUUCAAAGAAAAGAAACUUUCAAAAAUAAGCCAGAAAGAAAAUGAUAUUUUACCAACACUUAAACUAAGUUAUGAUGUGCUCCCAUCACAUUUGAAACAUUGUUUUGCUUAUUGUAGCUUGUUCCCACCUGAUUAUAAGAUCUCUGUACAGAGAUUGAUUAGACUUUGGGUGGCGCAAGGGUUCAUUAAGUCAUCUGAUGAAAACGAGUGUUUGGAGGAUGUUGCGUUUGGAUAUUACAGGGAAUUGUUGUGUAGAUCGUUUUUUCAAGAAGAAGAAGAAGACGAGUCUGGUAGAAUAGAAAGUUGUAAAAUGCACGAUCUCAUGAAUGAACUUGCAAUCUUAGUGUCGGGGGUUGGAAGCGCCGUAGUUGAUCUUAACCAAAAGAAUUUUCAUGAAAAGCUUCAUCAUGUGUCUUUCAAUUUUAAGGUUGAUCCGUUGGAAUGGGAAGUUCCAACUUCUUUGCUAAAUGCAAAAAGGAUACGAACUUUUCUUCUUCCUUGCCAAGAGUAUUCGAUUGAUAAAGAUGGGUCAUUAUGUAAUUCAUUUUGUGCUACAAUUGUUUCAAAUUUCAAGUCAUUGCGUAUGUUGAGUCUCAACAGAUUAGGAAUUAUAACAUUACCUAAUUGUCUUAAAAAAGUGAAACAUUUGAGGUAUCUUGAUCUUUGUGAUAAUCCCAUGGAGAGACUUCCGGAUUGGAUAGUUGGACUUUCGAAUUUGGAAACACUAGAUCUCACAGGCUGUAGUAAACUUGUGGAAUUGCCUAGAAACAUUAAAAAAAUGAUCAACUUAAGGCAUCUCAUCUUGGAAGGCUGUUGGAAGUUGACUCGAAUGCCACGUGGAUUGGGUGAGCUGACUGGUCUUCGUACAUUGAAUAAUUUUGUUUUGAGCGAAAACAAUUCCAUGUUGAGAGACAGUGCUAGUCUUGGUGAACUGGGGAGGCUUAAGGAAUUAAGGGGACAAUUAUUUAUUUCCAAUUUGAGGCACGAGAAAGAUGUGAUGUCGGAGUCAAAUGGUGGUGCAUUACUGAAGGAGAAACAGCAUCUCCAUUCGUUGGGUUUAUUCUGGAAAAAGGGAGACGAUGUGAACGCGGUUGAUGAGGAGGAUAUUAUAAUGUCAAUGGAAGCAUUGCAACCCCAUUCUAAUCUAAAACAGUUGUUCGUGUCUGAUUAUGGUGGUGUGAGGUUUGCGAGUUGGUUUUCUUCUCUCAUUAAUAUUGUUCAUCUCACAUUGGUUUCCUGUGAGAGAUGCCAACAUCUUCCACCCUUGGAUAAUUUGCCUUCCCUUAAGAUUCUUGUACUUUCAAGGUUGAAGAAGUUGGAGUACAUAUCAGCGAAUGAGAGCAGUAAUAGUAAGAGUGAUGAGAUGAUGAGGAUGUCAUUCUUUCCCUCCCUGGAGUACCUCUGCUUAGAAAGCUGCCCUGUUCUGAAGGGAUGGUGGAGGGCGCACACUCAUGACAGUGCUUCUUCUUUUCCCUGUCUUUCUGAAUUGACUAUCAUGUCUUGUCCUAAUCUAACUUCCAUGCCCCUGUAUCCGAAUGUGGUUGCAAUACUUCUCGAUCAAACCAGCUCGAAGGUUGUUCCCUCCCUUGUUAGAGGAGCAUCUGAUAUUACACAUGAUGUUGGUAUUGAUGUUUCUGUCUCUUCUUCUUCCCCUCAUCUCUCCAAAUUAACACAUCUGACACUUUAUCGAAUUGAGGAUUUGGAAUGUAUAUCGUCGGAAGGGAUGGGGAACCUCAUAUCACUCCAAUCGUUUUCCAUUCAACAUUGCCCAAAUUUGGCAUCACUGCCAGAAGGGAUCGCCAGCCUCACAGCACUCCAAUCGCUUACGAUUGAAGAUUGCCCAAACUUGGCAGCAUUACCAGAAGGGAUCGUCGGCCUCACAGCACUCCAAUCGCUUACGAUUGAAGAUUGCCCAAACUUGGCAGCACUACCAGAAGGGAUCGCCGGCCUCACAUCACUCCAAAGGCUUACGAUUAAAGAUUGCCCAAAUUUGGCAUCACUGCCUGAAGGGAUUCGUUGACUUCGCUGUUUAAAUACAUUGCAAAUUUGGGACUGCCCCAUGUUAAGUUAAACAUGCAAGAAAGAAACAGGUAAGGACUGGCCUAAGAUUGCUCACAUUCCAGACAUUCAAUUGGUUCAGGUGUGUUUUCUAACUUGUUUGAAUUUACACUUGCCUAAUUCAAUAAACUAUGAAAUGUUCAAAUGCCAUUCUCGUUUCUUAAUUUUGUUCUUCUUUCAUCAUCACCAGCAUUUCUUUUCUUUUUUCAGAUGACAUACCAUGUGGAUCGAAAAUUUCGUCGUCCACAGUUUUGCUUUCUCACCCACUAACUUCCAAGUAUUUUUUUUUAAUUUCGUUCUUUUCUAUUAUGUAGUCUUAUAUGCAGUGAAUGGGGCGUCAACCCUUUGAAUUCAAUAUGUGAUGACUAUGUUGACUACUUAGAGUGGUUGUAUACGAUUUUGCUUUUGAUCGUUAGGGUUUAGAUACUAUGCCCCCCUGCUGUAUGUUUUCUUUUUAAAUAAUAUAAUAUGGGCGUGAGGGCCUAGCCCCCCAGCUUCGACUGGGUUCCAGCCCUCUUUAAAUAUUUCUUUUUAAUAUUUGUUGAUGUAUUGGAAGUGGAAUCACCUUUCUCACGUUAUAACAUACAAGUCGCAUAAUUAUACACAAACAAUGAUAAAAGAAAAUGACGUCUAUUAAUUGUCAAUGCACUGAAGUAACCAAAUAUUCUAAGACCGAAGGAACUCCAAAAUCUACUCUGGAUGCGGCUCCUGACACAAAUAUCUGCUCCAAAACCCGAAACUAAUCACAAUAAACGCUACAUUCUCAGUAAAGCAAAUAAACUGAUUAUGUUUUGUUUAGUCAAAAGGAAAUUCAAGACAACCAUUACAAAACAAAAAUAUUUGUUGUGUUUUCUAAGUCCUCUCUCUAUAAACAAAAAUAAAAAAUAAAAUGGAUGGAGUGGAGUGGAGUGGAAGCAGAGGAAGAGACUGACCUCCGACAAGGGCGACCGUCAAAAGAGCUUCCCAGAGCAACAUGAUCUCGCUGCCAUGAUAACCUUUGUACACAGGCAAUUCUAAAACCAUAAGAUACCUAAAACAAACUUACUGAUAUAACAGAAUGGUUACACCCAAAGUUAUUUAAUUCAAACACCUAACUCAAACCAUAAGCACCAUGAUAAUCCUCAAACCCGGUAAAGAGUGUAUUCUCACAGUUGUAGAAUCCCAAAGCCACGCUUGAAAUGUCUGAAGUUGCAAAAGAUAGCAUCAUCCACCUAAACAUAUUGCAAAUGAAAAAUGUUUUAGCUCCUAAAUCCAAACAGCAAAAGAAAAAACACAGAAAAUUAAGUAAACAAAAUGGAACUGAACUUGCACAGCUCGCUUCUCAAAUUCACGAAAUGUUGCUAGAAUGUCGUAGUUGCGCGUCAAAUUCAUCAGGUAAUUUCUGUUGCCAACGAUUUUCUAUCAAAUGAAUUCAUUUUGUAUUCAAAUUCUGAGUAAUUAAUAAUAAGAAGGAUACCAUGAAUUUUAUUUACCUAAAUCUUGUAAUUAAUAAUAAGAAAAAUAUCAUGAAUUUCAUUUUGGGAAGCUGCUUUUAGCUUUAGUAGCUUCAUUUGAGAACGCAAAUAUGGCAUACCAAUUCUAUAUUUCUAAUCAGAAGAUGUUAAAUUUUUUUUUAGUCGUCUUCAAUUUGUGGCACUUCAUUCUCAAUAAAGAACAUUUCACAAAAUUCCAUAUCUAAUACAACAUCAAAGGACCGACUGAACAGGAAAACGACAUCAUUCAUUAUCCAGAUUGAAACAAAAAUCCCACUAAAAUGACUACUCAUAAGAAUCUCAUUCCACAAAACUUCUUCAGUCCAAGCCUAAACAACUGCAACCAAACAAAUCCCCAAGAUAUUUCAUCCACUGCCAUUAACAAAACCACAACCUAUAUCUUCCUUCAGCUAAGAUUAAAGCAAAAAUUGAAACCCUAAUCAUUCCCAAACAUGCUUUUGGAAUCAGAAUAGAAAGGAAACUUGAAAUUAGAGGAUCAUACAGAAUUCGACUGGGGAUUGGACUCGUGCUCGAAAUCGACCUCUUCCUUUUCCUUUUCAGAUUGAUCACCUAAUAGGUUCUGCAUCACCUGGUGCCACUUCUCCUCCCCCAUCGCUACUGCAGUGUGUUGCGGUCGGAGCCCUCAAACUACUGACAUUAAAUCGUUCAUUUGAUUAGAUCAAAGAAAAUAUCACCAUAGCAUCCUGCAAAUUUCAAGAAGUAUGUGUCGAAACAAAUCUGAAAAGAAUGAAAACCCUGUUAACCAAACACAUCAACAAUAACAUAAGCCUCACCACCAAUCCGACAUGGCAAAAUCCAGUCAACAAAACAAAAAAUACUCUGUAAUCCAUCAGCCAAUAUACAGCAAGUAGAAGCAACGCAAUUUUCUUUUUAAAAAAAAAAAAAAAAAACCAAAUCCGUAAUGAUCCGAACAGUUAAAAUUAGGGUUUGAUAACUAAUGCACCUAUUGCUAUUAGACUUUGAUCCCCGGGAAUUACUGGAUACUGUUGCUGAUGCCAUUGUGUUCAAGCCAAUGGAUUUCAACCCUUUUCGGCAAAACAUCACAAACUCCAUCAGAAAAAAUAUUCUCAAAGAUAAUGGGUGAGGGAAUUUCAUUUGAAUUGCCAGAGGAUGCUGUUGAAAAGAUCCUGACUGGAAUAUGGCUAGGCCGGACUGGCUUAGAGGAAUGGGCAGAAAAGGUUCUAGCUCCGAGCAUCCAGCAGCUUAAAUACCCAAAUUAAUAACCAAAUAAUCCAAAAUCAUACAAAAACCAAUGCUUUCAUAGAAAAAUCUCUAAAACCCACAAACCCCAAAAAAAAAACAAAACAAAAUCAUACAAAAAUCUCACCUUGCUCAAAAAUACUAAUUAAGAUUAAGGGAGCAAGAACACAUACAAACUUGGAAAUGUCAUACAAUCCAAACCCGAUUCCAAUAUUAGCCACAACGAAAUGAGGCUGUAUGGCCCAGCCAGAACCUUCUCGAUAACCUCCUUCACCGCAACAUGUCAAGUCCAACACAAAAAUUGAGUAACUGUGCGAGAAAAUUUGAGCUUGUGAUGGACUCUAAACCAAACCUUAGGCGAGGGGUGGAGAGAGAGGGCAGAGGCGAGCUUCGGGCGAGCAAGGAUUCGGCUGCAGAUUUGGUUCCAGGAUUUGCUAACGCACGCCGCUGAUACAAAGGAUAAGGCGGGUAGGUGCGAGAGGAUGUCGUCGAGAAGGUCGUCGUUUAGCAGAUGAUGCGAGGAGGGAGAGGGGAAGAAGCUGUGAAGAAGCAGAAGGCGAUGCGUAGUCGAAGCGGAGCAUCCCACGAUGAUUGACGCGUGGGCAGGCAGAAAGCAGACUUAAAUCAACCAACCUGAUUCUUAUACGACAUGACGUUUGUGUUUUCAAAAGUGAUUUCCGUCAUUCUUAUAAGCAUUUAAUUGAACUGACCAAAAGAGAAUCAAAGAACAAAAAGAAGCUUAGAAUGAGAAAACGGAAGUAAAAAUCAAACCACUUGGUUCCAAAAAUCAUAAAUAGGAGCACUGCUUUAUAACAUAAUAAAAGAGAUGAGGCAGUCUUACUGUACAGAUUCUGGUUAGUGGUUCAAUAAACAAAUACAACAGAAACUACCAUGAAAAAUACCCUAAUUGGAGCUAUAAACCACUACAUUGCAAGGAACAACAUAAAACUAUCAGCAUACGAGGUUACGGUUAGUCGCCACAUCGAAAACUCUUACAGGGACUCCUCUUCGUUUGCCAAUCACAAAGAAAGGUUCCGCUUCGUUGCUUCCAUUUUUAACAAAAGAUCCCUUAUAUCGGCUUCCAUUCUCAGCUUCAUAUUGGAGUAUUCACGAUGCGCUCGGUCUAGAGCUUGCAGUUCUUCAAGUUUCUUGCUGUUCUGCCUCGACUAAGCGCAACUUUGCUAUCCUGUUCCUAAAUUCUUCUUCAAUUUUUUCAUUCUUUGCCAUUGCUAUGCGUUUCAGCCCCUCAGCUUCUCUUCUUGCGUCAUCUGCUCGUGUUUGGAAUAUUUUUGCCUCGGCCUGCUUGAUCCUCACAAUGCUCUCCAGCUCAUCAAAAAGAGGUUCUUUUUGGGCACUUGUGUGCAACUCUGCGUCCAUAAUGCGUUUCUCAUGCUGAUCGUAGUUAAAACUGGGAUGAGUGUUAGCUGCAGUCUCCAACUGAGGGACCUUCUCAGCGUAUAUUGAUUUCAGCCACGCGGGUUCCUGGCUUGGCUCAACAAUUCCAUUGCUCGCUUUAAUUUGAUCCUUCUCCGAUAAGAUGGGUGUUUUGCCUAGCUUGGAACUGUCAGCAUCUGAAACAAAAGUGGAAGACUUAUUUAAAAACAGUACAGUUUCCAGUUAACUAAGCACAGUAUUACAACAGAGAACAAAAAGGCACAACUUUGAGACUCAAUAAGGGCUUGAGUUUUCUGCUUCGGGAUUUUGUACUCCUGCUAUGUCAUAAAUAUUCUCACAUCAGCACAAAAAAGCGGUUCAGAGACAUGGAUACGGAUGUAUUUAGGCCAGGCAUCAAACUGAAUCCCGAAAGCCAUAAUCCUAAGAACACGAAGCUUCAAGCAAGCCAAGCAAAUAAUGUAAGUUCUAUAGAGAGCAAACACUUGUUUAUCGUGUAAAAGUGUUUUGGAAUAAUAAGGAGACUAACAUUAGCUACGUGGAAUGGCUUUACAGAAAUUGUAUAAUAAGGAUAAUAGCCUCAAGCAAUCUCGAUAGAGCUAGGACUCUAUUAUCUGAUAUGUUUAUUAGGGUUUUCACGGUGAUAAAGAUAGUUUGAUAAGGAUUACAUAAUGGGAAGUGUCCUGAUGAACUCCAUCGUUUAUGGUAUAAAACUAGGGUCCCUGCGCUCUCACAAACACACAAGUUUUCAGAUACUCAAGCCCCAUUGAUUGAGCCUUGUAUUCGGUAGUGCAGAGUUGCAGAAGAAUCCUUUUAAUUCAAGCAGCAAUGUCUUCAUCAGGUAAGUGAUGAAGUUGGUAUCGUGAUUUAGUUUCUAUAAGUUAUACACUUACAGUUGGUAUCAGAGCCUUCACAUAUCAUCUUAAUCCUAUGUUGGAGGCAUCGAGAAUUUUUGUUUUCUUAUUGCUGUGCAGGUUACAGAACUGGUAACAUAUUAUCUGGGAAAAACAACACGAGUAUGUGAUGGCUAAGGCCAUUCUUAUUCGUGUGGGUUUUUCAUCUUAAUAUGUAUACCAAAAAUGGCACUUGAACACAAAUCGUGGACGCUGAUCUUCUAAAGAAGUUCAGAUGUUCAUAUUUAGUUUUUUGAGUGGCAUAUCAUUUUGGUAGCCAAUACAUGAAUACAACUAUCAUUGUCAGAUCAUAAAGAUCUAUAAUCAUAGUUAAAGAAAUUCAUGUAUCAGCUACAAAAGUGAUAUGAACAAAGAAAAUAAUCACAGCUUUCAUCAAUCUAAAGAAUGUUGAUUUUUGUGAUAUAUGGUUUGGGGAUAAGGAUUAAUAUUCGAAAGUUUUAUGCUUUGACAGCGUUGAACCCUAGCUCCAUGAACCUCAACACUGUUGAACCACUUACUUGUAUCAACUAUAAGAAAUGGAAACAGGAUCUAGAGAUCGUGCUGGGAGUCAUGGAUUGGGAUUUAGCACUCAGAACUGAAGAACCUCCUAUGCCGACAGAUGGGAGCACAUCCAGCCAACGGUCCAAGUAUGAAAAAUGGCAAAAAUCAAACAGGAUUUCCCCGAUGAUUAUCAAGAGGAGUAUGACCAAAGGCGGAGCCACAGUGGGGUCAAUGGGGUCGCACGACCCCUUGGAAGCCAUGGAAAUAACCUUAGAGGUCCCUUGGAGCUGCUGGUGCGACCCCUUGGAGCUGCUGGUGCGACCUCUUGGAGCUGCACACCACGUGUUCGAUGAAAUGUCUGAAAGAAGAAAAAGACUUCGGUUGCAGGUUGAAGAAGAAGGAACGGAGAACAGCAGCCAUGGCUGCCGAUGCACUGCUCCUUCUAUUGCAGAAUGAGAAAGAAGACGACCUGUUUUAAAAUGACUUGGCCAAACACACCGUUUUGAGCCAAGCCAAUAAAAAAAGUUUUAAAAGCACUCCCGACUGCUUUUCUCAUAUGAUUGGACAUCCUUUAGACUCCAUGUGAUUGGUUUUUGAUCAAUUCCCAAGCAAUUUAGAGAUUUUACUAAAAAUGAGAGAGUAAAUUAUUAAGUGGGUCCCAAUCUCAUUCAAGUAAACAUUUCGUUUUACCUUUGGCAUUUUGCCUUUUGCAAUGCACCUUUGCCAUUUGGUUGCUGAAGAAGAGACAAUUCUGGUCGGAUUUUCUUUGUGAGGAUUCUGAAGAUUUUUUUUAAUCACAUUCGUUUAUUAUAAUUCGUGCAGAUAGAAAUUAUUGUAUUUUUUUAUUUAAAAUUGAAUAUAAAUAACGAUAUGAAUAUAAUUAUUGUAAUUUUUUUUAAUCACAUUCGUUUAAAAUUGAAUAUAAUUCGCACUAUCCUACCAAGACCCGAUGAAAUGACGAUAUGCAUGCCAUUUCUGUUAAAAAAAAAUUUCGCGCUGCGCGCACUAUCCUUAUUGACCCCCCAAACAUUAUUUCCUGGAUCCACCACUGAGUAUGACUGAUGUGGUUCGAGGUGGUUUCAUGCUACUAAUGCCAAGGAAUUUCUUGCAUCCAUCGAAGAAAAGUACAAGGAGUCUCCAAAAUCCAAGACAGGUAAUCUCAUGAACUCACUUACCACCAUGAGAUAUGAUGGUAUUGAAAGCGUGCGUGAAUAUAUCUUGAAGAUGAUGGAUGUUGCUGGAAAGCUUAAGGCUCUCGAGGUACCUAUAUCUGAAACAUUCCUUGUGCAUGUGAUAAUGAACUCACUACCUGAUAGCCACACUCAACUGAAAGCAUCUUAUAAUGCUUUGCGUGAAAAAAUGGGAUGUGAAUGAGUUAAUUGCUAUAUGUGUAAGUGAAGAAGAAAGGAUGAAAAAGGAGAAGUAUGAAAAGGAAAAGGUUGAGUCUGUUAACCUUGUGCAUGGUGCCUAUAAAGCACACAAAUCUCCGGCUGUUGAUGUUACCAGGAAAGAAACUACCAAAAGGGCUCCAUCUCCUACCAAAAGGAACUUUAAACCUAACAAACCAUCGAUUUUCAAAUGCUAUUUUUGCAAGAAAACAGGUCAUAUGAAGAGAAAUUGUCCAAAAUACAAGGCUUGGCUUGCUAAACAAGAGUCAAAGAAAGGUAAAAAUAUUUUUGCUUGUUUUGAGUCAAAUUUGAUUGAUAUACUUAGCACUGCAUGGUGGCUUGACUCAGGCUCUUCUAUUCAUGUUACGAAUUCAUUGCAGGACUUCAUAACAAAGAGAACACCAAAUAAAGAUGAAGUCAAAGUCUCUGUUGGCAAUGGAAGAAGAGUUGAAGUCAAAGCUUUAGGAAGUGUUAGGCUAAAGUUAGAAUUUGGUUUUUGUUUAGAAUUGGAAAAUGUCGUUUAUAUACCUUCUAUGAGAAGGAAGUUGAUUUCGGUUUCAAAACUAGUUAUGUUGGGUUUUUAUUUUACUAUCAAUAAUAUUGGCUUCAACAUUUUUUAUAAGUCAUCUCAAAUUGGUUCUGGUUUUUUGAGUGAUGGGAUGUUCCAAAUAAAGUUAAACCUUGAUGAACACGUUUUUAACAUCCAAAAUGGGAACACCAAAACUCAAUCUUCAAACCUAUGGCAUAAGAGACUUUGCCAUAUUUUGAAACAAAGAAUGGAGUUGCUUGUUAAAAAUGACAUUUUACCAUCUUUGAAUUUUAAUGAUUUUGAUUUUUGUGUGGAUUGCAUCAAAGGUAAAAUGACAAAUAGUAGGAAAGAAGGAUCAACUAGAAGUAAACAAGUCCUAGAAAUUAUUCACACGGACAUUUGUGGUCCUUUUCCAACACCUACAAUAGAAGGAAACAAAUACUUUAUAACCUUCAUUGAUGAUUUUUCAAGGUUUUGUUUCAUUUAUUUGAUCAAUGAGAAAUCUAAAGCUUUUGAAGUUUUCAAAAUUUAUAAGAAUGAAGUUGAAAAUCAGUUGGAAAGAAAAAUAAAGAUUGUUAGGUCUGAUAGGGGUGGAGAAUAUUAUGGUAGAUAUACUCAAACUGGUAGACAUCCUGGACCUUUUGCACUAUUCUUCCAAGAACAUGGGAUUGUAGCUCAAUACACUACACCUGGAACCCCCGAGCAAAAUGGGGUUGCAGAAAGAAGAAACAGGACCUUAAUGGACAUGGUAAGAAGCAUGAUAUGUAGAGCUAAUUUGCCGAGUUCUUUGUGGGGAGAAGCAAUGAAGACUGCAAAUUAUAUUUUGAAUAGGGUGCCAUCAAAAUCUGUUGAGGGUACUCCUUUUGAGCUGUGGACAGGGAGAAAACACAGCUUGAAUCAUCUUCAUGUUUGGGGUUGUAGAGCAGAAGCAAAAGUGUAUAGUCCUAACAACAAAAAGCUCGAUCCCAAGACCAUCAGUUGUUUUUUCGUAGGGUAUGCAGAAAGGUCGAAGGGCUUUAGAUUUUAUUGUCCUAAUUACACUUCCAAAAUAGUUGAAACUGGCAAGGCAAUCUUCUUAGAGCAUGAAAUCGAUACUGGUUCUGGGACUGAGGUUGACACUUUUGAAUUUGAAGAAGAAGAAAAAGAAAUCAUAGUCCAACCAAUGGAAACUGAGAUAAGUGUGGCAGCUCCACUUCUUAAAAUUGUUGGGCACAUGGAGGACAGUGAAACUAAUGCAUGUGAUGAAGAUCACGAAGUUGAUGCAACAGUUUAAGAAGUGAUAAAUGAUGAUCGAGGUACCAUAACAAUUGAGGCAUCAGUACCCACCAUGGGUCAGCAACAUCAAAUACAAGAGGGCAGCAUCGACACCAUCACUAAUUUCAGAAGAUCAACUAGGGUCAGGAAACCUACGACACUAGAAGAUUUUGUAUACUUGGCUGAGAGUGACACUGAUUUAUCAGAAUUUAAUGACCCUAUAAGUUUUAAAGAAGCAAUCUCAAGACCAAAUGCUGACAAGUGGAUAGAAGCUAUGAAUAGUGAGCUGACCUCAAUGGAAAACAAUCGUGUAUGGGAAUUAGUUGAACAGACAGAAGGAAUGAAACUCAUAGGAAGCAAGUGGGUUUUCAAAACUAAAAAGGAUUCGAAUGGAAAUAUUGAAAGGCACAAAGCUAGAUUGGUCGCGAAAGGAUUUACACAAAGAGAGGGUGUUGAUUACAAAGAGACCUUUAGUCCAGUUUCAACCAAAGAUGCUUUUAGGGUUAUAAUGGCUAUGGUAGCACACUUUGAUCUUACUUUGCAUCAAAUGGACGUCAAAACGGCCUUCUUAAAUGGAGAUUUGGAGGAGUGUAUCUACAUGAGACAACCAGAUGGGUUCAAAGAAGAAGGGAAAGAUAACUUGGUCUGCAAGUUAAAGAAAUCUAUUUACGGACUCAAGCAGGCAUUGAGGCAAUGGUACCUCAAGUUUCAUCAAGUGGUAAGAGAAUAUGGUUUCACUGAAAAUCUCUCUGACAACUGCAUUUACAUGAAGGUUAGUGGGAGCAGUUUUAUUAUUUUAAUUCUUUAUGUUGAUGAUAUACUGCUAGCCACUAAUAGUCAGAGUUUAUUAAGUGAAACAAAGUCUUUCUUGCAAAGAAAUUUUGAAAUGAAAGACUUGGGAGAGGCAACGUAUGUCUUAGGGAUUGAGAUCAAAAGGGACAGAAUGAGAGGUUUGUUGGGACUAUCGCAAAGAGGGUACAUAGAGAAGGUUUUAAAAAGAUUCAACAUGUCCAGUUGUGGAACUACUGAAGUGCCGAUUUCAAAGGGAGAAAAGUUGAGUAAGUUGCAGUGCCCUAAAAAUGAUUUGGAAAAAAAGAUCAUGGAAGAUAAGCCAUAUGCUUCCUUGGUAGGAAGCCUAAUGUACGCUCAGGUCUGCACAAGACCUGAUCUUGCAUUCACAAUAAGUGUACUUGGAAGGUUCCAAUCGAAUGCUGGUGAAGCUCACUGGAAUGCAGCAAAGAGAGUGUUGCGAUAUCUUCAAAGAACUAAAGCACAUAUGUUGGUUUUCAGAAGGACGGAUGAGUUGGUGUUAGAAGGGUAUAGUGACUCCGAUUUUGCUGGAUGUUUGGAUGAUCUUAAAUUUACAUCAGGUUAUGUUUUCUUGAUGGCAUGUGGAGCUGUUUCUUGGAAAAGUGUAAAGCAAGACACAGUGGCUGCAUCUACAAUGGUAGCUGAAUAUUUAUCUUGUUGUGAGACUGUUAACCAAGCUGUUUGGUUAAAGAAUUUCAUAAUGGGACUUAAAGUUAUUGAUUCAAUUGCAAGGCCGAUCCAAAUCUACUGUGACAAUAAUGCUGCAAUAUUCUUCUCCAAGAACAAUAAGAGAUCAGCUGCAACCAGGAACUUGGACAUUAAAUACCUUAUUGCAAGAGAGAAAGUUGUGGCUAGGUUAGUUAAAAUUGAUUAUUUGGAGACAGGUUCAAUGAUUGCAGAUCCUAUGAACAAAGCAGUGACCAAUGCGGUGUUCAAGAAGCAUGUGAUGAGUAUGGGAGUGCUGGAUGAUUUUGAUACAGUGAAUUAGUGGGAGCCAAGUAUUAAUUUCUUUCUCUGCGAGUUAUCUAGUUCUGAAUGUUUUGAAUAUUGAUAAUAAAGAACACUUAGCUAAUAAAGUGAAAUGCUGAAUGGUUGUUAAAGUUUUCCUAUCAAGCUCAGCAAUUAGUUAUGAAAGUGCAUGUAUUUCUUUAUAAUGUAGGAUGGAUAAUGAUUCUCAGAAUUGUUAUAAGGCAUAAACAACUUGAAGACUUCACUAUGAAGUAUUUGGAAUUGAUUGUUUUAUCAAUCUUGUGGAGGACCAAGUGUAAGAUGUGUUACUCGAAUAUACAUGCGAACAUGUGUUACAUUAAAUUACAUAUCUUGUUGGAGUUCCAUGUGUUAUAUAGCUUCAUUACAGUGACUAUGGGGACAGUACUUCUUCAGUGAGAGUGUGAUGCCCUUUGGUUCUUUAUGAAUGCUUAUUAAUGACAGGAACUUGUAAUCGAGUUUAGCUGAUAUUAGUCUCUUGGCCAAUCAAGUAUUAUUCCACUUCUGUAAGUGUACAUGAUAAACAAAUAUUAGCUCUAGUGGGAGAAUGUAAGUUCUAUAGAGAGCAAACACUUGUUUAUCGUGUAAAAGUGUUUUGGAAUAAUAAGGAGACUAACAUUAGCUACGUGGAAUGGCUUUACAGAAAUUGUAUAAUAAGGAUAAUAGCCUCAAGCAAUCUCGAUAGAGCUAGGACUCUAUUAUCUGAUAUGUUUAUUAGGGUUUUCACGGUGAUAAAGAUAGUUUGAUAAGGAUUACAUAAUGGGAAGUGUCCUGAUUGAACUCCAUCGUUUAUGGUAUAAAACUAGGGUCCCUGCGCUCUCACAAACACACAAGUUUUCAGAUACUCAAGCCCCAUUGAUUGAGCCUUGUAUUCGGUAGUGCAGAGUUGCAGAAGAAUCCUUUUAAUUCAAGCAGCAAUGUCUUCAUCAGGUAAGUGAUGAAGUUGGUAUCGUGAUUUAGUUUCUAUAAGUUAUACACUUACAAAUAAUGUAUGUACUAUAGAAACCAUCAGUUGUAAUGGUUGAAGCAGAAAGAAGAAUACUUCCUCUGAAAGAUUAGUAUUUCCAUCUUCAAUAUCAAAACAAAAGGCUUCAAGUAGCUUCAAUAUAUCAAAGGGCUUCCAUACAUGUCAAAACAAAGAACACGACUGAUAAAACUUUUAUUUGCAGCAAUUCACAAGUAUCAAAAUCUCUAAGUAACAUCAAUAUCUUGUAAACCAUGGAGAAAGGAAGCAUCUGUAAAUUUCACAAGAGAUGUAGUAUAUAUACCAAAGCCAUUUUCCCGAUAAAAAAUCCAACAAAAGCAAGUGUAAGUCAUAUAAGAAAAGCUACGAAGUGUCAAAUGACUCUUCUUUUAUAACUCAAUAUCAUUAAACACUCUCUUUACUGCAAACAAAUAUAUGGCAAAUUGAAAAUAUAAUUUUAGAUCAUUUUUUUUUUUAAGAAAAAGGCAUGAUCCUAAACAAUGAUAUUAUGCCGAUGCAAGCAGAUUAUGACCCCGAAUAGUAUUGUAAGAACGAAACAAUAAACUAUUUCUGAUAAAACAAAUAACUUACCCAAAAGAAAAGCCAUGACAUAAUUGUACACCUCCGGAAGGUCAGACUUGUUUACCAAUCUUGCCAGUGAUUGAUCAGCAAUUUCAUAAAGUCGUCUCCCUCUCAUGUCCUUGCUGACAACAAAUAUUUUCUUAACGUAUUCAAGUUCCCUAGCAAGAUUUUCAAUUGUCCAAUCCUUUGCGAAAUUCUGAAAUGUUGUACUUUUAUGCGCAAACGGAAGCGAAUUAUAACAAAGUACCAAAUAUCGUCGCAGGAGAAAGCUAAAACAAACAAUCUCAAACUAACACGAGAUUUACGUGGUUCGGCGUAAAGCCUACUCCACAGGCGAAGCACGGCAAGGAAUUUCACUAAAUAAACGGAGAUUACAAAAGAGUGUUUAAACUCUCACAACCCAAAUCCCACAAAUUACAAACCCUAAACCAAACGAGUAGAGAACUCAAACAAACAGAGAAGAUUCUCCCAAAUUGCUCUCUAACAAACUCACAAAUUGACUCUCACCAAAUUGCCACACGAAUGAGCCACACAAUAUACAUUAACCCUAAGGUCCUAUUUAUAGUGCAUAGGACUUAGGUUACAAUAGGAAUCCUAAUAGGAAAUAAAUCCAAAUCCUAAUCAAAUAGGUAAUUAACAAAAUCUCUCCACCAAGGAAAGUAACUAAGAAGUCAAAACCAAACCCAAAUAUGACACCAAAAUCAAAUAGGUAACACAAACCUAAUUUAUUGCAUCAUCCUAAUUUUGAGCCAAAAACCCAACAAUCUCCACCUCGGCGAGAAAUUAGCAAACUUCCAAAUUUGGGAUACCAGAAUACAAAUGCAAACGUGCACCAAAUUCUUUCGAAACUGAUCUCCACCUAGACUCAAAAAAUCCAAAAGUCUUCAUACUUGAAAUUUCCUCCAACGCCUUCUCCAACAAAUUCCAUUAUGGAAACUAACAAAUACGAAACAAAAUACAAGCAAAAGCUUGAACAUAUGAACAAAAAGUGCGAAUUGCACUCCACCUAAAGAGCUUGAGUACCAAGCUCCACCUCUUCACAUAACCUUUAGAGGAGUUCAGAACAACGAUCUUCUGCAAUGUUUGCAUCAACACUAGCAAAAGACUUAUCAAACAACUUUUUUUUCGCCCUUGAGUUUAGGGCAAUCUACUUUCCAAUGACCAUCCUUAUAACAAUAGCUACAAGUGUUCUUUCCAAGUUUGCUCAUUUCCUUAUUCCUUCCUUGAACUACCAAAGCUCCAUCUUGUGUGUCAGACACUUUAUUCUUCAGCUCUUUAGAAUUCAAAGUGACUUUAACAUCUUCCAAACUAAGACUUUCUCUACCAAAUAGCAUGGUAUCGACAAAGUGUUCAUACGAAGGAGAUAAAGAACACAACAAAGUUAUCGCAUAAUCCUCAUCACUAAUUUGGUUGUCCACACUUUUCAAAUCCAUCAUAAGUUUAUUGAAUUCAUCAACAUGCUUAUGAAUUGACGUACCUUCAUCCAUACGAAGAGUAUGCAAACUUUUCUUCAAAUACAACCGUUUAGCAAGGGAUUUGGUCAUAUACAAGCUCUCCAAUUUUAUCCACAACUCUGGUGCAGAUUUGAUGCUACCAACUUCACGCAAGACUUCAUUUGAUAAAGUCAGCAGGAUUGCUCUAAGUGCCCGUUCCAUAACGUCUUCUUUUUCUUCAUCAGUCCACGAAUCCGGCAAAGUCUUCACACCCUUUAGCGUUUUCAAAAGCCCUUGUUGAACUAACAAAGCACGCAUCUUCAAUUGCCAAAUACCAAAGUCAUUGCCGUCGAACUUUUCAAUAUCAACUUUCACCGAUGACACAGAAGGCUUCAUAGUGACUGUGAAAACGGAGCUAAUGGAGAUUGCUCACCAUGAACAACAAAAUGGACAUUUACUUUCUUCCAAGGAUUUACAGGACAAUGGCAUCCGUAACUCAUUCGGAUUCAUUCAGUCCACUAAUUCCCAACUGAUUCUAGCAGUUUUUAGUGCUUCGCAAUUUUUUGGAUAUAUACAACACACAACAAUUUCUAUUUAUAUAUCGCUUUUUGACAUACUGCUUGGGGAAAUCUGUCAGCACAUACAUAUUUUGAAUGCGUUAGGUUUUAAUUUGGACAGUAAGGACUAGGGAAUCCAUUUGGAUAAUUUUGACACAAUUGACAAGCUGCAAUAGACUGCACUAUAGACUUCUAGAUUUACUGAUAGAGGUUCCAUGAUUUGUUCUAGAAUUUGGAACAAUAUUCUAAUUCUGAUGGCCAAUGGUAAUUUCUCCACUUUCAUGAGUGGCUUAACUAAAGCAAUUUCCACUUUUACUUUAUCUAGACAUAUGAUUGAUACUAUGACAUCGGUUUGUCUAGUUGUCUACGAUUGCAACACUUGUGCGAUAUAGUUUAUACUCGGCAGCACAAUUAUUGUAUCUCCUCGUAUAUUCUCUGGAGUACCUGUUUACAAACACAAUUGGCAGCCAAAUGCUUCAUGGACGAAAAAUGCAGCACGCCUCUCCGUGGUCUGAUGGCUUUUUUGUUAUUAUAUGGGAGGUCUUCUUGAUAGCUGCGUGCUGGGUUUUGACAAUGGCAGAAGAAGACAUGAUCAUAUGGGCAUUAAUGAGGCAUAAGAAUCUGGGUUCAAGUCUAGUUGUUUGUUGUCAUCUUCAAUCGAUCAAGACUUCAGUUAGAACAUCUUUGAAGGGAAAUUCCUAUCUAAUUGAGAUUGUCUAAGGUGGUGCUAAAUGGGGAGUUAGCUUUGAAACUAUGCUGGCAGAACAAGAUGCAACUAUCCUAACGGCUGCAAUAAGACGACAGUAUUUUAGUGCCUUGACAAUUGAUCUACAUGUUGAUUUCUCACUGCUGUUCACUAGUAACCUUAACCUUUGGCCUGUAUGGGAUCCGGGAGAUGCUUUAACUACAGCUAUAAAGUUGAUGAUUUGUUUUAAGUUCCAAGAGAACCAUUUCAAGGUGCACCCUCAAUUCUUGGUUCUGCAGCUACACCCCAUAAAUCCUGCAGUGCAUCCUACUUGUCUACCACCACAGUUGUUGGCCACAAGAUUAGGAAUUCUUCACCCUAAAUCCAGGCUUCACCCUUAUCAGGUGCUCUCUGUCAAAAGGAUUGAGGCCGGUAUAUGCAAUCUCCUUGCUGCCCUUAGCUUUCUCCUUUGGUUCAAAAAUGAUGAAGUUGGAGCAUGACGAAAUUGUGGUAUUUUUGUUGUUUGGAGAACAUGGGUUCACACCCCACUCUCAAGUGUCCCUUGUUGAGUUCUCAGAUGGUGCUCAGGCUCGUGUUGUGCUUGAACCUAGAGAAACCAAAGGCUUUACUUUAAUUAGGAUCGUUACAAAUUAAGGAUGACUCAAGCAAGGAUAUUUACUCAACGAGAGAAGUUCAUACAAAGAACUAAUUUUUCAUUUAAGUUGGCGUUCUUACAUAGAAUACACACGUAUCUAAAGGCCUAGGAGGAACUUUUCCGAACCUCACCUAAAACUAUCUGGAGACAAGAGGCAUCGUUCUCUUUUGUCCGUUACAUAAUAUAAGGAUGAAUCUCCUCUACAUCACAAUCAACAAUAUUUUACGUCACGCUCAAACUAUUAUAGAUAAGAUUCUUUACUUUACAACACAUCGAAUAUUAUUCUAGUGGUAACAACUUAUUGUCUAACAACAUGAUGUUGGAUAAUUGGUGUUAGAACAUUAAAAUUGUAAAUUAUUAGCUAAUGGAAAAAUUACAUUAUUAGAAGGGUGGAAGGGUAAGAAAAAUAUAGAACGCGAGAGAGAGUAUUUUGAGUUGAGUGUUUAGACGAAGAUUUUGUUUCUAAGUAUACAUAUUAGUUAGAGCAUUUUUCAUGGCAAAAAGAGUUAAGUAAGGGCAGCUGCCCCCAUUAGGCAUAUAAUGCCUCCGUUUAUGUAGAAAUGUGUUAAAUGAAUAGACAAUCAUCAUAAAUUGUUCCUUAAUACUCACACCAUUUAUUUAUUCCAUCUAUUUAGAGGCAUAAACAAUUUACAAUUCGAAAUAACUUCUUAUAAAACUUCUUUUAAUAAAAAUUAAAUAAUUAAAUAAUUUUAAUUAUAAAAAUAUACAAUUAUACAUUAAGUGGUUUUAGGAUAAUUAAACAGCUAAUCUGUAAAAAGACAGGUGUCACAAGGAUAGUGUAGGAAGAGCGUGCCGCCGGGCACAGAUAAUCUUCUCUUCCUGUCUGUAUUUCAUCAUACAAGUCACUUCCGCUUUUUCCUUUUUCUAUUUUCCGUGUUCCCGGGAAAAGUCCAAGGAAAACGAAACCCUUCCUAAUUUUUGGUUUGGAAUUCGAAUGCAAUUGCGUUAAAUUUUGCGCCUUUGAUUUGGGUAUUUGCAGAAUUUUGAGAAGACUCAUUGGAUUAUACAAGUUAGAAGUAAUGGAGGAUGUUUCUGGGACCUGGAGCAGGCUGAGCAGCAAAGUCCACCACUUGGUAUGUUUACUCAUACUUUUGGCCCUAACUUACACUCAUUCAAUCUUUCAGCUACACUUGGUUUCUGUAAAAGCAAAUAUAUGUCAAAUCUUAGACUCUUAGUAGCUUUUUAGCUUCAAAUAUAUGCCAAAUUAACCUCAUAAGUGGGUUUUCGAGCGAUCGAGUUGGACUGAAUGAAUACAUGAUGAUGUUUUCUUACCCUUUUCUGCUUAGUUUCUUCAAGAACAAUUCAUCUUUAGGUCAAGCCGGAAACUUAUUGUUCAUCUUGUUUGUAGGUCAAGAUGGUGAAAGAAAAUGAAACAGUAACUGAAUAUGCUACCUUAGUUCAUGGAGAACCUUCUCAAGAUGCUAAUGACCCCCCAAAAGUUGAUUCCAAGGCGGAAAUCCUUCACGAGAAAGUCACAAAGCAAAUCAUUAAGGAAGGUCAUGGUCAAAUACCAUCCAAGUAUUCAACAUGCUUCUGUAAGUGUCCGGUGGUUUCCUUUUUGGUAGUGCUGUGCUUUGUACAUUAGUUGAAAAUCCAAUAAUUGUUAUGUGUGUAUGUAUUUGUUAGUACGGGAGUACGACAUGAAUGAGCUUGUGACUUGCAAACAGACACACACAACAUUCAUGUUCACAGAGUUGUGUAUGCGUAUAGGAGAAUUAUUUGUGCGUGCAUUAAAUUUUAUAAAAGGGAUGCCUAAGAUACAUGUAGAAAGGUCUUGCAGUGAAGUUUUACUCUGAUUUUUUCAAUCACUGAGUGAUUGGCAUAUGUGUGAUAGUGCACUACAGGGCAUGGACUGAAAGCACAAGACACGAGUUUGAGGACACAUGGGAUGAACAACGACAACUUGAAAUGAUUUUAGGAAAAGGUAUUAUAGCCCUUGCCGAGUUGUCUGGUACUUUUGAUAUAUACAAAAUAUAUGCAGAAUAAUUCUGGCAUGUUCCUUGUUCAGUCUGCAAUUAGUUCUGUGAGUUCUUUAUUGCUUUUAUUCUCUGUAGUUAACUUGUCAUUUGAUAUGAUUUGGGUCCAUAAGCAUUUAAUCAUUAUGUGGUGGUAUUAAAUGCAAUGAACUUCUUAUUAGUAGUAUAUUUUUGUUACCGCAACAGAGAAAAAAGAAAUGACUGGCUGGGCUAUUGGGGUGUCCAGCAUGAAGUCGGGAGGGCGUGCCCUAUUACAUGUAGGCUGGGAGUUAGGGUUUGGGAAAGAAGGGAGCUUUUCUUUUCCGAAUGUUCCACCAGUGGCAGAUAUAUCAUAUGAAGUUGAGCUUAUUGGAUUUGAUGAAACCAAAGAAGUAAGUUGGUCACUUGCUUUCAAAUGUCUUCCCAAGUAGAUGCCAAUAGUUUUAGCCGGGAACGAAGACACAGUAUCAAAUUUAGUGAUCUAAACUGUUAGCAGUGGAGGAGUUAAGAAUUUACGAUGAUGGGGUCAAAAAAUCGAUCAUACUUUCAUUACGAUUACCCACUACAUGUUCUCAUAUUUUGGAAACGUUGUAUCACAACAAAAUUAUAAAUCAAAUCAAACACAUCAUUCUCAAUGUAUACAAUCAAACUAUCAUUCAAUCAUUCAUCACAUGUCUAUUACGAUGUGGAUGAUUCACAAUAUUCAUCAUCGAAAAAGCUCUUUCAACAGAAGCAGUCGCUACGGUAAAAUUUUUGUUAAUUUUGUGGAUGCAAAUUUCUUCCUCUUUGAUCUUGGACAAAAUUGCACCUACAAAACAAUUAACACCUUAGGUCAAGGCUAAGAGCCUCACGCGCCCACGAUAAAUGGGGGGGCUUUGGCCGAUGAACAUCCGAUGCCAAAGUUAGAAUUUAGAGAGAAAAAGUGUUUGACAAUUCUAGAGAAUUUUAGCAAGAGUUGCAACUAGGUUUUGGUGAGAAAUGUGGGGCUUUUUAUAGAGGAGUGGCUGGCCUCUUAGGGUGAGAGAGGACCGGCCACAUAGUCUUGUUUGUGGGUUUUGUUCAUGAUUUAAGAUGAUUUUGGGAGUUAUAUGAUUAAUUGACUAAUUAAUUUGGCAAAAUAAAAUUAUUACCAAAUGAAUUAGCUAAUUAAUGGGAUGAAAUGGGCAAAUAUCAAGAGAUAAACAAAACAUGGCCAAUUCCUUUUCUAACAAUAGGUGGCCGGCCCUUCACUUGUUUUUGGGGUUGAAAGGAUCACUUAAUUGACAAUUUAAGGGAUUAAAUAGGCAAUUAACCUCUUAAUUGGCCAUUUAUCAUGAUUUUUAGAAGGAAGGCUUUAGAAGUUAUGGAAAGAAUAAAAUAAAUAGCUAAUUGAUUAGCUAAAAGAGGGAAAAAGAGGUAAGAAAUAUAUGGAAUGAAAUAGGUUUUAAGUUGAUACCUAUUUUGGGCACUUUUGACUUGGUUUAGGGAUGAUUACUCGCGCGUAGGAAUCCCAGUAUGUCUCAAGGGUAUUUUUGUUCUCUUUUACCCAAGAAUCCACGUGUCGUCUUGUGAUUAUUUUUUGCUCCACAAAUUUCAUUAGCAAGUACACUAAGGGAUACUGCCUAUCCCUCUUUAUCUCCACUAACUUUUGUGCAAAACUACUAAUUUCUUUCAACACAAAAAUUUCAUUAUGCAAACGUAUGUCAAAGAUAUAAUUUUUAAGUUCGUCAUCAAGAAGUGAGAGCUCCGUAUUUGGAUAAAAUUGGGUAAGGCGAACUAACUAAACCACAUAAUAUAAGUUGGGGUGUGCUAUUCACAAUCCUUAUUUUAUUUUUCACACACUAAUUUUUUUUCGUUGAUCUUUUGAUAGGACUCGCUCGGAUUAAUGACUUCGCUAGGAGUUCUUAGACAAGAACCCCAAAUUCGGCCGGACUCGUAAGACCUUCUGCGAGAGAGAACCUCGGUCAUCCUGCGAGAGAGAGUCGUCGCCAUCGCUCCCUGCUUGCCCUGCUCCCUCAUCCUCGUCCUCCUCACCCUCAUCUCUGCGUCCUGCUUGCCCUCAUCUGCAUCCUGCUUGCCCUCAUCUGCUCCUCUUGCCUCUUGCCUGGUAAACUUCGAAUCUUCGAUUUAUUUCUCCGAUUUGUUUUUCAGAUCGUGAUAUUACUGAGCUUUAUUUGAUUUAGUUGUUUGAGAAAUUUUCAAAGAUUUAUCGCUUUGUCAUUGAAAAUGCAAAUGCAAUGCUCAGUCAGUGCGAGUCUGAGUCCGAGCAGAAGAGGCAGAGGCACCGCUGUCGAUUCACUUCCAAUGGCAGCCGUCGGUGGUCCUAAGUGGGCACAGAAGACCAUAACUCUGCCUCCCCUCAAGAGGGGUUGUCAUCUCGUCACCCCUAAGGUACCUACUCUUUUGAAUUUUGAUUCUUGAGUUGAUCCAUCCGUCAAACCCUAACCCUUGAUUUGAAAUCAAUUGAGUUGGAUUCACGGUGAAACAUGUGUUUAGGUCUCUUAGAAAUUUAAUUUCUAUUUGAAAUUUCAGAUAGUGAAGGAAAUUGGGGAGGACUUGUCAGAAUUCAAGUGUGGCCUUGCCCACCUCUUCUGUAAGUUUGCCUGCCUAAUACUGUUUUCUUUCAAUACUUGUUUUUGCUUGUUUUGAAUGAACAUAUAACAUCUGUGUAUAUUUAUUUGUGGGUAAUAUUUCAGUGCAGCACACAAGUGCUUCUCUUACUAUCAAUGAGAAUUAUGACUCUGAUGUUCGUCACGAUGCAGAGACAUUCCUCAAUACCAUUGUUCCUGAGGUUACUUACUUUCGUUUUGUUUCCUUUCCUGUGUAUUAUGAUCACAUGAUUCACAUCUUAUGUACCAGUAGCACUAGCAAGCAUUAUAUGAUGUUCUCGUCUUCAUUUAUUUUCAGGGGACCUCUGCACCAUGGAAGCAUACCCUUGAAGGUUAGUAUUCGAUUCCAUUUCAUUGUUUCAUUCAUGGCCUUCGUCUCUUCUUUCGAAGAAUACUUUGCUUUUCUCUGUUUUAACCCAAUUUCUAUAACUUGGUUGGCUACGUCUUUGAGUUUGCAUUAUAUGCACUGUCAUUUGACUGCUAGCUACUGUGGUGCCUGGUAGCUCAGAAUUUAAGUUAUCUGAGUUUUACAGGCCCAGAUGACAUGCCAGCACAUAUUAAAUCAUCAAUGUUUGGCUGCACUCUGACGUAAGGAUACCUUACUAGCUUGUUUGAUACUGUUUACAUGUGCUGUGAGGAAUUUACGGCCUCGUUGGCAUUUACAUUUUCCUUGUUCUCAUGCAGGGUUCCAAUUACAAAUGGAAAACUCAACAUGGGAACUUGGCAGGUAUGUAAAAGUGAAAACCAUUAUUCAACUUUUCUAAGUUUUCUACUUGUAAAGGGCUUGAAUCUCUCAAUCUUGAAAUUAGGGUUUAUGCUUGGAAAGAUUUUCACCUAUGCUCUGCUUAAUAAAUUUCUUGGAUGAUGCCUAAUUAUUCUCUGUAGGAAUAGAACUUAAAGUAAAUUCUGGAGAAAAAAAUGCAUCAUGUUAAGGGAAGGUAAACCGCAUAGCAGUACUUAAGAAAUUACUAGCUGCAAAAGAAGUUUUUACGAGAACACUUACAUUCUGAACCUUCUUCCCUACUACUGUUGAAGUGUCAGUAAAGGCUAGAAGUAUUCUUUUAUGUAGGCAGAACAUGUAAGUUAAAAGACACAUGUUUUGAAUGCCGGUGCUCAAUGGCGUUAGUGCAUGAUGGAAUGUUUUACAGACCUUACUGUAAGCAUCUUGACUAGGCGUAAAUUUCUUGUAUUUGAGUAUGUAAGCUGAGCAUGGAGUAUGAACUCAUGAGAACAGAAUGAUAGAUAAGAUAUGCAUAGGCUUUUUUUUAAGAUUUCAUCAACCCUUUCAAUUUCUAAGGGGCAUGUGAGUGAGGCAAUGAAUGGCGCUAUGGAAUUACACUCUUCGGCUAACAAUUACUCUGUUUUUUCCUUUUUUAUAAACAUCACAUUCUGUUUCCAUUGCAUCAUUGUUUGGCUCUCUAAUAAAUCAAAAUUUCUGGUGUGUUAUAGCUUAUGGAAUAUUGUUUAUUUUUUUCCUUGUAUUGAUUCUGCUUCAGGGAAUAUGGUUGUGUGAGCAUCGUGACUAUUCUACAGCACGGAAAGUUGUGGUUACCCUGAAUGGAAUAUGAGAUUCUAAGAUUUGGAUAUUUUUCAUCCAAGUCUGUAGAUAAGUCGUACGUAGACAUCUGGUUUGUUCAUGGGAACCUCCUGGAGAGAUGUUAACGUCCUAGCUGUUUUCUGCAUCUUUCUGGCUGAAUGAACAUCUGGUACCUUGUUACUUGUAAAGGAUUUACUACUUUCUGGCUUAUACAUACAAUAGCAAUUUCAAGUAAUUAUUUUAAAAUUGAGUAAAAAAUUGAACUUGUCAGACAUCAAUUUUCGUUCUACUCAAAUGCAAGUAUAAACCAAUACCUUUAACUUUAAUCUACGACUUUAAACCCAAGGUGAAUAAUUAAGAAAAUCAUCCUGAACCCUGUCAAUUGUUGGGAGAACACUUUGUUAUAUUCAUGUUUGGAACAAUGCUACUCUUGAAUCAUGUAUGUUUCUUUCGUUGGUAAGAAAAUUUGGUUUUUGUAUUUUUAUUGAGUCUCACUCUCAUCCAAUAUUGUUAAUUUUAAUAAUAUCUUUAAUAAAAAAAACAAUUAAAAUAUAACAAUAAUGUAGUCCUAGUCUAAGCAAACAUCAAACUGGUGACAAUACUGUUUUCAUUAUCCUGCUUUUUAGUCCAAUACUGCACCAAAUGCUUCACUAAGCUAGUCCAACUAAGUUUAGUCUAAGUCAGUCCAUCUUAGUCCUUGCAACUAGUCUAGUCCGAGAUAGUCUGGUGCCACAUACGCACAAUGGAAAAUUAUGUUCAAUGCCCUUGGAAUUAACUAAUGAAAAAUUAUGGAUUUUCUAUAAUUUCAUCUGUUGCUAUUGAUAUAUAAAAUUCCAAUGCUCAAUAUUUCAUCAGCUGUUGUUAUGCAGUUAUAAGGGUCGGAAAAUUUUUCAAAAGGAUAAAUUUACAAACUUAUUGGGGUCAAGGGAUGCCAAUGCCUCCUUCACUUCACUUGGGUUUUCGCUUUGUUUACUGAGUUUUCAGUUGUGAAUUUUUUGUCACCACCAUAAUAUGUUAGUGUGUAAAACGAGUCAAUUUGUUUCUUUGAAGUACUUCUUGUUUCUUUUGUUUAUGUGGACAUUUUUCAGUAAAGGCAUGAAACUCAAGAAUCAGAAAGAUUCUAGUUCCUAUUCUAUAUAACUAAGCAUGUCAUAUUAUAUGAAAUCAUAAAAAUAUUGGAUUGAUGAGCCAUUUAAUAUUACAAUCUUGUUAUUUUCUUCUAGACUUGUAAGUGAUAGUUUUUAGGCUCAAUUAUCGCCAAAAACAAAUUUGAACUACAUUAUUGAUAAUCUAUUAUGAGGCUUAAUCUACUUCUCCACACUCUUAAUGUAAAUGAUAUCGUUUUUUCUAAUAAUAAUAAUAAUGGAUUGAGGUUUGAAAUUUCAUCAUUACAAAUGGACCCCAAUUUAUGACUUUCUUUAGUCUAUUAGCAUUAUAUUAAUAGACAUUUAUGCUGGGUGUGGAGACGUCCAGCGGUGGGUGUACAAAUGAUGACGGGUUAUAAUGAUAAAUCAAAUCAUUAGCCAAUUAAGGAAGACGCAUAGAGGCCACAGGGGUAUUUGCCCAAAUAUUCCUGUGGCCUCUUUGUGCCUUUGCUUUUUGAAUUAAACAUAAUUAAUGUUAACUUGAUAAUAAUUAAAAUAAUAAAUAAUAAAUCAAAUCAUCAGCCAAUUAAGGAAGACACAGAGAGGUCACAGGAGUAUUUGGGUUCAGAAGAUCUCAUCUCGGUUAUAAUAGCGCGUGGGCCCAGGGAGUGGUGGGAGAGAGAACAUGUGUUGGAAAUCAAAUGAAAGACACAACACAAGCUUUAGUAUAGCACUAGCUACUAGGGCACAAAAGUAGAGGAAAAGAGAAGGUCAGGAACCUAUAAUUUGUGAAGGACCUAGCUAGCAUUAAAAAUCAACUUUCAAUUAUUAAGGCCAGCUGUAACAUAUUGACCAUUAUUGGGUCUUUGUUUUUAUUUCCUCAUUCCAAAUUAACCCCAAUUUAUAACUUUUUUAGUCUAUUAGCAUUAUAUCAUCAACAUAAAUGGACAUUAUGAUAUCUCAUCGUCCACUUUACUUUUAGGUCCUAUUGGUAACUAGAACUGUAUUAACUAUGUCACUCGAAUAAGAUAAUUUGUACAUUAAAUAAUAUUGAUUAAAUUAAUCGGAUGUUUGAUGUAGAAUCUAAUUAAAAACCCAGUUAUGCAUUAUAUUUUAUGAAAGAUAAUGUCAAAAAUUGUAAAUAAAAUGAAAAGAAAGGAAGAAAAAAAAUCGAUAGAAUAAUCCAAAAAGGGGCACUUCCCUUUCUUUGUGGUUAAUCUUCUGCAAACAAUCCGUUGUCAUUGAUCUUCUGGAAAAGGGAUAUUCUCCGGAUCAUUGCCUCUUAAUCCAUUAAAUUCAUUAAUCUGGACUUUUGAAAUUUGAUACAACGGCUAAAAUUAUAAUUUUUAAUAGGGUCUCCUGUUUUUAGCCGUUAUAUCAAAUUUUAAAUGCCCGAAUUGAUUGAUUUAGUGGAUUAGGAGGAAGACAUCCGGAGAUGAUCCAUUUUCAAUAUUCUGCACACAACCCAGAAAAGUUAUGGGUGUGGAUUCGUGGCAAAUCGAGGCACCAUGAAGGUGCGGAAUAAAGCGCAAAUUGUGAGAUUCCGCUCCAGAUUCCAGCAAAAAGGCGACUUGCAGGUCGUCGGGUUUCAGAUCCUCUCAAGAAAAUCGAUUAAUUGAAUUUACAUCGUGGUGGAUGGUCGCAACCACAUAAAUUGAGCCAAGAAGCUUCAUAUUCCAACCCAAAUUAAUUUCACAGAAUUUAAAUUCUAGGGUUCAAAACCUUAAUUUUGAAAGGAAUUGUAACUUCACCAAAAAUUUAAAGUGGAACAUAAAGAAGAAGAAGAAAUCUUGACGAAGAUGACAGCUGAACGACGGCAAUGGGAAUUAGUCUUGUGCACGAUGCGAGAGAAAGGGACGCAACAUGAGAGAACGGGAGAACACAAUGUGAUUUUCCUACUAAUUAAGUACCGGUUUGGUACUUAUGUGCUUUUAUGAAAAGUGGAUAUACAAAAAAAGUUGAGCUCAAAAAGGUAUUUGGUAAACACUUAAAAAUAGCUUAUUUUCACAAUUUUGGAUGGAAAAAAAGCUGCAAACGUGAAGCAGCAUAAAUGUUGAAUUAUAUGUUGAAUGUUGAAUUAUGAUUUCUUGUUAAACGGUGGAUUAUAUGUUUAAGAUAAAGUUUAUAAAAAAUUAUUUUUAAAAUAAAGUAUAUUUAGUAAUUCACCUUUAUUUGUUAAGAAAAUUAAAUUAAUGACACAUCUAGUAUUAUACAAUUUUUUGUCAUUUCACACAGUCACAGCUGUUUUACAUAAAAGUUUACCAAACAUUAUAAUACCGUUUUUUUUCUUUUCCAAAAACACUUUUACAAAAAAGUUUACCAAACAUUCUACUGCUUUAUUUCACAGCUACUUAUUCUCACAGCACCGUAAAAACAGUUUUUUUUUUCAAAACACAGCAAUACCUAACCAUCCCUUAUAAUACAAAGGUUUUGGGUUGGAUAAUUUAGUAGGUGCACCAUAUAAGGAUGUGGGUCCAGUUUAAUUAAUUCGGGUACUAUUUAGUGUAAAAUUACACUAAACACUUGGGUUCAUACUAUUUAUCCUAUCUGGUUGGUUAUACGGUUUGUCAAACGAGACCUUAGUGUAUAAUGUUGCUUCACUGAUAAUCUUCUAACGGUUACAUAGUUUUAACAAUAUUCAAACUUACAUCAAAUCAAUCUUAACCUUUCAUCUUACAUCUUAUGAGAUGAAGACAUUUAACAAAAUAGUCGCACUUGGUGCGAUGGCAAGUGCCUUCGCCCAUGAGCGGUAGGUCUCGGGUUCGAGACUUGGGAGCAGCCUCUCCAUAAAUGGGGGUAAGGCUAGCCGACAUUCACCUCUCCCAGACCCUGCGUAAAGCGGGAGCCUUGUGCACUAGGUACGACCUUUUUUUAUUAUUAUUUGUUUUUUUCCUCAACCCUCAAUUUUUGAAACUAGAAAUUAAAGGAAAUCUAAUUUUCUCAGCUGAAAGAAGGUGUCAGAAACGUGCAGUGCUGGGUGUAUAAAUUCGCACUGAAGAUACAAAUAAAAUUAGACUGAUUGCUUCUAUUUGGAAGUGCUGGGUGUAGAAAGGUAGAGCGGUGGGUGUACAAAUGAUGACCGGUUAUAAUAGCGGGCCCAAGGGGUGUGGAAGAGAGAACAUGUAUUGGAAAUCAAAUGAAAAACGACACAACACAAGCAGAGCACUAGCUAUUUGUGAAGGACCCGGCUGGCAUUAAAAAUCAACUUUCAAUUAUUAAGGCCAGCUGUACAUAUUGACCAUUCUUAGGUCUUUGUUUUUAUUUUAUACAUUGAAUGAUGUGUGAGUGGUUGGAUGAGAGAUGGGCAUGUAAAGACUAGCAGGAGGAGCCAUCUUUCAUUACGCAAAAUCAAUUUCUUAGUUACAACUUUAUAUUUUAAUUUACUUCACUUGGGUUUUUGCUUGUUCUGAAUACAAGAAAUGGCAGAAGGAGUUCUCUUUAAUAUUGUAGAACGGAUCAUUGUAAGGCUUGGCAACCGUGCUUUCCAAGAGAUUGGGUCGAUUUGGGGUGUCCAAGAUGAGCUCAACAAGCUCAAGGAGACAGUUGUCGGAUUCCAAGCUGUUCUUCUAGACGCUGAGCAAAAGCAAGCCAACAACAGUGAAGUCAAACUAUGGCUCGAAAGCGUAGAAGAUGCAGUUUAUGAAGCCGAUGAUGUGCUGGAUGAGUUUAAUACUGAAGUUCAGCGGAGACUAGUGAUGCAUGGCAAUACUAAGCUGUCAAAGAAGGUAUGCCUCUUUUUUCUUUAGCUCAAAUGAAUUUGCUUUCUGACGAAAGAUGAAUCAUUAAAUAAAAUAUAUUAACAAGAUGAUUCGAGAGGUUGCACCUUGUAGAACAUUUUCGUAGUCACGUAAGCUUAUCGAUAUUAACCUAUUAGGAGCACAAUAGGUCUCUCAAUAACUUAUAUUUAACUGCAAUAAAUCUUCUACAUUAUUGUUUUGAAUGUUUCGUAUAACUUACCGUUACAAAACUCUAUUAACUUAUUAACACAGUUCUAUCGAAAAAAUGAUUGUGUCUACUCAAACUCUUACAGGUGCGUCUUUUCUUUUUCUAGCUCAAAUCAACUUGUUUUGGGUUAAAGAUGAGUCAUAAGAUAAAAGAUAUCAACAAGAGGCUUAGUGAGAUUGAAUCCCGUAGACCCAAGGACUUAAACAAUAAUCGUGAAGAUACAAGAUUAAUAUUGAGAGAGAGGGUUACUCACUCAUUUGUCCCUAAGGAAAAUAUUAUAGGGAGAGAUGAAGAUAAAAAGGCACUUAUCCAACUUUUGUUGGAUCCCAUCUCAACUGAGAAUGUUUCAACCGUUUCCAUAGUUGGAAUUGGAGGAUUGGGGAAAAGUGCCCUUGCCCAACUCAUAUUCAAUGAUGAGGUGAUUCAAAAGCAUUUUGAGUUGAAAAUAUGGAUAUGUGUCUCUAAUAUAUUUGAGUUGGAUAUAUUGGCAAAGAAAAUCCUAAAAGCUGACAAGCUUGAUAAAAAGGAGCGUGAUAAGGUGGACCAGCUUGAUAUGGAUCAGCUGCAAAAUGAUCUUAGAAAAAAAGUAAAUGGGAAGAAAUACCUACUUGUGUUGGAUGAUGUGUGGAAUGAGGAUCCACAUAAGUGGCUUAGCUUGAUGGACUUGUUAAGGGGUGGUGGAGAAGGUAGUAGAAUAUUAAUAACCACACGUACUGAAAUCGUUGCGAUGACAUCACACACAACUAAACAGUACGCCUUAAGGGGUUUGAAUGAAGAGCAAAGCUAGUCUUUAUUUAAGAAAAUGGCUUUUAAAGAUGGAGAAGAACCAGAGAAUUCAACAAUUAAGGCAGUUGGGAUGGAGGUUGUAAGAAAAUGUCAGGGAGUUCCACUCGCUCUAAGGACGAUAGGUGGGAUGUUGCGCACCAAACAUCAUGAAAUAGAAUGGCUUAAUUUCAAAGAAAGGAAACUUUCAAAAAUAAGUCAAAAAGAAGAUGAUAUUUUACCAACACUUAAACUAAGUUAUGAUGUGCUCCCAUCACAUUUGAAGCAUUGUUUUGCUUAUUGUAGCUUGUUCCCACCUGAUUAUGAUAUCUCUGUACCAAGAUUGAUUAGACUUUGGGUGGCCCAAGGGUUCGUUAAGUCAUCCGACGAAAUCGAGUGUUUGGAGGAUGUUGCGUUUGAAUAUUAUAGGGAAUUGUUGUGCAGAUCGUUUUUUCAAGAAGAAAAAACAAAUGAGUUUGGUAUAAUAGAAAGUUGUAAAAUGCACGAUCUCAUGAAUGAACUUGCAAUCUUAGUGUCGGGUGUCAGGAGCGUCGUAGUUGAUCUGAACCGAAAGAACUUUCAUGAAAAGCUUCGUCACGUAUCUUUCGUCACGUAUCUUUCAAUUUUGAUAUUGAUUUGUUGAAAUGGGAAGUGCCAACUUCCUUGGUAAAAGCAUGCAAGAUACGAACUUAUCUUUUUCUUUGCCAAGAGGUUUUGAAAGAUUACGAUGAGUCAUUAUGUGAUUCAUUUUGUACCACAAUUGUUUCAAAUUUUAAGUCAUUACGGAUGUUGAGUCUCAAUACAAUAUAUAUUAUAAGAUUGCCUAAUUGUUUUAAAAAAAUGAAACAUUUGAGAUAUCUUGAUCUUAGUGGGAAUCUCAUGAUGGAGAGACUUCCAGAUUGGAUAGUUGGACUUUCGAAUUUGGAAACACUAGAUCUCAGUCAGUGUCUUAGUCUUGUGGAAUUGCCUAGAGACAUUAAAAAAAUGAUCAACUUAAGGCAUCUCAUCUUGGAAGAUUGUAUUGGGUUGAGUGGAAUGCCACGUGGAAUUGGUGAAUUGAAAGGUGUUCGUACAUUGAAUAGAUUUGUUUUGAGUGAAAGCAAUUGUUUGGGGAGGGGCGGUAGUGCUGGUCUUGCUGAGCUGGCCACCCUUAACGAAUUAAGGGGAGACUUGGUUAUUUUUGAUAAUUUGAGGCACGAGAAAGAUGUGGUGUCAGAAUCAAAUGUUGGUACACCUCUCAAGGACAAACAGCAUCUCCAUUCGUUGGAAUUGUGGUGGAAAUUUGGAGAAGAUGUAAAGGCAGUUGAUGAGGUGGAUAUUAUAAAGUCAAUGGAAGUAUUGCAACCCCAUUCUAAUCUAAAGCAGUUGUCCGUGUGGUAUUAUGGUGGUGUGAGGUUUGCGAGUUGGUUUUCUUCUCUCAUUAAUAUUGUUAAUCUCGCAUUCUGGAAUUGUAAGAGAUGCCAACAUCUUCCACCCUUGGAUCAUUUGCCUUCCCUUAAGAAACUUCAACUUGGAUAUUUGGAGAAGUUGGAGUACAUAUCAGAGAAAGAGAGCAGUAAUAGUAUGAGUGAUGAGAUGAUGAGGAUCUCAUUCUUUCCCUCCCUGGAGACACUCUGCCUAGUAGGUUGCCCUGUUCUGAAGGGAUGGUGGAGGGCGCACACUCCUAAUCUAACUUCCAUCCCUCUUUGUCCAAAUGUGGAGAGAAUACAAGUCUGUAAGAGCAGCUGGAAGGUUGUUGAUUCCUUGUUUUUUAGAGGAGCAUCUGAUAUUACACAUGAUGUUGGUGUUGAUGUUUCUGCCUCUUCUUCUUCCCCUCCUCUCUCCAAAUUAACACAUCUGUCACUUGAGGAAAUUGAGGAUUUGGCUUCACUGCCAGAAUGGAUUCGUGGACUCCCCUGUUUAAAUACAUUGCAAAUUUCUGGUUGCCCCAAGUUAUGGGAAAGAUGCGGCAAAGAAACAGGUGAGGACUGGCCUAAGAUUGCUCACAUCCCACACAUUACUAUUUGGGAUUAAGGUGCGUUUUCUAACUUGUUUCAAUUCACACUAGCCUAAUUCAAUAUAAACUAUGAAAUAUUCAAAUGCCAAUCUCAUUUCUUAAUUUUAUUCUUCAUUCAUCAUCACCGUAAUUUUUAUUUUCUUUUCAAAUGACAAACCAUAUGAACCAGAGAUUUUGGAUUCAGUGAAUGGAGGAGCAUCAACCUUUUGGAUUCAAUAUGUGAUGACCAUGUUAACUACUUGGAGUGGUUGUAUAUGAUUUUGUUUUUGAUCCUCGGGGUUUAGGUACUAUGUCCCUCCCGUUGUAUGUUUUUUCUUCAAGUAAUAUAAUAUGGGCGUGAGAGCCUAGCCCCCCAGCUUCGACUGGGUUCCAGCCCUCUUUAUAUAUUUCUUUUUAAUAUACGUUGAUGCUUUGGAAGCGAAACAACUUUUGUCACGUUAUAACAUAUAAGUCAGCAUAAUUAUACACAACAAUGGUAAAAAGAAUUACAUCUAUUAAUUGUCAAUGCACUGGAGUAACCAAAUAUUCUAAGACCAAAGGAACUCCAAAAUCUACUCUAGAUACGGCUCGGGACACAAAUAUCUCCUUCAAAACCCGAAAUUAAUCACAAUAAACGCUACAUUCUCAGUAAAGCAAACAAACUGAUUAUGUUUUGUUUAGUCAAAAGGAAAUUCAUGAGAACCAUUACAAAAAUAUGUGUUGUUUUUUCCAAGUCCUCUCUCUAGAAACAACUCAGACAACUCUUAGUUUCUUUGUUUUCUUUUCCUCGAUUUCCUUAGCAAUCAAAUGGUCUCCAUAAGUAAAAACAAAUUCUUCUAACGUACCGAAUGUUUACUAAUAUUUUUCUUUUCUUUCCAUUUUUUCAGCUACCCAAUUGAACUGGUCUCUUAAGUUUUCUUAAUUUGCAAUCAAAAUCUAUUUGUUUCUUAAGUUUUCUUCAAAAAUUGUACUUAUAUGUAAUCAGAAUACUUUGAUUUCUUUAGUUUUCAUUUCCAUCUUCUAUCCCGCAUAUCUAAGUUCCUUAUUAACCCACACCAGUUCAUACUUAUAAUAUGUUAUACGUUUAUUUUUAAAAAGUUGAAGAUGCUCGUAUUGCCAACUAAAAAGGAAAAGUACGGACCUUGAUAUUCACACAGAGAUCUUCCAUGUAGUCUUUGGUAUCUACGAAAACAAACUUAUCAACAUAUCAGUCAAAGGAAAAUUAUUACAACCUCUGCAAAAUCAAAAGAUGAUACGGAUGUCAAGCGACCCCUUAAGUUAAAGGCCCUAGUGUUAAAGAAAACUGUUAGCAUCUAUUAUUGUAAAUACCUGCCAAGAAAAGAUGAAAAUAAAAUAUUAGGCAUAUGAGUGUAAGCUUACAGAACCUUAGUUUUUGUACACUUUCUUCUCCCUUCAAUGACAGUUUGUUUCUUAUCCGGAAAAAUAAAGUGAGCAGGUUAAUGAUACUCACAUGUGCAAAAUGCUAAUCCUAUGGUCUAAAGCUAACUGACUUUUUAAGUGUAAAAUCCCUAAUUUCACUGCAUUUGGAUUGAUCACAGUUCAUGACUUGUUAAACUUGAUCUCCUUGGGCAUUUUGGGAACUUGACAGCUUAUAUUUUCUUUAGUCACAGAUGUGCCCAUAAAAGCAAAUUACAGCGACCCAAUGUCUACUAAAAACUUGGAGAAGGAACUCAAUUAGUCAACGAACAAGUGCCUCACACUUUCAUAUUAAAGACCAAAGAGAGAAAACCAAGCCGAACUCUUUGAAAUUCGUUGGCACACAUGCGUCAUUGGCUUAAUUGAAUGUAUAAUGCAUACUUAGAUACAAUGAUUCGAACAAUUGUCAUAGAUUGACAUAAGCCUCCAAACUUCAAAAAUUGAUACCUUAAGAAAGCAGAACCUGUUUUCCUUCAUAUUUGUGCUCUUUUGAUUAGCCUAUCUCGCGAUCACUUGAUUCAUUCUAAUCACUAUGAAAACAGCUUAAGAACAGUUGAUAAUCUCUAAAACAAAGAGGGAAAACAUAGAAAUACUAUCUGUACUCAAAUGAGUUCAUUUUGUGUUCAAAUUCUAAGUAAUUAAUAAUAAGAAGGAUACCAAGAAUAUUAUUUACCCAAAUCUUGUAAUUAAUACUAAGAAAAAUACCAUGAAUUCCAUUUUGGGAAGCUGCUUUUAGCUUAGUAGCUCCAUUUGAGAAUGCAAAUAUGGCAUACCAGUCGAGGGUCCAACCCAAAGGAAGUGAAAGCCUUUUUUACAGUUCAACAUACGCUCCUCUGGUGAAAACAUGUCCCACAAUGCAGCAAAAAAUAGAGUCAAAGGAAUAAUAGUUGGUUUCCAUUUAGAACCUCAAAACCCCACUUCAGUCCUUCUCUUAGUGGAGAAAACAGCAUCUCUGGUGAAAGUGAAUUCGAACUCGGCAUCCAUUCCUCCAUCAUACAUAGAAGCAACCACAUCCUGAAAGUAAGUCCCCUGACGAACUUCCCAUCCAUCCACUGACUCCGGAGUCUUGAACUUUACAAUUGUAAGUUUGCUCUUGCAACUCUUUCCUGCUCGUAAUUGCACCAUUUUGUUGUUAUAGUCCUGCAAUGCAAACAGUCAAAAGCUUCACAUAUGCAACUCUCAACAACAACAACAACAACAACAAAGCCUUUUCCCACUAAGUGGGGUCGGCUAUAUGAAUCCUAGAACGCAAUUGCGCUCGGUUUUGUGUCAUGUCCUCCGUUAGAUCCAAGUACUCUAAGUCUUUUCUUAGAGUCUCUUCCAAAGUUUUCCUAGGUCUUCCUCUACCCCUUCGGCCCUGAACCUCUGUCCCGUAGUCACAUCUUCGAACCGGAGCGUCAGUCGGCCUUCUUUGCACAUGUCCAAAUCACCGGAGCCGAUUUUCUCUCAUCUUUCCUACAAUUUCGUCUACUCCGACUUUACCUCGGAUAUCCUCAUUCCCAAUCUUAUCCUUUCUCGUGUGCCCACACAUCCCACGAAGCAUCCUCAUCUCCGCUACACCCAUUUUGUGUACGUGUUGAUGCUUCACCGCCCAACAUUCUGUGCCAUACAACAUCGCUGGCCUUAUUGCCGUCCUAUAAAAUUUUCCCUUGAGCUUCAGUGGCCUACGACGGUCACACAACACGCCGGAUGCACUCUUACACUUCAUCCAUCCAGCUCGUAUUCUAUGGUUGAGAUCUCCAUCUAAUUCUCCGUUCUCUUGCAAGAUAGAUCCUAGGUAGCGAAAACGGUCGCUUUUUGUGAUCUUCGCUAGAUUGCUCCUUUUUUUCAUUAGUGUGGAUAAGUAUAUAAAUGGAUAGAGAUAUAGGAAAGCAAACACAAGAUGUACGUGGUUCACCCAGAUUGGCUACGUCCACGGAAUAGAAGAGUUCUCAUUAAUUGUGAAGGGUUUACACAAGUACAUAGGUUCAAGCUCUCCUUUAGUGAGUACAAGUGAAUGAUUUAGUACAAAUGACAUUAGGAAAUAUUGUGGGAGAAUGAUCUCGUAAUCACGAAACUUCUAAGUAUCGGAGUGUGGUGUCGUCUUGACUUGCCUUAUCUGUCUCAUAGGUAGCAUCUUCUCUGGAAGUACUCUUCCUCCAUCCAGGGGUGGUAUCUUUAAUUGGUGGAGAUGCACAAGGUAAUGUAUCAAUUUCACUUGAAGCUUACUUGUAGUUUCAGGCUUGGUCAAGCGCGAUACAAACCAUGUAGUAGGAGUCCCCCAAGUCGCCGAGCUAGGGGGUCUGCUGAAAGAGGUGACAGACAAGGUAAGCAAUCAGAGCUCCGACUGAUUGUUCACCUUCUCCCCAUCUUGCAGCAGCAUGAAGGAUAAAGAGAAGAAAAAUGAGAAGAGAUGAUAUGAGAUACUUUUGCUUUUGAAGAAGUAACUUUCCACAGGCUUAUUCUUGAACUGAGCUGGAGGGUUUUCUGGUUUCCUCCAGAGUAUAAGGUCGACUGAAGAAUUUGAGGGUCAAAACAAGUCCAUCAAAUCUAGAGUACGUUCCACCCUGCUGAUAUGGGAUACUUUUGCUUUUGACAAAGUAAUGGAUGUAUCGGCAUGUGUGCUGUUACGCUUGUCUCCACAUGCUUCCUUGUAUCCUUCGCACUUGCCCUAUCUGUUCCUCAAGUAGAUGCAGAAUCUUCCCUGGAAACAUAAGAUGUUGAAGAUGAGUACUCGAGAGCAAUGCCAGGUAAGUAAUCAGGUAAGGGGUUUCAGGCAGUCAGUUCCUGGCUGGAAUCUUGAUUCCAAGUGCUGACUGAUUGCUCUCUUUCUCCUUGUCUUGCAGGUAAAAACAAGGCCAAAAGAAAAGACAGGGAAAAAGCAUGAUAUGGGAUACUCUUGCUUUUAACCCUGAUGAUAUGAGAUAUUCUUGCUCUAGUAUAGCUUGUUUGCAGAGGUAUUAUCGGGGGGAAAGAAAGCUGAAUAUUUCGAAAGGCUUCGUUGGGAGUGCCCUCUCAGAUAUGAUGAUGAAGGGUUGAACAUUUUUGCAGGUCUGCCUGUCCGUUGGGAUGGAGGUCGACAUAUAUAUAGGAGUCUCCCUAACAACAAGUAGUAAUGCUAUUCCUUUACCCUGCUUGGUCAUAGCACCGUAGUGGGAGCUGCCAGUUUCACAUGUUUUAACUCUGUCAGAGCACUUUGAAAAAGUGGUCUGUGGUAUAUGGCUCUCGAGAUUCGGAGAACGAUGCUCUCUUCGAUUUUUGAGAAAGCAAUCAUGCUGGGGGUCUGGCUCUCGAGAUUCGGAGAGCAGUGUCUCUUCGAUUUUUGAGGAAGUAAUCAUGUUGGGAGUCUGGCUCUCGAGAUUCGGAGGGCGGUGCCUCUUCGAUUUUGGAGCAAGCAAUCUUGUUGGGAGUGUUGUCUCGAAUGUGAGUAAAGGUUGGGCAUGUUUGCUAGUCUACCUUGCCACGAAGCACAAAGGUUGACACACAGGGACUUUCCAAUUAUCCAGCAAUGGUACUGUUCCUUUACCCUCUCUUCGAUUUUGAGAAAGUAGUCAUGUUGGGAGUCUGGCUCUCGAGAUUCAGAGGACGGUGCCUCUUCGAUAUCCAGCAGUGGUACUGUUCCUUUACCCUUGUGGGUAAUAAUAUGGUAGCUAGACCUUCAAAAAUUUAUGUGUCCAAACUUUGUUAGUGCUGUUUCUUUGCUAUUCUUUUACCUUUCUUGGUCAGAGCGAUGUAGUGGGAGCUGCAAGCUUCACGUGCUCAACUUUGGCAGAGAAACUUUGGCAAAGUCAUCUGUGGUACCCAUGAGCUAUUGUUGCGUGUGGGAAGUGGAUGAUUGAACAGUAAGAUUCAUGUGCUUUCUACUUCACCAGAAGUCUUCGACAGAAUGCCCAUAAUUUCUGCAAAGCUGAGUGUUCGUGUGACAGGUGCUGACAAGGCUAGAAAAGUAGGUGCCUCUUCGAUUUCUGAGAUCGGCCCUCGUGGUCUCUGAGCAGCCCAACUUUUGAGAAAGCGAGCGCCUCUUCGAUUGAUUCGGAGAACAAUGCCUCAUCGAUUUUUGAGAAAGCAAUCAUGCUGUGGGUCUGGCUCUCGAGAUUCGGGGAGCAGUGUCUCUUCGAUUUUUGAUAAAGUAAUCAUGUUGGGAGUCUGGCUCUCGAGAUUCGGAGGGCGGUGCCUCUUCGAUUUUGGAGCAAGCAAUCUUGUUGGGAGUGUUUUCUCGAAUGUGAGUAAAGGUUGGGCAUGUUUGCUAGUCUACCUUGCCACGAAGCACAGAGGUUGCCACACAGGGACUUUCCAAUUAUCCAGCAAUGGUACUGUUCCUUUACCCUCUCUUCGAUUUUUAAGAAAGUAGUCAUGUUGGGAGUCUGGCUCUCGAGAUUCGGAGGACGGUGCCUCUUCGAUUUUGGAGCAAGCAAUCUUAUUGGGAGUGUUUUCUCAAAUGUGAGUAAAGGUUGGGCAUGUUUGCUAGUCUACCUUGCCACGAAGCACAGAGGUUGACACACAGGGACUUUCCAAUUAUCCAGCAGUGGUACUGUUCCUUUACCCUUGUGGGUAAUAAUAUGGUAGCUAGACCUUCAAAAUUUAUGGGUCUAAACUUUGUUAGUGCUGUUUCUUUGCUAUUCUUUUACCCUUCUUGGUCAGAGCGAUGUAGUGGGAGCUGCAAGCUUCACGUGCUCAACUUUGGCAGAGAACUUUGGCAAAGUUAUCUGUGGUACCCAUGAGCUAUUGUUGCGUGUGGGAAGUGGGUGAUUGAACAGUAAGAUUCAUGUGUUUUCUACUUCCCCAGAAGUCUUCGACAGAAUGCCCAUAAUUUCCGCAAAGCUGAGUGUGCGUGUGACAGGUGCUGACAAGGCUAGAAAAGUAGGUGCCUCUUCGAUUUCUGAGAUCGGCCCUCGUGGUCUCUGGGGAGCCCAGCUUUUGAGAAAGCGAGCGCCUCUUCGAUUUCUGAGAUCGGCCUUCGUGGUCUUUGAGCAGCCCAACUUUUGAGAAAGCAAACGCCUCUUCGAUUUCUGAGAUCAACCCUUGUGAUCUCUAAGCAGCCCAGCUUUUGAGAAAGCAAACGCCUCUUCGAUUUCUGAGCAUGCGCCUCUUCGAUUUCUGAAGCUCUGUCGAGUGCAGAUUUUUAUAGGGGCUGGCAUUAAAUUCCAAAGCACACUUGAAUCUCCACCAGUAGAAGCUUCAUUCUUGCACUUCUAAGAUUUUGAUUUGUCCGACCUCUUCUCUCUUCAACACCUUUGAAAAUGUCUGGCCCCUCCGACCGUCGUUUUGACUUGAACCUUGUUGAAGAGGCAGCCCCGCCUUCUCCAGACAACAUAUGGCGCCCAUCCUUCGUCUCCCCUACUGGUCCUCUUACCGUUGGGGAUUCCGUGAUGAAGAAUGAUAUGACCGCUGCGGUGGUGGCCAGGAACCUUCUCACUCCCAAAGAUAACAGACUACUUUCCAAACGGUCUGAUGAGUUAGCUGUUAAGGAUUCGCUGGCUCUCAGUGUUCAGUGUGCAGGUUCUGUGUCUAAUAUGGCCCAACGUCUAUUUGCUCGAACCCGCCAAGUUGAAUCAUUGGCGGCUGAAGUGAUGAGUCUCAAACAGGAGAUUAGAGGGCUCAAGCAUGAGAAUAAACAGUUGCACCGGCUCGCACAUGACUAUGCUACAAACAUGAAGAGAAAGCUUGACCAGAUGAAGGAAACUGAUGGUCAGGUUUUACUUGAUCAUCAGAGAUUUGUGGGUUUGUUCCAAAGGCAUUUAUUGCCUUCGUCUUCUGGGGCUGUACCGCGUAAUGAAGCUCCAAAUGAUCAACCUCUGAUGCCUCCUCCUUCUAGGGUUCUGUCCAGUACUGAGGCUCCAAAUGAUCCCCCUCCGGUGCCUUCUCUUUUCUGGGGCUCUACGGACUGCUGAGACUUCUCCUAAGCAACCUUUGUGAAGGCUCCCUCUUGUGUGUUUAUUUUGACUCAUGUAUAUGUAUAUAUUUGUAGCUUAUCGGGGAUAUCAAUAAAUAAGCUUUCCUUCAUUUCAACGUAUUGUGUUAAAUACACCAAAGCCUUCUUCGCUAAGUUCUUUGAAUUUUCUUUUGUUGAAGCUUGUAUGUUGAAGCUUUCUGAGUGGAGCAUGUAGGUUGGGGUAGUGUUCCCUUAAUUUCCCGAGUGAAGAAAACUUCUCGGUUGGAGACUUGGAAAAUCCAAGUCACUGAGUGGGAUCGGCUAUAUAAAUCUUAGAACGCCAUUGUGCUCGAUCCUGUGUCAUGUCCUUCGUUAGAUCCAAGUACUCUAAGUCUUUUCUUAGAGUCUCUUCCAAAGUUUUCCUAGGUCUUCCUCUACCCCUUCGGCCCUGAACCUCUGUCCCAUAGUCACAUCUUCUAAUCGGAGCGUCAGUAGGCCUUCUUUGCACAUGUCCAAACCACCGUAACCGAUUUUCUCUCAUCUUUCCUUCAAUUUCGGCUACUCCUACUUUACCCCGGAUAUCCUCAUUCCUAAUCUUAUCCUUUCUCGUGUGCCCACACAUCCAACGAAGCAUCCUCAUCUCCGCUACACCCAUUUUGUGUACGUGUUGAUGUUUCACCGCCCAACAUUCUGUGCCAUACAGCAUCGCCGGCCUUAUUGCCGUCCUAUAAAAUUUUCCCAUGAGCUUCAGUGGCAUACGGCGGUCACACAACACACCGGAUGCACUCUUCCACUUCAUCCAUCCAACUUGUAUUCUAUGGUUGAGAUCUCCAUCUAAUUCUCCGUUCUUUUGCAAGAUAGAUCCUAGGUAACGAAAACGGUCGCUCUUUGGUAUUUCUUGAUCUCCGAUCCUCACCCCUAACUCGUUUUGGCCUCUAUUUGCACUGAACUUGCACUCCAUAUAUUCUGUCUUUGAUCGGCUUAGGCAAAGACCUUUAGAUUCCAACACUUCUCUCCAAAGGUUAAGCUUUGCAUUUACCCCUUCCUGAGUUUCAUCUAUCAACACUAUAUCGUCUGCGAAAAGCAUACACCAAGGAAUAUCAUCUUGAAUAUAUCCUGUUAACUCAUCCAUUACCAACGCAAAAAGGUAAGGACUUAAGGAUGAGCCUUGAUGUAAUCCUACAGUUAUGGGAAAGCUUUCGGUUUGUCCUUCAUGAGUUCUUACGGCAGUCUUUGCUCCUUCAUACAUAUCCUUUAUAGCUUAGAUAUAUGCUACUCGUACUCCUUUCUUCUCUAAAAUCCUCCAAAGAAUGUCUCUUGGGACCCUAUCAUACGCUUUUUCCAAAUCUAUAAAGACCAUGUGUAAAUCCUUUUUCCCAUCUCUAUAUCUUUCCAUCAAUCUUCGUAAGAGAUAGAUUGCCUCCAUGUUUGAGCGCCCUGGCAUGAACCCGAAUUGAUUGUCCGAAACCCGUGUCUCUUGCCUCAAUCUAUGCUCAAUGACUCUCUCCCAGAGCUUCAUUGUAUGACUCAUUAGCUUAAUACCCCUAUAGUUCAUGCAAUUUUGUACGUCGCCCUUAUUCUUGUAGAUAGGCACCAAAGUGCUCGUUCGCCACUCAUUUGGCAUCUUCUUCGUUUUCAAAAUCUUAUUGAAAAGGUCAGUGAGCCAUGUUAUACCUGUCUCUCCCAAAAGUUUCCACACUUCGAUUGGUAUAUCGUCUGGGCCUAUUGCUUUUUAUGCUUCAUCUUCUUCAAAGCUACAACCACUUCUUCCUUCCGGAUUCGACGAUAAAAAGAGUAGUUUAUACACUCUUCUGAGUUACUCAACUCCCCUAAAGAAGCACUCAUUUCAUGUCCUUCAUUGAAAAGAUUAUGAAAAUAACCUCUCCAUCUGUCUUUAACCGCGUUCUCUGUAGUAAGAACCUUUCCAUCCUCAUCCUUGAUGCACCUCACUUGGUUUAGGUCCCUUGUCUUCUUUUCCCUUGCUCUAGAUAGUUUAUAGAUAUCCAACUCUCGAAGGGUAAAAUUCAAAUCCAACAUUGAACCAACCCAUUAACUUAAAAGACAUCAAAACCGAAACAGAUUACUAAAUAUCAAAAAGGAGUAUUUCAAGGAUAUGGCGAUAAGGAUCACACCUGAAAUGCUAUAGUAAGAUUGUAGACCCCUCUUUUGAUCAACCCUGCAGAGGUCUUCCUUGAUAGUAGAGCGUGCAGUAGCACAAUAGAUAAUCUUGUUACAGCCCUGUACUGCGGUGUACAGGGUAGCAGGACCAUCCAUAUCCCCAGUCAAUGGCAAGACAUAUGAAAGAAGAUUGAAAAUGAUAACACCCACCAUUUAACCAAGUAAAAGCAGAGUUAACGCAGAGAAAACAACAAAAAAUAUCUUGCAAACCCUCGAUUUAUCGGUAAAGCACAUCAAAACCAAACAGUCAAGAAAAUAGUUUAAAACCAAUUCUAUAUUUCUAAUCAGAAGAUGUGCAAUUUUUUUUUAUUCGUCAAUUUGUGGCACUUCAUUCUCAAUAAAGAGCACUUCACAAAAUUCCAGAUCUGCUACAACAUCAAAGGUCAGACCGAAUAGGAAAACGACAUCAUUCAUUAUCCAAAUUGAAACAACAAUCCCACUAAAAUUGACUACUCAUAAGAAUCUCAUUCCACAAAACAACUGCAGGCAAAAAAAAUCCCCAAGAUACAUACUAUCAUCCAAAUCAUCCACCGCCAUUAACAAAAAGCACAACCCAUAUCUUCCUUCAGCUAAGAUUAAAGAAAAAAUUGAAACCCUAAUCAUUCUCGAACAUGCUUUUGGAAUCAGAAUAGAAAGGAAACUUGAAAUUAGAGGAUCAUGCAGAACUGGGCUGGGGAUUGGACUUGUGCUCUGAAUCGACCUCUUCCUCUUCCUCUUCAGAUUGAUCACCGAAUAGGUUCUACAUCACCUGGUGCCGCUUCUUCCUCCCCCAUCGCUGCUGCUGUGUGUUGUGGUCAGAGCCCUCAAACUACUGACAUUAAAUAGUUCAUUUCAUUAGAUCAUUGGAACUAUCACCAUAGCAUCCUGCAAAUUUCGAGAAGUGUGUGUUGAAAACAAAUCUGAAAAGGAAUGAAAACCCUGUUAACCAAACCCAUCAACAGUAACAUAAGCCUCACCAAUCGUAGCAAACAAAAUCAAUCAGACUCGGCGAAAUUCAGUCAACAAUACAAAAAAUACUCUGAAACCCAUCAGCCAAUAUACAGCACGUAGAAGCAACACAAUUUUUUUCCUUACCAAGCAAUUAAGAUGUAUUUACUUAUACACUAAGUUUUGCUAACAAUAUGUUGGAAAACUGAAUACUUACACCCCGCAUCCAAAUCCCUCUUACAUGCUUUUGGAAUGGUCUAGUCUCUCCAAUCUCUCUCAUUUUGCAAUCCAUCUCUUACUAAUUUGGCGUCAGUCUCUUGAGACUUAGAAAUCUUUCACUCAAACAUAAUCAUAUAUAUAAGGGAAUGUUUGGUAUUAUUUUUGGAUCCAAUUUAUUGUUUUGAAACUAAUGCGUAUUAAUUAAUUUAGCCACAUUUAUCAUUUAUUUAAAAAAGGACAAAAAAUCAGAUGCAAUUAAGAUUCCAAAUAGACCCUAAGUAACCUCAGCUGAGUGGUGUACAAAUCAAUGCCCAUUCUUUUCUAGUGAGCUAUGAUAAAUUCAAUUGGACAAAAAUAAGUACAUCUGUCAGUUGAUGCUCAGACUUUACAGAAGUCAAAUAAAUUAAAAUGUUGAUCAACUUCAACAUGUUUACGUCAAUCAUGUUGAACUGGAGUGUGAGUGGGAGUAUAGAAAGCCUUGUGAAGUUAACCCAAGUUUGCAUCAGUGCCAAGGCGGAACUUGACAUUUCACCAUGGCUAAAAAAACUCCUACAGAAACCUAACCGGUGCAAGAAAUUGAAUAGAAACUUCUUAUUUGCUGCUCAUUUCGGAAGGCCAGUUCGAAAAAACCUCCUAUUUUAGAUUGCAAAUUUUGUGAUGACAAAAGAUAAAGUAGAACAUAAUAAGUUUUCUGCACUCUUCUCUAUUUCCAGAAAUAGAACUUGAUACUACUGUCACGGCCACGAAAAAUUCAUCGGCACCCUACCUGAUGCAAGCAACGGACUAGGAACUUUAAUUGGGUGCUCAUUUCAGAAUGUCAGUUGGAAAACAUCCUAUUUUCUAUUCAAUCUCUUUGCCCACUGCAUUACAACACAUCAGAGUGUUUUCUUCACUGCGUAUAUAAAAAAUCUUCGGUGCUCUUAGUGAUUUCCUAUCAAUACUGGAUUCUAUAUUUGGUCAAUUCUUAAAUCUAUACUUUACUGGACCUGUUUAGUCAUUCAACAACCUCACAACUUCCAAAAAAAUUCACCAUCAUGCCAACAUGCUUGGGUGAUUAACUAGUGAACAUACAGACAGCCCUGAUUCAAAACAUUUCUCAAGAGAAAUUCAUGUUCAAAACAACUUAAAACUCCAAGCAUUAACCAAACAAAAUGAUUAGGAGGAUGAAAGAUAGAAACUUGUAACAGAGAACAAUUGCCCAAAAUAGAAAACACUUUAUUCCUCCCCAAUUUCUGAAAAUCCAGAGAAAGCGGGAUUAACUUCAGAUACAAUCCCACACUUGAAAAAGCUAAUGUGCUUCACUUUCAAUACCAAACCGCUAGUCUUGUAUGCAUGCAUGUAUACACACUACUGAAAAGAGUAAUUCUUAAUCCAGCAUGGGCAGAAUAGUACCGUUACCCUCAAACGGGCAAGGCUAAAGGGCGAGAUGCGGGUUUAGUGCAUUGUGGGUGUGUGGGUUUGUUAACUUAACCAAGUAAAACAACUACUAAUCCAGCCAUUUUUCCUACUCUAUUCCAAACUUAUUCCCAAAGUCUGCUACUAAUAGGACUCAUUACUAGUGAGGAAGAAAGAUUUAGCACUACAUGUUAAGAGCAUGAGGUACACAUCAAACGGAACACACUCAAAUCAAAAACAUAAAUUCCUAAUCAAUGUAUAAUCAUUAUUGGGAUUCGCAUUCUUCAACCAAACUAUGAACAAAAGAGCCAGGCCAAUGAACAGAAAAUAAACUUAAAUUACAACAUAAAGCAGAGUAAGUAUUUAAACAUCAACAACUUCAGACAAAAACUAUGAAGUUCCGAUUCCUCAAAUGCAUAUUCCAAAUUGCAGUACAAACACUAAGCACAAAAACCAUAGAUAAAGUAAAACAACAGACAAUGCACUUUCCCCAAAUAACUCAAUUUACCUCUGACUCUCUCAUACCGCUUUGGCCUCCCGCCUUGGCAUUCCCUCUCUCGACCUUUUUCGCCUCCGCCUUAUCUGGUUUCGCCGCCUCCCCUGAGCAACACCCACCUUCAUGAUGGUGAUGAUGGUGGUGAUGCCCAUGGCCCAUGCCCAUGCCCAUGCCCAUUCCCAUGACCAUGCACAUGCCCAUGACUAUGUCCAUGCACUUUCUUCCCCUUGAGCUCCUUCCUCAUAUCAUACGCAUCUUCCCCAUCGGCAUAUUACUUCGCCUUCACAUCAUGAAUCUUAUAUCCCAAAGUCUCAGUGUACAAAUUGAACGCUGCCCGAUUGCUCUUCCUCACAUGAAGCGACACGUACUCCGCCGCAAACACCUGUUCCCUGGCGUUCUGGGCGGCGUUCAUGAGCUUGGUGGCGAGGCCGAGUUUGCGGUAGGUGCGGAGGACGGCGAGGGAGGUAAUGUGGCCGUGGCACUCGUUACUCUCCUCCUCCAUCUUGGCCAGGACGUAGCCGACGAUGCGACCGUUGUAGUCUUCGGCGACGUAGAGGAGCUGCGGCCAUGAGAGGAUGUGAUAGAGGUAGUACUUCAUCUGGCAACUCUCAGGGAGGCAGAAAAGGUUGCAGGCUUGCAUCGCCAGGAGGUUGUCGAUUGCGGCCUUGCGUAUGCACACCAUUUGUGGUGCUCCUGGAGUUUCUAGGGUUAGGGUUUUGGUGUGGGAAUUUUGUUUUUAGGGAAGAAGAGAGGAGUGAGGUCAAAAGAAAUAUGGGGUCUUGUGGGAUUUUCAAUGGGAUUGGGCUUGGGCUGAGUUAUGGGCUUGAUGAGUUUAAUUAUGGGCUUAAAGUCCAUACCUUUCAAAAAAAUUAAAUACCGAAAAAAAUCAUUUCGUCGAUUUUUCUCUUGAACUUUUAUUUUUCUCCAUUCUUUUACCUUCAUGUACCAUCAUGUUUCUCUGUAAUUCAUCUAANNNNNNNNNNNNNNNNNNNNNNNNNNNNNNNNNNNNNNNNNNNNNNNNNNNNNNNNNNNNNNNNNNNNNNNNNNNNNNNNNNNNNNNNNNNNNNNNNNNNNNNNNNNNNNNNNNNNNNNNNNNNNNNNNNNNNNNNNNNNNNNNNNNNNNNNNNNNNNNNNNNNNNNNNNNNNNNNNNNNNNNNNNNNNNNNNNNNNNNNNNNNNNNNNNNNNNNNNNNNNNNNNNNNNNNNNNNNNNNNNNNNNNNNNNNNNNNNNNNNNNNNNNNNNNNNNNNNNNNNNNNNNNNNNNNNNNNNNNNNNNNNNNNNNNNNNNNNNNNNNNNNNNNNNNNNNNNNNNNNNNNNNNNNNNNNNNNNNNNNNNNNNNNNNNNNNNNNNNNNNNNNNNNNNNNNNNNNNNNNNNNNNNNNNNNNNNNNNNNNNNNNNNNNNNNNNNNNNNNNNNNNNNNNNNNNNNNNNNNNNNNNNNNNNNNNNNNNNNNNNNNNNNNNNNNNNNNNNNNNCACAAAAAUGUAACUAGAUUGAGUGAAUUGAUUAUGAGUGAACUGAGAAUAAGAGAUGAAGUUGUAGUGAGUUUUGGUUGGAUAAUUUGGUAUUUAUAGGAAUGAUGAGAGAACAAUAUGAGAGAGUAACUCAAAUUGAAACUAUUAAUCUUUUAACAGAAGCAAUAUGAAAAGAGAAAAAACAAAAUUGAAAACCAACAUGAGAAAGUAACCUAAAUUGAAACAGUUAUUUAAUUGGAACCGUUGAUCUUUCAAUGGUAAUAAAAUUUAAAAAGCAAGAAAUCAAUCUAGACCUUCUAUUUUAAACGGUUGAAAAAAAAUAAGGUCAUGUGACUGGGAUCCACACUUACUUUUCCACUUAAAUUGUCCUAUUAGGUCCAUCAUUUGAGUCCCUAUAGAGUCUCUAUAUGGGGGUACAUACACCAAGUAUCUGGCAAGUCCCUAUACUUUAGGGACUCACUUUCCGAUCCAUUGGAGAUUCAUUUUGUCUCUAUAUUUGUUUUAUACUCAUUUUAUACGGUGAUUGUCCCCAUAUAGGGACUCCACUGGAGAUCUCCAUAGCCUGUUUUGAAGUGCUUCUUUGAACUUUUAGAAGAAAAAAAAUUGAAAGUGCUUGCUGGAAAAGUAGUUGAAGUGCUACUUUCAAAGUGCUUUUCUUUCUAACCCAUAAGCAUGUUUAAUUGUCAUGAAGCAUUUUUGGUAUCUGAAAGUGUUUUUAGCUAUUCUAAAAGCAUUUGUAAACAGGACCGAAAUUAAUUAGGCAGGAUUCAAUUUGGUUUGUUGAAGUAGUUGCGGUGUUUGCUAGAGCCUAGAAGCAAGGACAUUUGAUUGCAAUCAUGCUGUUAUUCUUUUACAUUUGUGUUUGUGUUUGGGUUCACUAAACUGCAUCUGGAAGGUUUAAUUUCAUUGUUUCGUACUGAAAUGGUUACUUCUGUCGAAAGACACUAUCAAUAGCAACAAGUGAAACUGCUAAAGGAUGUUGCUUUCGAAUUGAAGGAAUAUAUCCCUAGCUAUGAUGUUAUUUGAGGAUUUCUUGGUUAAAUGGCCAUCCUGAAAUGUAUGAUAGUUCAAAAUGAUAGUUCAAUCAAUUGAUCUUUGCAAUGUCUGCAAACUAGGCUCUUGGAUUAUCCUACAUUUCACAUUCUUAACGUACGGUCUUUUAACUUGGUUCUUUCAGUCAAGGGACAUGUAUUUCUUGAAGAAAUUCUUGAAUUUGAAGGGAGAUGACGCUUUUAGAAUGAAUGAAGUGCUUGUGUCCAUUUGGUACAUAAUGGGUUUCUUCCAUCAUCUUGAGUGUUUCUUGUCCCCCCCCCCCAUUUUUUUCUUUUGGUUUGCGAUUCUAUUUAUUUACUCGGAAGGAUUAUAGUGGAUAGUUAUCAGUGAGUCAAAUAACUUUCUCCUUAAAAAGCUUUUGAUGUAACACAACGAAUGAUGCCUCUUGGCUUGAGCUACCUAAGAGUUCACGUCUCUUCUUAAAACCAUUGCAUGAGUGCAAUACUAAUUAGCCAAGUAGAAGGGCCAACCUGAGAGUGAGGCAAAAGCUGGGAACGGGCUUAAACUUACCAUUCGAAGACCAAGUCAGAGUCUGCUGGGAAAGCUUUUUUCGAGUAGCAUAUAUCAAAGCCAUAGAGGAUAUGUAUGAUAGAGCAAGGAUUGUCGUAAGAACCCAUGAGGAACAAACCAAAAGUUUCUCCAUAACUGUAGGGUUACAUCAAGGCUUAUCUUUAAGUCCUUACCUUUUUGCAUUGGUAAUGGAUGAGUUAACGGGACAAAUUCAAGAUGAUAUUCUUUGGUAUAUGCUUUUCGCAGAGACGAUAUAGUGUUGAUAGAUGAAAUUCAGGAAUGAGUAAAUGUGAAGUUUAACCUUUGGAGAGAAAUGUUGGAAUCCAAAGGUCUUCAGCUAAGUCGGUCAAAGACGGAGUAUAUGGAGUGCAUGUUUAGUUCAACCAGAGGCUCAAAUGAGUUAGGGAUGAGGAUUGGAGACCAGGAAGUACCAAAGAGUGACUGCUUUCGCUAUUUAGGAUCUAUCUUGCAAAAGAACGGAGAAUUAGAUGGAGACCUCAACCAUAGAAUACAAGUUGGAUGAAUGAAGUGAAAGCGUGCAUCCAGCGUGUUGUGUGUGACUAUCGUAUGCUACUGAAGCUCAAGGGAAAAUUUUAUAGGUCGGCAAUGCUUUAUGGCACGGAAUGUUAGAUGGUGAAACAUCAACACGUACAUAAAAUGGGUGUAGCGGAGAUGAGAAUGCUUCGUUGGAUGUGUGGGCACACGAGAAAUGAUAAGAUUAUGAAUGAGGAUAUCCGAGGUAAAAUAGGAGUAGCCGAAAUUAAAGGAAAGAUGAGAGAAAAUGGGUUACGGUGAUGUGGACAUGUGAAACGAAGGCCUACUGACGCUCCAGUUAAAAUAUGCGAUUACGGGAUAGAAGUUCAAGGUCGAAGAGGUAAAAGAAGACCUAGGAAGACUUGAGAAUAGACUAUAAGAAAAGACUUAGAGUACUUGGAUAUAACGGAAGAUGUGACAUAGUACCGAGCGCAAUAACGUUCUAGGAUUUAUAUAGCCGAUACCACUUAAUGGGAAAAGACUUUGUUGUUAUUGUUUGUUAUCCUAUAAUGUGCAGCUCAAGAAGCAAAGUUCCUGUCUGGCCUUUCUUGAUACUUUCAUGCUUUGGCGGGCCGUACGCUCUUCUUCCCUAUUUUGUACUGUGGAGACCACCGCCACCUCCUGUCGAUGAAAGUGAGCUCACAAGAAGGCCUCUCAACUUUCUUGGAUCCAAAUUAACUGCUUGGGAAAGAAACUUUUCACUUCCUGUUCACACUCAACUUUCUGGAAGAUACCGUUUAGCAUCAGACGGAAACAUUCAACCGAUCUUACAAUUUGAUAUUUCCUGUGUUUCUCCCUCCUUUUAUGUUGUAAACUUGUAUUUACUCAUCGAUAAAUGACGAUCAUUGAAGUGACAAUCUGAAUAUUUUCGCGUAAAUAGUUGAAACAUAGUCGUAGUAACAUUGAUUUUUCGAUAUGUUUUGUAAAAUGUAACUCCAUUACGCGUCAGAUAUCACUUGCUGCAGGACUAGGUUUAAUCGUCUCUGCGGGUCUAGCAGCUGGGGCUGACUGGAAGGAAUAUUACCAGUACUUCAAUGAGAGUAAAUUUGUAAGUUACUCAAACCAUCAACGCAUAUACUUCACAACCAUUUCUGUAGUCCCUCGCGUUCGAAACAAACGGCUAUGAUACAAUCCCACAGCAUGAAAUCUGUACUGAAGCGUACGACACUGGAACCUUGUAUAUAUAGAUCCACGCGACGAGCCUUGAUUUCACCCUGCUAUCUGCAUUUGCUCCGUUUUGGGUCUACAGCGAUAUGACUGCCCGGAAAUGGUGACUGUUUUGUUGAUGUGUACAUUUCUCUUAAGUUCAAGCUCUGAAUCCCUCUAGGGAGAGUUCAUUUGCUGCAAAAUAUUCAAACGCUUCCAUUUCUUUUCGCAGGUUCGACGAUGGUUCUUGGCUUCUGUUCUUAUCGUUGGUGCCACUCGUAGGCCCUGCUCUGUAUCUCGUCUUACGGCCAUCGCUACCAACCGAAAACGUCACUUAGCCCUACUGAGCCGAAGUAGUUACUGAAACCUCUGCAUGAACAUCAUUCGCAUGGCACCGUGACACAAGACGGGUACAGAUUAUAACUCUGCAGACAAGGAGCAUAUACCGUCAUUCAGAACUUUACUGAAGUUGCUCUUCACUGAUAUCUUCUACGUUACAUUUUAACAAUAUUCAAACUACAUCAAAUCAAUCUAACCUUUCAUCUUACAUCUAUGAGAUGAAGACAUUUAACAAAUAGUCCACUUGGUGCAUGGCAGUGCCUUCGCCAUGAGCGGUAGGUCUCGGGUUCGAGACUUGGGAGCAGCCUCUCCAUAAAUGGGGGUAAGGCUAGCCGACAUUCACCUCUCCCAGACCUGCGUAAAGCGGGAGCCUUGUGCACUAGGUACGACCUUUUUUUAUUAUUAUUUGUUUUUUUCCUCAACCCUCAAUUUUUUGAAACUAGAAAUUAAAGGAAAUCUAAUUUCCUCAGCUGAAAGAAGGUGUCAGAAACGUGCAGUGCUGGGUGUAUAAAUUCGCACUGAAGAUACAAAUAAAAUUAGACUGAUUGCUUUCUAUUUGGAAGUGCUGGGUGUAGAAAGGUAGAGCGGUGGGUGUACAAAUGAUGACCGGUUAUAAUAGCGGGCCCAAGGGGUGUGGAAGAGAGAACAUGUAUUGGAAAUCAAAUGAAAAAACGACACAACACAAGCAGAGCACUAGCUAUUUGUGAAGGACCCGGCUGGCAUUAAAAAUCAACUUUUCAAUUAUUAAGGCCAGCUGUAACAUAUUGACCAUUCUUAGGUCUUUGUUUUUAUUUUAUACAUUGAAUGAUGUGUGAGUGGUUGGAUGAGAGAUGGGCAUGUAAAGACUAGCAGGAGGAGCCAUCUUUCAUUACGCAAAAUCAAUUUCUUAGUUACAACUUUAUAUUUUAAUUUACUUCACUUGGGUUUUUGCUUGUUCUGAAUACAAGAAAUGGCAGAAGGAGUUCUCUUUAAUAUUGUAGAACGGAUCAUUGUAAGGCUUGGCAACCGUGCUUUCCAAGAGAUUGGGUCGAUUUGGGGUGUCCAAGAUGAGCUCAACAAGCUCAAGGAGACAGUUGUCGGAUUCCAAGCUGUUCUUCUAGACGCUGAGCAAAAGCAAGCCAACAACAGUGAAGUCAAACUAUGGCUCGAAAGCGUAGAAGAUGCAGUUUAUGAAGCCGAUGAUGUGCUGGAUGAGUUUAAUACUGAAGUUCAGCGGAGACUAGUGAUGCAUGGCAAUACUAAGCUGUCAAAGAAGGUAUGCCUCUUUUUUCUUUAGCUCAAAUGAAUUUGCUUUCUGACGAAAGAUGAAUCAUUAAAUAAAAUAUAUUAACAAGAUGAUUCGAGAGGUUGCACCUUGUAGAACAUUUUCGUAGUCACGUAAGCUUAUCGAUAUUAACCUAUUAGGAGCACAAUAGGUCUCUCAAUAACUUAUAUUUAACUGCAAUAAAUCUUCUACAUUAUUGUUUUGAAUGUUUCGUAUAACUUACCGUUACAAAACUCUAUUAACUUAUUAACACAGUUCUAUCGAAAAAAUGAUUGUGUCUACUCAAACUCUUACAGGUGCGUCUUUUCUUUUCUAGCUCAAAUCAACUUGUUUUUGGGUUAAAGAUGAGUCAUAAGAUAAAAGAUAUCAACAAGAGGCUUAGUGAGAUUGAAUCCCGUAGACCCAAGGACUUAAACAAUAAUCGUGAAGAUACAAGAUUAAUAUUGAGAGAGAGGGUUACUCACUCAUUUGUCCCUAAGGAAAAUAUUAUAGGGAGAGAUGAAGAUAAAAAGGCACUUAUCCAACUUUUGUUGGAUCCCAUCUCAACUGAGAAUGUUUCAACCGUUUCCAUAGUUGGAAUUGGAGGAUUGGGGAAAAGUGCCCUUGCCCAACUCAUAUUCAAUGAUGAGGUGAUUCAAAAGCAUUUUGAGUUGAAAAUAUGGAUAUGUGUCUCUAAUAUAUUUGAGUUGGAUAUAUUGGCAAAGAAAAUCCUAAAAGCUGACAAGCUUGAUAAAAAGGAGCGUGAUAAGGUGGACCAGCUUGAUAUGGAUCAGCUGCAAAAUGAUCUUAGAAAAAAAGUAAAUGGGAAGAAAUACCUACUUGUGUUGGAUGAUGUGUGGAAUGAGGAUCCACAUAAGUGGCUUAGCUUGAUGGACUUGUUAAGGGGUGGUGGAGAAGGUAGUAGAAUAUUAAUAACCACACGUACUGAAAUCGUUGCGAUGACAUCACACACACAACUAAACAGUACGCCUUAAGGGGUUUGAAUGAAGAGCAAAGCUAGUCUUUAUUUAAGAAAAAUGGCUUUUAAAGAUGGAGAAGAACCAGAGAAUUCAACAAUUAAGGCAGUUGGGAUGGAGGUUGUAAGAAAAUGUCAGGGAGUUCCACUCGCUCUAAGGACGAUAGGUGGGAUGUUGCGCACCAAACAUCAUGAAAUAGAAUGGCUUAAUUUCAAAGAAAGGAAACUUUCAAAAAUAAGUCAAAAAGAAGAUGAUAUUUUACCAACACUUAAACUAAGUUAUGAUGUGCUCCCAUCACAUUUGAAGCAUUGUUUUGCUUAUUGUAGCUUGUUCCCACCUGAUUAUGAUAUCUCUGUACCAAGAUUGAUUAGACUUUGGGUGGCCCAAGGGUUCGUUAAGUCAUCCGACGAAAUCGAGUGUUUGGAGGAUGUUGCGUUUGAAUAUUAUAGGGAAUUGUUGUGCAGAUCGUUUUUUCAAGAAGAAAAAACAAAUGAGUUUGGUAUAAUAGAAAGUUGUAAAAUGCACGAUCUCAUGAAUGAACUUGCAAUCUUAGUGUCGGGUGUCAGGAGCGUCGUAGUUGAUCUGAACCGAAAGAACUUUCAUGAAAAGCUUCGUCACGUAUCUUUCAAUUUUGAUAUUGAUUUGUUGAAAUGGGAAGUGCCAACUUCCUUGGUAAAAGCAUGCAAGAUACGAACUUAUCUUUUUCUUUGCCAAGAGGUUUUGAAAGAUUACGAUGAGUCAUUAUGUGAUUCAUUUUGUACCACAAUUGUUUCAAAUUUUAAGUCAUUACGGAUGUUGAGUCUCAAUACAAUAUAUAUUAUAAGAUUGCCUAAUUGUUUUAAAAAAAUGAAACAUUUGAGAUAUCUUGAUCUUAGUGGGAAUCUCAUGAUGGAGAGACUUCCAGAUUGGAUAGUUGGACUUUCGAAUUUGGAAACACUAGAUCUCAGUCAGUGUCUUAGUCUUGUGGAAUUGCCUAGAGACAUUAAAAAAAUGAUCAACUUAAGGCAUCUUGGAUCAUCUUGUAUGGAUUGAGAAUUGUAUUUAUUGGGUUGAGUUGGAAUGCCACGUGACGAAUGGAAUUGGUGAAUUGAAAGGUGUUCGUACAUUGAAUAGAUUUGUUUGAGUGAGUUGUUUGGGAAUUAAAGGGGCUUGUUUGGAGGGGGUAGCUGGUCUUGCUGAGCUGGCCACCCUUAACGAAUUAAGGGGAGACUUGGUUAUUUUUGAUAAUUUGAGGCACGAGAAAGAUGUGGUGUCAGAAUCAAAUGUUGGUACACCUCUCAAGGACAAACAGCAUCUCCAUUCGUUGGAAUUGUGGUGGAAAUUUGGAGAAGAUGUAAAGGCAGUUGAUGAGGUGGAUAUUAUAAAGUCAAUGGAAGUAUUGCAACCCCAUUCUAAUCUAAAGCAGUUGUCCGUGUGGUAUUAUGGUGGUGUGAGGUUUGCGAGUUGGUUUUCUUCUCUCAUUAAUAUUGUUAAUCUCGCAUUCUGGAAUUGUAAGAGAUGCCAACAUCUUCCACCCUUGGAUCAUUUGCCUUCCCUUAAGAAACUUCAACUUGGAUAUUUGGAGAAGUUGGAGUACAUAUCAGAGAAAGAGAGCAGUAAUAGUAUGAGUGAUGAGAUGAUGAGGAUCUCAUUCUUUCCCUCCCUGGAGACACUCUGCCUAGUAGGUUGCCCUGUUCUGAAGGGAUGGUGGAGGGCGCACACUCCUAAUCUAACUUCCAUCCCUCUUUGUCCAAAUGUGGAGAGAAUACAAGUCUGUAAGAGCAGCUGGAAGGUUGUUGAUUCCUUGUUUUUUAGAGGAGCAUCUGAUAUUACACAUGAUGUUGGUGUUGAUGUUUCUGCCUCUUCUUCUUCCCCUCCUCUCUCCAAAUUAACACAUCUGUCACUUGAGGAAAUUGAGGAUUUGGCUUCACUGCCAGAAUGGAUUCGUGGACUCCCCUGUUUAAAUACAUUGCAAAUUUCUGGUUGCCCCAAGUUAUGGGAAAGAUGCGGCAAAGAAACAGGUGAGGACUGGCCUAAGAUUGCUCACAUCCCACACAUUACUAUUUGGGAUUAAGGUGCGUUUUCUAACUUGUUUCAAUUCACACUAGCCUAAUUCAAUAUAAACUAUGAAAUAUUCAAAUGCCAAUCUCAUUUCUUAAUUUUAUUCUUCAUUCAUCAUCACCGUAAUUUUUAUUUUCUUUUCAAAUGACAAACCAUAUGAACCAGAGAUUUUGGAUUCAGUGAAUGGAGGAGCAUCAACCUUUUGGAUUCAAUAUGUGAUGACCAUGUUAACUACUUGGAGUGGUUGUAUAUGAUUUUGUUUUUUUGAUCCUCGGGGUUUAGGUACUAUGUCCCUCCCGUUGUAUGUUUUUUCUUCAAGUAAUAUAAUAUGGGCGUGAGAGCCUAGCCCCCCAGCUUCGACUGGGUUCCAGCCCUCUUUAUAUAUUUCUUUUUAAUAUACGUUGAUGCUUUGGAAGCGAAACAACUUUUGUCACGUUAUAACAUAUAAGUCAGCAUAAUUAUACACAACAAUGGUAAAAAGAAUUACAUCUAUUAAUUGUCAAUGCACUGGAGUAACCAAAUAUUCUAAGACCAAAGGAACUCCAAAAUCUACUCUAGAUACGGCUCGGGACACAAAUAUCUCCUUCAAAACCCGAAAUUAAUCACAAUAAACGCUACAUUCUCAGUAAAGCAAACAAACUGAUUAUGUUUUGUUUUAGUCAAAAGGAAAUUCAUGAGAACCAUUACAAAAAUAUGUGUUGUUUUUUCCAAGUCCUCUCUCUAGAAACAACUCAGACAACUCUUAGUUUCUUUGUUUUCUUUUCCUCGAUUUCCUUAGCAAUCAAAUGGUCUCCAUAAGUAAAAACAAAUUCUUCUAACGUACCGAAUGUUUACUAAUAUUUUUCUUUUCUUUCCAUUUUUUCAGCUACCCAAUUGAACUGGUCUCUUAAGUUUUCUUAAUUUGCAAUCAAAAUCUAUUUGUUUCUUAAGUUUUCUUCAAAAAUUGUACUUAUAUGUAAUCAGAAUACUUUGAUUUCUUUAGUUUUCAUUUCCAUCUUCUAUCCCGCAUAUCUAAGUUCCUUAUUAACCCACACCAGUUCAUACUUAUAAUAUGUUAUACGUUUAUUUUUAAAAAGUUGAAGAUGCUCGUAUUGCCAACUAAAAAGGAAAAGUACGGACCUUGAUAUUCACACAGAGAUCUUCCAUGUAGUCUUUGGUAUCUACGAAAACAAACUUAUCAACAUAUCAGUCAAAGGAAAAUUAUUACAACCUCUGCAAAAUCAAAAGAUGAUACGGAUGUCAAGCGACCCCUUAAGUUAAAGGCCCUAGUGUUAAAGAAAACUGUUAGCAUCUAUUAUUGUAAAUACCUGCCAAGAAAAGAUGAAAAUAAAAUAUUAGGCAUAUGAGUGUAAGCUUACAGAACCUUAGUUUUUGUACACUUUCUUCUCCCUUCAAUGACAGUUUGUUUCUUAUCCGGAAAAAUAAAGUGAGCAGGUUAAUGAUACUCACAUGUGCAAAAUGCUAAUCCUAUGGUCUAAAGCUAACUGACUUUUUAAGUGUAAAAUCCCUAAUUUCACUGCAUUUGGAUUGAUCACAGUUCAUGACUUGUUAAACUUGAUCUCCUUGGGCAUUUUGGGAACUUGACAGCUUAUAUUUUCUUUAGUCACAGAUGUGCCCAUAAAAGCAAAUUACAGCGACCCAAUGUCUACUAAAAACUUGGAGAAGGAACUCAAUUAGUCAACGAACAAGUGCCUCACACUUUCAUAUUAAAGACCAAAGAGAGAAAACCAAGCCGAACUCUUUGAAAUUCGUUGGCACACAUGCGUCAUUGGCUUAAUUGAAUGUAUAAUGCAUACUUAGAUACAAUGAUUCGAACAAUUGUCAUAGAUUGACAUAAGCCUCCAAACUUCAAAAAUUGAUACCUUAAGAAAGCAGAACCUGUUUUCCUUCAUAUUUGUGCUCUUUUGAUUAGCCUAUCUCGCGAUCACUUGAUUCAUUCUAAUCACUAUGAAAACAGCUUAAGAACAGUUGAUAAUCUCUAAAACAAAGAGGGAAAACAUAGAAAUACUAUCUGUACUCAAAUGAGUUCAUUUUGUGUUCAAAUUCUAAGUAAUUAAUAAUAAGAAGGAUACCAAGAAUAUUAUUUACCCAAAUCUUGUAAUUAAUACUAAGAAAAAUACCAUGAAUUCCAUUUUGGGAAGCUGCUUUUAGCUUAGUAGCUCCAUUUGAGAAUGCAAAUAUGGCAUACCAGUCGAGGGUCCAACCCAAAGGAAGUGAAAGCCUUUUUUACAGUUCAACAUACGCUCCUCUGGUGAAAACAUGUCCCACAAUGCAGCAAAAAAUAGAGUCAAAGGAAUAAUAGUUGGUUUCCAUUUAGAACCUCAAAACCCCACUUCAGUCCUUCUCUUAGUGGAGAAAACAGCAUCUCUGGUGAAAGUGAAUUCGAACUCGGCAUCCAUUCCUCCAUCAUACAUAGAAGCAACCACAUCCUGAAAGUAAGUCCCCUGACGAACUUCCCAUCCAUCCACUGACUCCGGAGUCUUGAACUUUACAAUUGUAAGUUUGCUCUUGCAACUCUUUCCUGCUCGUAAUUGCACCAUUUUGUUGUUAUAGUCCUGCAAUGCAAACAGUCAAAAGCUUCACAUAUGCAACUCUCAACAACAACAACAACAACAACAAAGCCUUUUCCCACUAAGUGGGGUCGGCUAUAUGAAUCCUAGAACGCAAUUGCGCUCGGUUUUGUGUCAUGUCCUCCGUUAGAUCCAAGUACUCUAAGUCUUUUCUUAGAGUCUCUUCCAAAGUUUUCCUAGGUCUUCCUCUACCCCUUCGGCCCUGAACCUCUGUCCCGUAGUCACAUCUUCGAACCGGAGCGUCAGUCGGCCUUCUUUGCACAUGUCCAAAUCACCGGAGCCGAUUUUCUCUCAUCUUUCCUACAAUUUCGUCUACUCCGACUUUACCUCGGAUAUCCUCAUUCCCAAUCUUAUCCUUUCUCGUGUGCCCACACAUCCCACGAAGCAUCCUCAUCUCCGCUACACCCAUUUUGUGUACGUGUUGAUGCUUCACCGCCCAACAUUCUGUGCCAUACAACAUCGCUGGCCUUAUUGCCGUCCUAUAAAAUUUUCCCUUGAGCUUCAGUGGCCUACGACGGUCACACAACACGCCGGAUGCACUCUUACACUUCAUCCAUCCAGCUCGUAUUCUAUGGUUGAGAUCUCCAUCUAAUUCUCCGUUCUCUUGCAAGAUAGAUCCUAGGUAGCGAAAACGGUCGCUUUUUGUGAUCUUCGCUAGAUUGCUCCUUUUUUUCAUUAGUGUGGAUAAGUAUAUAAAUGGAUAGAGAUAGGAAAGCAAACACAAGAUGUACGUGGUUCACCCAGAUUGGCUACGUCCACGGAAUAGAAGAGUUCUCAUUAAUUGUGAAGGGUUUACACAAGUACAUAGGUUCAAGCUCUCCUUUAGUGAGUACAAGUGAAUGAUUUAGUACAAAUGACAUUAGGAAAUAUUGUGGGAGAAUGAUCUCGUAAUCACGAAACUUCUAAGUAUCGGAGUGUGGUGUCGUCUUGACUUGCCUUAUCUGUCUCAUAGGUAGCAUCUUCUCUGGAAGUACUCUUCCUCCAUCCAGGGGUGGUAUCUUUAAUUGGUGGAGAUGCACAAGGUAAUGUAUCAAUUUCACUUGAAGCUUACUUGUAGUUUCAGGCUUGGUCAAGCGCGAUACAAACCAUGUAGUAGGAGUCCCCCAAGUCGCCGAGCUAGGGGGUCUGCUGAAAGAGGUGACAGACAAGGUAAGCAAUCAGAGCUCCGACUGAUUGUUCACCUUCUCCCCAUCUUGCAGCAGCAUGAAGGAUAAAGAGAAGAAAAAUGAGAAGAGAUGAUAUGAGAUACUUUUGCUUUUGAAGAAGUAACUUUCCACAGGCUUAUUCUUGAACUGAGCUGGAGGGUUUUCUGGUUUCCUCCAGAGUAUAAGGUCGACUGAAGAAUUUGAGGGUCAAAAACAAGUCCAUCAAAUCUAGAGUACGUUCCACCCUGCUGAUAUGGGAUACUUUUGCUUUUGACAAAGUAAUGGAUGUAUCGGCAUGUGUGCUGUUACGCUUGUCUCCACAUGCUUCCUUGUAUCCUUCGCACUUGCCCUAUCUGUUCCUCAAGUAGAUGCAGAAUCUUCCCUGGAAACAUAAGAUGUUGAAGAUGAGUACUCGAGAGCAAUGCCAGGUAAGUAAUCAGGUAAGGGGUUUCAGGCAGUCAGUUCCUGGCUGGAAUCUUGAUUCCAAGUGCUGACUGAUUGCUCUCUUUCUCCUUGUCUUGCAGGUAAAAACAAGGCCAAAAGAAAAGACAGGGAAAAAGCAUGAUAUGGGAUACUCUUGCUUUUAACCCUGAUGAUAUGAGAUAUUCUUGCUCUAGUAUAGCUUGUUUGCAGAGGUAUUAUCGGGGGGAAAGAAAGCUGAAUAUUUCGAAAGGCUUCGUUGGGAGUGCCCUCUCAGAUAUGAUGAAGGGUUGAACAUUUUUGCAGGUCUGCCUGUCCGUUGGGAUGGAGGUCGACAUAUAUAGGAGUCUCCCUAACAACAAGUAGUAAUGCUAUUCCUUUACCCUGCUUGGUCAUAGCACCGUAGUGGGAGCUGCCAGUUUCACAUGUUUUAACUCUGUCAGAGCACUUUGAAAAAGUGGUCUGUGGUAUAUGGCUCUCGAGAUUCGGAGAACGAUGCCUCUUCGAUUUUUGAGAAAGCAAUCAUGCUGGGGGUCUGGCUCUCGAGAUUCGGAGAGCAGUGUCUCUUCGAUUUUUGAGGAAGUAAUCAUGUUGGGAGUCUGGCUCUCGAGAUUCGGAGGGCGGUGCCUCUUCGAUUUUGGAGCAAGCAAUCUUGUUGGGAGUGUUGUCUCGAAUGUGAGUAAAGGUUGGGCAUGUUUGCUAGUCUACCUUGCCACGAAGCACAAAGGUUGACACACAGGGACUUUCCAAUUAUCCAGCAAUGGUACUGUUCCUUUACCCUCUCUUCGAUUUUGAGAAAGUAGUCAUGUUGGGAGUCUGGCUCUCGAGAUUCAGAGGACGGUGCCUCUUCGAUAUCCAGCAGUGGUACUGUUCCUUUACCCUUGUGGGUAAUAAUAUGGUAGCUAGACCUUCAAAAUUUAUGUGUCCAAACUUUGUUAGUGCUGUUUCUUUGCUAUUCUUUUACCUUUCUUGGUCAGAGCGAUGUAGUGGGAGCUGCAAGCUUCACGUGCUCAACUUUGGCAGAGAACUUUGGCAAAGUCAUCUGUGGUACCCAUGAGCUAUUGUUGCGUGUGGGAAGUGGAUGAUUGAACAGUAAGAUUCAUGUGCUUUCUACUUCACCAGAAGUCUUCGACAGAAUGCCCAUAAUUUCUGCAAAGCUGAGUGUUCGUGUGACAGGUGCUGACAAGGCUAGAAAAGUAGGUGCCUCUUCGAUUUCUGAGAUCGGCCCUCGUGGUCUCUGAGCAGCCCAACUUUUGAGAAAGCGAGCGCCUCUUCGAUUGAUUCGGAGAACAAUGCCUCAUCGAUUUUUGAGAAAGCAAUCAUGCUGUGGGUCUGGCUCUCGAGAUUCGGGGAGCAGUGUCUCUUCGAUUUUUGAUAAAGUAAUCAUGUUGGGAGUCUGGCUCUCGAGAUUCGGAGGGCGGUGCCUCUUCGAUUUUGGAGCAAGCAAUCUUGUUGGGAGUGUUUUCUCGAAUGUGAGUAAAGGUUGGGCAUGUUUGCUAGUCUACCUUGCCACGAAGCACAGAGGUUGCCACACAGGGACUUUCCAAUUAUCCAGCAAUGGUACUGUUCCUUUACCCUCUCUUCGAUUUUUAAGAAAGUAGUCAUGUUGGGAGUCUGGCUCUCGAGAUUCGGAGGACGGUGCCUCUUCGAUUUUGGAGCAAGCAAUCUUAUUGGGAGUGUUUUCUCAAAUGUGAGUAAAGGUUGGGCAUGUUUGCUAGUCUACCUUGCCACGAAGCACAGAGGUUGACACACAGGGACUUUCCAAUUAUCCAGCAGUGGUACUGUUCCUUUACCCUUGUGGGUAAUAAUAUGGUAGCUAGACCUUCAAAAUUUAUGGGUCUAAACUUUGUUAGUGCUGUUUCUUUGCUAUUCUUUUACCCUUCUUGGUCAGAGCGAUGUAGUGGGAGCUGCAAGCUUCACGUGCUCAACUUUGGCAGAGAACUUUGGCAAAGUUAUCUGUGGUACCCAUGAGCUAUUGUUGCGUGUGGGAAGUGGGUGAUUGAACAGUAAGAUUCAUGUGUUUUCUACUUCCCCAGAAGUCUUCGACAGAAUGCCCAUAAUUUCCGCAAAGCUGAGUGUGCGUGUGACAGGUGCUGACAAGGCUAGAAAAGUAGGUGCCUCUUCGAUUUCUGAGAUCGGCCCUCGUGGUCUCUGGGGAGCCCAGCUUUUGAGAAAGCGAGCGCCUCUUCGAUUUCUGAGAUCGGCCUUCGUGGUCUUUGAGCAGCCCAACUUUUGAGAAAGCAAACGCCUCUUCGAUUUCUGAGAUCAACCCUUGUGAUCUCUAAGCAGCCCAGCUUUUGAGAAAGCAAACGCCUCUUCGAUUUCUGAGCAUGCGCCUCUUCGAUUUCUGAAGCUCUGUCGAGUGCAGAUUUUUAUAGGGGCUGGCAUUAAAUUCCAAAGCACACUUGAAUCUCCACCAGUAGAAGCUUCAUUCUUGCACUUCUAAGAUUUUGAUUUGUCCGACCUCUUCUCUCUUCAACACCUUUGAAAAUGUCUGGCCCCUCCGACCGUCGUUUUGACUUGAACCUUGUUGAAGAGGCAGCCCCGCCUUCUCCAGACAACAUAUGGCGCCCAUCCUUCGUCUCCCCUACUGGUCCUCUUACCGUUGGGGAUUCCGUGAUGAAGAAUGAUAUGACCGCUGCGGUGGUGGCCAGGAACCUUCUCACUCCCAAAGAUAACAGACUACUUUCCAAACGGUCUGAUGAGUUAGCUGUUAAGGAUUCGCUGGCUCUCAGUGUUCAGUGUGCAGGUUCUGUGUCUAAUAUGGCCCAACGUCUAUUUGCUCGAACCCGCCAAGUUGAAUCAUUGGCGGCUGAAGUGAUGAGUCUCAAACAGGAGAUUAGAGGGCUCAAGCAUGAGAAUAAACAGUUGCACCGGCUCGCACAUGACUAUGCUACAAACAUGAAGAGAAAGCUUGACCAGAUGAAGGAAACUGAUGGUCAGGUUUUACUUGAUCAUCAGAGAUUUGUGGGUUUGUUCCAAAGGCAUUUAUUGCCUUCGUCUUCUGGGGCUGUACCGCGUAAUGAAGCUCCAAAUGAUCAACCUCUGAUGCCUCCUCCUUCUAGGGUUCUGUCCAGUACUGAGGCUCCAAAUGAUCCCCCUCCGGUGCCUUCUCUUUCUGGGGCUCUACGGACUGCUGAGACUUCUCCUAAGCAACCUUUGUGAAGGCUCCCUCUUGUGUGUUUAUUUUGACUCAUGUAUAUGUAUAUAUUUGUAGCUUAUCGGGGAUAUCAAUAAAUAAGCUUUCCUUCAUUUCAACGUAUUGUGUUAAAUACACCAAAGCCUUCUUCGCUAAGUUCUUUGAAUUUUCUUUUGUUGAAGCUUGUAUGUUGAAGCUUUCUGAGUGGAGCAUGUAGGUUGGGGUAGUGUUCCCUUAAUUUCCCGAGUGAAGAAAACUUCUCGGUUGGAGACUUGGAAAAUCCAAGUCACUGAGUGGGAUCGGCUAUAUAAAUCUUAGAACGCCAUUGUGCUCGAUCCUGUGUCAUGUCCUUCGUUAGAUCCAAGUACUCUAAGUCUUUUCUUAGAGUCUCUUCCAAAGUUUUCCUAGGUCUUCCUCUACCCCUUCGGCCCUGAACCUCUGUCCCAUAGUCACAUCUUCUAAUCGGAGCGUCAGUAGGCCUUCUUUGCACAUGUCCAAACCACCGUAACCGAUUUUCUCUCAUCUUUCCUUCAAUUUCGGCUACUCCUACUUUACCCCGGAUAUCCUCAUUCCUAAUCUUAUCCUUUCUCGUGUGCCCACACAUCCAACGAAGCAUCCUCAUCUCCGCUACACCCAUUUUGUGUACGUGUUGAUGUUUCACCGCCCAACAUUCUGUGCCAUACAGCAUCGCCGGCCUUAUUGCCGUCCUAUAAAAUUUUCCCAUGAGCUUCAGUGGCAUACGGCGGUCACACAACACACCGGAUGCACUCUUCCACUUCAUCCAUCCAACUUGUAUUCUAUGGUUGAGAUCUCCAUCUAAUUCUCCGUUCUUUUUGCAAGAUAGAUCCUAGGUAACGAAAACGGUCGCUCUUUGGUAUUUCUUGAUCUCCGAUCCUCACCCCUAACUCGUUUUGGCCUCUAUUUGCACUGAACUUGCACUCCAUAUAUUCUGUCUUUGAUCGGCUUAGGCAAAGACCUUUAGAUUCCAACACUUCUCUCCAAAGGUUAAGCUUUGCAUUUACCCCUUCCUGAGUUUCAUCUAUCAACACUAUAUCGUCUGCGAAAAGCAUACACCAAGGAAUAUCAUCUUGAAUAUAUCCUGUUAACUCAUCCAUUACCAACGCAAAAAGGUAAGGACUUAAGGAUGAGCCUUGAUGUAAUCCUACAGUUAUGGGAAAGCUUUCGGUUUUGUCCUUCAUGAGUUCUUACGGCAGUCUUUGCUCCUUCAUACAUAUCCUUUAUAGCUUAGAUAUAUGCUACUCGUACUCCUUUCUUCUCUAAAAUCCUCCAAAGAAUGUCUCUUGGGACCCUAUCAUACGCUUUUUCCAAAUCUAUAAAGACCAUGUGUAAAUCCUUUUUCCCAUCUCUAUAUCUUUCCAUCAAUCUUCGUAAGAGAUAGAUUGCCUCCAUGUUUGAGCGCCCUGGCAUGAACCCGAAUUGAUUGUCCGAAACCCGUGUCUCUUGCCUCAAUCUAUGCUCAAUGACUCUCUCCCAGAGCUUCAUUGUAUGACUCAUUAGCUUAAUACCCCUAUAGUUCAUGCAAUUUUGUACGUCGCCCUUAUUCUUGUAGAUAGGCACCAAAGUGCUCGUUCGCCACUCAUUUGGCAUCUUCUUCGUUUUCAAAAUCUUAUUGAAAAGGUCAGUGAGCCAUGUUAUACCUGUCUCUCCCAAAAGUUUCCACACUUCGAUUGGUAUAUCGUCUGGGCCUAUUGCUUUUUUAUGCUUCAUCUUCUUCAAAGCUACAACCACUUCUUCCUUCCGGAUUCGACGAUAAAAAGAGUAGUUUAUACACUCUUCUGAGUUACUCAACUCCCCUAAAGAAGCACUCAUUUCAUGUCCUUCAUUGAAAAGAUUAUGAAAAUAACCUCUCCAUCUGUCUUUAACCGCGUUCUCUGUAGUAAGAACCUUUCCAUCCUCAUCCUUGAUGCACCUCACUUGGUUUAGGUCCCUUGUCUUCUUUUCCCUUGCUCUAGAUAGUUUAUAGAUAUCCAACUCUCGAAGGGUAAAAUUCAAAUCCAACAUUGAACCAACCCAUUAACUUAAAAGACAUCAAAACCGAAACAGAUUACUAAAUAUCAAAAAGGAGUAUUUCAAGGAUAUGGCGAUAAGGAUCACACCUGAAAUGCUAUAGUAAGAUUGUAGACCCCUCUUUGAUCAACCCUGCAGAGGUCUUCCUUGAUAGUAGAGCGUGCAGUAGCACAAUAGAUAAUCUUGUUACAGCCCUGUACUGCGGUGUACAGGGUAGCAGGACCAUCCAUAUCCCCAGUCAAUGGCAAGACAUAUGAAAGAAGAUUGAAAAUGAUAACACCCACCAUUUAACCAAGUAAAAGCAGAGUUAACGCAGAGAAAACAACAAAAAAUAUCUUGCAAACCCUCGAUUUAUCGGUAAAGCACAUCAAAACCAAACAGUCAAGAAAAUAGUUUAAAACCAAUUCUAUAUUUCUAAUCAGAAGAUGUGCAAUUUUUUUUUAUUCGUCAAUUUGUGGCACUUCAUUCUCAAUAAAGAGCACUUCACAAAAUUCCAGAUCUGCUACAACAUCAAAGGUCAGACCGAAUAGGAAAACGACAUCAUUCAUUAUCCAAAUUGAAACAACAAUCCCACUAAAAUUGACUACUCAUAAGAAUCUCAUUCCACAAAACAACUGCAGGCAAAAAAAAUCCCCAAGAUACAUACUAUCAUCCAAAUCAUCCACCGCCAUUAACAAAAGCACAACCCAUAUCUUCCUUCAGCUAAGAUUAAAGAAAAAAUUGAAACCCUAAUCAUUCUCGAACAUGCUUUUGGAAUCAGAAUAGAAAGGAAACUUGAAAUUAGAGGAUCAUGCAGAACUGGGCUGGGGAUUGGACUUGUGCUCUGAAUCGACCUCUUCCUCUUCCUCUUCAGAUUGAUCACCGAAUAGGUUCUACAUCACCUGGUGCCGCUUCUCCUCCCCCAUCGCUGCUGCUGUGUGUUGUGGUCAGAGCCCUCAAACUACUGACAUUAAAUAGUUCAUUUCAUUAGAUCAUUGGAACUAUCACCAUAGCAUCCUGCAAAUUUCGAGAAGUGUGUGUUGAAACAAAUCUGAAAAGGAAUGAAAACCCUGUUAACCAAACCCAUCAACAGUAACAUAAGCCUCACCAAUCGUAGCAAACAAAAUCAAUCAGACUCGGCGAAAUUCAGUCAACAAUACAAAAAAUACUCUGAAACCCAUCAGCCAAUAUACAGCACGUAGAAGCAACACAAUUUUUUUCCUUACCAAGCAAUUAAGAUGUAUUUACUUAUACACUAAGUUUUGCUAACAAUAUGUUGGAAAACUGAAUACUUACACCGCAUCCAAAUCCCUCUUACAUGCUUUUGGAAUGGUCUAGUCUCUCCAAUCUCUCAUUUUGCAAUCCAUCUCUUACUAAUUUGGCGUCAGUCUCUUGAGACUUAGAAAUCUUUCACUCAAACAUAAUCAUAUAUAAGGGAAUGUUUGGUAUUAUUUUUGGAUCCAAUUUAUUGUUUUGAAACUAAUGCGUAUUAAUUAAUUUAGCCACAUUUAUCAUUUAUUUAAAAAGGACAAAAAAUCAGAUGCAAUUAAGAUUCCAAAUAGACCCUAAGUAACCUCAGCUGAGUGGUGUACAAAUCAAUGCCCAUUCUUUUCUAGUGAGCUAUGAUAAAUUCAAUUGGACAAAAAUAAGUACAUCUGUCAGUUGAUGCUCAGACUUUACAGAAGUCAAAUAAAUUAAAAUGUUGAUCAACUUCAACAUGUUUACGUCAAUCAUGUUGAACUGGAGUGUGAGUGGGAGUAUAGAAAGCCUUGUGAAGUUAACCCAAGUUUGCAUCAGUGCCAAGGCGGAACUUGACAUUUCACCAUGGCUAAAAAAACUCCUACAGAAACCUAACCGGUGCAAGAAAUUGAAUAGAAACUUCUUAUUUGCUGCUCAUUUCGGAAGGCCAGUUCGAAAAAACCUCCUAUUUUAGAUUGCAAAUUUUGUGAUGACAAAAGAUAAAGUAGAACAUAAUAAGUUUUCUGCACUCUUCUCUAUUUCCAGAAAUAGAACUUGAUACUGUCACGGCCACGAAAAAUUCAUCGGCACCCUACCUGAUGCAAGCAACGGACUAGGAACUUUAAUUGGGUGCUCAUUUCAGAAUGUCAGUUGGAAAACAUCCUAUUUUCUAUUCAAUCUCUUUGCCCACUGCAUUACAACACAUCAGAGUGUUUUCUUCACUGCGUAUAUAAAAAAUCUUCGGUGCUCUUAGUGAUUUCCUAUCAAUACUGGAUUCUAUAUUUGGUCAAUUCUUAAAUCUAUACUUUACUGGACCUGUUUAGUCAUUCAACACCUCACAACUUCCAAAAAAAUUCACCAUCAUGCCAACAUGCUUGGGUGAUUAACUAGUGAACAUACAGACAGCCCUGAUUCAAAACAUUUCUCAAGAGAAAUUCAUGUUCAAAACAACUUAAAACUCCAAGCAUUAACCAAACAAAAUGAUUAGGAGGAUGAAAGAUAGAAACUUGUAACAGAGAACAAUUGCCCAAAAUAGAAAACACUUUAUUCCUCCCCAAUUUCUGAAAAUCCAGAGAAAGCGGGAUUAACUUCAGAUACAAUCCCACACUUGAAAAAGCUAAUGUGCUUCACUUUCAAUACCAAACCGCUAGUCUUGUAUGCAUGCAUGUAUACACACUACUGAAAAGAGUAAUUCUUAAUCCAGCAUGGGCAGAAUAGUACCGUUACCCUCAAACGGGCAAGGCUAAAGGGCGAGAUGCGGGUUUAGUGCAUUGUGGGUGUGUGGGUUUGUUAACUUAACCAAGUAAAACAACUACUAAUCCAGCCAUUUUUCCUACUCUAUUCCAAACUUAUUCCCAAAGUCUGCUACUAAUAGGACUCAUUACUAGUGAGGAAGAAAGAUUUAGCACUACAUGUUAAGAGCAUGAGGUACACAUCAAACGGAACACACUCAAAUCAAAAACAUAAAUUCCUAAUCAAUGUAUAAUCAUUAUUGGGAUUCGCAUUCUUCAACCAAACUAUGAACAAAAGAGCCAGGCCAAUGAACAGAAAAUAAACUUAAAUUACAACAUAAAGCAGAGUAAGUAUUUAAACAUCAACAACUUCAGACAAAAACUAUGAAGUUCCGAUUCCUCAAAUGCAUAUUCCAAAUUGCAGUACAAACACUAAGCACAAAAACCAUAGAUAAAGUAAAACAACAGACAAUGCACUUUCCCCAAAUAACUCAAUUUACCUCUGACUCUCAUACCGCUUUGGCCUCCGCCUUGGCAUUCCCUCUCUCGACCUUUUUCGCCUCCGCCUUAUCUGGUUUCGCCGCCUCCCCUGAGCAACACCCACCUUCAUGAUGGUGAUGAUGGUGGUGAUGCCCAUGCCCAUGCCCAUGCCCAUGCCCAUUCCCAUGACCAUGCACAUGCCCAUGACUAUGUCCAUGCACUUUCUUCCCCUUGAGCUCCUUCCUCAUAUCAUACGCAUCUUCCCCAUCGGCAUAUUACUUCGCCUUCACAUCAUGAAUCUUAUAUCCCAAAGUCUCAGUGUACAAAUUGAACGCUGCCCGAUUGCUCUUCCUCACAUGAAGCGACACGUACUCCGCCGCAAACACCUGUUCCCUGGCGUUCUGGGCGGCGUUCAUGAGCUUGGUGGCGAGGCCGAGUUUGCGGUAGGUGCGGAGGACGGCGAGGGAGGUAAUGUGGCCGUGGCACUCGUUACUCUCCUCCUCCAUCUUGGCCAGGACGUAGCCGACGAUGCGACCGUUGUAGUCUUCGGCGACGUAGAGGAGCUGCGGCCAUGAGAGGAUGUGAUAGAGGUAGUACUUCAUCUGGCAACUCUCAGGGAGGCAGAAAAGGUUGCAGGCUUGCAUCGCCAGGAGGUUGUCGAUUGCGGCCUUGCGUAUGCACACCAUUUGUGGUGCUCCUGGAGUUUCUAGGGUUAGGGUUUUGGUGUGGGAAUUUUGUUUUUAGGGAAGAAGAGAGGAGUGAGGUCAAAAGAAAUAUGGGGUCUUGUGGGAUUUUCAAUGGGAUUGGGCUUGGGCUGAGUUAUGGGCUUGAUGAGUUUAAUUAUGGGCUUAAAGUCCAUACCUUUCAAAAAAAUUAAAUACCGAAAAAAAUCAUUUCGUCGAUUUUUCUCUUGAACUUUUAUUUUUCUCCAUUCUUUUACCUUCAUGUACCAUCAUGUUUCUCUGUAAUUCAUCUAAACUUUCAUUAAACCCGUCUCAUUUAAAAAAAGACGAUAGCAAAAAAAUAAUAUUUCGUAACCAACGUGAAUUUUUCGAACAAAAAAUGGGAUGUAAUGCUCGACGAGAGAAAUUAACCAUUUAUAAUUUUCCACAUGGGAAAUUGGCAAGAAUUAGGGAAAUUGGUGAAAUACUCAAACUAGAAAUAUGAACGCCGACCCUCCAAGGUCAAAUUCUUCCAUCUAACAUUCAUUUUCAGCACAUCAUCUGCAAUUUCCAGUUUUGAUUCUACGUUUCUUGUCAAUCGGUUCAAUUCUUGAACCAUCAGUAAAAUCGACCUACUAUUUUUCUCAGAGGACUCGACGGAAAACAGGUUUGUAUUUCAAAGAUGAAGAAUUUGUUGUAGUUUAUACACGAACCAUAAAAUAAACUUUAUACAUAUACAUUAUCAUGAAUAUCAUACAUGUCCUAGCAAAAUAAGAGUGGUCGUCUUACUCAAAUUUUCAGAUUCUGAUGUACUUAUCGUAGUGCGUGGUGAUAACCUUCCUCAUCCCGACAGUCAAACACGUAAUCGGAGCCCGUCUGGUACUAAGAAUGCUCUCAACGGGGGUAUCUUCUGAAAGCCUCGUUCCUCUCAUUCUUUGGGUAGCCCCAAUCGUGUUUCGAGAACUUGAUGACAAAUAUCCAUCCAAGACGCAACUUGAGAUUACUUCACCUGUUUUUUGGUUCAGAAGACGAAGCACACCGUCUAUUCCACCAACCGCCAAUGUUGAUGCAUCAUUUCUCAUGUGUUGCAAAGAUGAUACCCUAUUUGGACUCACUCGUGUCUACCAUAAACAUGUCAUUGUCCUGAAUCAUACCAUAUAACAGAAGAAUAGGGUCAAUUAACAUGCAACUGUAUUACGUCAUCUGUUACUGUCGAGAUAGUAAAAUAAAAGGGUGGAGACAGAGAAAACAAGGUCGUAAAGGGUGAGUUUUGCAUACAACUUUUAAGAUGACAAAACAACCAUAUAAAAACUACGGAUUUUUUCUUUUGGUUAAAAGUUGUGGGUUUUCUUUUAAACAUAAUUAAUGUACAGUUAAAUGGGCAUUUAACAGAAAUCCCCUUAGAAUAUGUCGUUAAAUUGACACUUCCAUUUGAAAACGCACUCAGGGCCAUCAGACUCUAUUUUUGAUUAAAAUCCCUUGUCUAUUAGAGAGGAGGGCUAAUGUCUCAAAACCAUUGACACUUCCAUUGGGUGAACGAUGGAGGGAAAAAUUGGGGGUCUGCACACUUUUUCAUCGUUGCUUUUAUUGAAGUUUUCAUCUUGAAGCAACUCUCAUUCUGUAGAAAGGACAAGCUUUCCAUCUACUAAUGAUAUCAUCUAAGAUGAUUUGAAGUAAUCAAACCUUGUAUUCGAAAUUCUAACAAAGUAAAAUAUGGAAACGAUUAUGACAUAGACUUUCAUCAAGCUCCAGUAUGAAACCAGGCAAAUUAAAUUUCUUAAAAUAGCUUUUGAAGUCAUAUUUCAUACCUAAUGUCACAGCAUAAUGCAAAUCCAACAGCGUAUCCAGCAAAUACUAAGUGAGAGCCCGGGUUGAAACACAAAGUCUUUAUGCCUGCAAUGAAAAUUUGAGACUAGAUUUAUGUUCUCUCUCGCGAAUAUAAUGUCCUUGUCACUCCAAGGGGAAGGAUUACUCAAAACCCAUAAGUAUGUUAUUUAGACUAUUGAUAUAUUGUAAGUGCCAACACUUCCAAACAACUGCAAUCAAAAUCCUUACCCUUUCGCUUCCACUUGAAUAUAUUUUAUUUAAUAAGGACAAAAUGAGACAAAUAGUAAGACUACACCCAGCGGUUAUAAGAUACGACAAACAAAUAUGAGACGGUGCAAUUAUGACUUCUACAUGAUCCCAUUUGCAGUUUCAUGAACUACUCAAAAUUAUAUGGACAAAGUAUAGUGUAUCUCUGUCGAUAUGUACGACGGAAUGAGUUACCCAGCACAUAAUGAAUCAGAUAUACUAGACUGAGUGGUGGAGGAUGAAAAAAGAACGUAAUCAGUGUCCUGAUAAGUUUUCGAAUUUAUUUUAGUUUUAUGCAUCAGAAGUUAUAACUGGAAUGUAGGUGUCCCUUAUAACAAUGGUAGAACAUGCAUAAAAUGUAACCUGAGGAAUCAUUUGAUCUUAAAUUCGCAACCUGCUCACUAGAUCAAAGUCCAGAUAUUGUGAUACCACCAAGAGAUGAACCACUAAGUAUCAACUGAUCAUCACUCAAACAUAAGCAUGUUACUGGCCCUGCAUGUGCUCUGCAAUAAGAAAUCAAAAGAAAUCCAUAAACCAUUGAGCAGCAUAUAAAUUCAUAUUACAAAAAAUACUAAACAUUUUAUGCCAGACGAGAAGUUUAUUCUAAAUUCUAACUUAUAUUUCCCAUUUUUCGUCUUACGGCAAGAAAUUUUUUGCCUCUAGAAAUUUAAAUGAAUGUCUACAAGUCAAAAGGUAUCUUCUUAAGCUAUAUAAAUUCACUGUAUUCUUUACAAGAAACAUGAAAACAAAUACAAACACCAAUAUAGAAGCUACAUUACGUUCCUUGCAGUACACACCUAACAUUUUUUACUGUACAUGUCAAAUACACGACCUGUCCCAUCCUCGCAUCCAACCACAGCCUCAGGAUCGCAAUAACUACAUGAGAACAAAAUGUGAAAAACGAGACAUUUUUAAUUGUUACGGAAACUCGGAUGGUACAUCAUGUGUUUUUAUAUAAGUGAUGAGAAAUUUUACUUUUUAAGUUAUUAACUUUUUAACACACAUAUCUCACUAUUUGUAUAAUAAUAAUACGUGAUGUAUCACCUCGUGUGCGAAUCACAUUUAAAAAUCUGUCAUGAAAUACAAACACCAAAAGUAAACCUCCAUAUGUAACAGUAAUAACCCGUUCCAAAUUACGAGUUAAAUUACGUUUUUGACCUUGGGUUUAUCCAUUCGGCCCAAAUCAUUGGGCUAUUCUAGUAUCAGCCCAAAGACUCGGCCCAGUCUUUUCUUUCCUCUUUUUCCUUCAGAGGAAAUGGGAGGAAUGGUCCCUUAACUAUUCUCGAAUUGUAGCUUUAGUCCCUAAACUAAAAAAUCAUUAUAUUUUGUCCUAGAACUUGAUAAGAUGUGGAGCGUUAGUCCUUCAUCACCAAUUCCGUUAAGUUUUAGUUAAAAGUGUUUACAUGUUUGUUUCACCUAUAUAUAUAUAUAUAUAUAUAUAUAUAUAUAGAAAAGAUGAAAAUUGCAACAAAAAUUGCAGGCCUACCUCAUCCACCAACACUCGCAGGCCACCCCUUCAACUUCAUUCUUUGAUACACUCCCCGCCAACCUCCCACUUCCAACCCCCAAUCGUUAAUCCCCACUCCCCAGCCGACCCCAGCCGACCCCAACCUGUAGCCCAUGGAGCACAGCCUUCACCCAAACCCCGAACCCGCAUCCCACAAAGUUCUUGAAUCUUACCUGUCGAGACAGCGAGAUGGAUGUCAUUGUGAAUUCGUUUACAAAGGGAGACGUGUUCGAAAUUUGGAUUAGAAACUUUCUUUUGUUUUGGUUGUUUGCAGAGUGCUACAAUGGUGUGGCUGGGGUUUGGAGGAGGCAAGGCAGAAGGAAAGACGGGAGACGUGUUCGAAAUUUGGAUUAGAAACUUUCUUUUGUUUUGGUUGUUUGCAGAGUGCUACAAUGGUGUGGCUGGGGUUUGGAGGAGGCGGGCAGAAGGAAAGACAGGAGAGGAAGAGAGAGAGAGAGAGAUAACUUCUAAUUUUUUAUUUUUUUUCUUUCUCUAUGUUUGUAUUUAUUUUUAUUUUGAAUUUUUAAGCCACGUGGCAUUUAGUGAACAAAAAUAUGGAGCCCACAAAGACCACGUCAUCAAACUAACGGAAAAUCUCACGGUGUUAGUAUGGAGGGACCAAUGCUCUACAUUUUGUUAAGUUCAGGGAUCAAAUCUAAUGAAUUUUUAGUUUAAGGACCAAAACUACAAUUUGAUCAUAGUUCAGGGAUCAUUCCUCCAAUUUCCUCUUUUCCUUCACCUGUGAGAUAUAUUUCCCUUUCUCUUAACAUUUUCCUUCUCUGCAAACUUUCUCUAAACCACCGAGCACCAUCUUUCACAAUCAUCACCUUCCUCAGUCAAAUCCAACUCGAAACCACCAGAUUAGUCAUUCGGGUGACCUGGGAAUCACAGAGAUGGCUCUGCAUGUUCCGUCUGAUACCUGGAUGUGGGGGCUGAUCGGGGCAGCUCUACGUUUUUCCGGCGAAGUUCGACUAAAGAACGGCGUUUCAGUCGUUGAUUUUACCUGAGAAUCAUUUCUAUUCGACCGCGGGUAUUUUUCAUAGGUUUUGGACUCGAAUCCGAGAUUAUAACUCCUGUAGUCUUUCUGUUCCUCACCCCAGGUUCAGGUGCGGAGCUCCGGCGAGAAAUCCAACGAGCUUGGGGUUCCAUGAGCUCAAAUUGGUUCCGUUUGAAACUCAGGUAACCAAACCAUGCUCUGCAUGUUAAUUUCAAGUUCGAAUUGAGGGUUUUAGUCAUUAUUUCGUCUCUGUUCUUCAUUCCCUAGAAUCCGGCAAGGAAAAUCCGGCGAGUUCAUGUUGAAUCUGAGGUGAAUUCAACGUCUUCUUUUCCUAAAAAGGUUGUAGGUGAGUUCCUGGUGAUUUUUAGGACUAGAUUAUAUAAAUUUUGGGGUUUAAAAUUGAUGAAAUUGAACUCGGGAAUUUAUAUGUAGUUUCCGGCGAAGUUCUGGCGAAGCUCCAGCAACGGUGACGACCACCGGCGGAGGCUAAUAUUCCGUUAACUUUAACGGAAUCUCGUACGGAAGGUACAUUCUGUUUUUAUUCGACCCGUAUUCUAUUUUUGACCCGACCUGCACUCGGUUUAAGCCUAGAUUCCCUUACCCCAGCCCAAUGAACCGGGCCCAACCCAUUUACCUAUAACCCGGGCCCAAUCCCUUAGGCAUAAACCCAAUUACCCUAUAGCCCAGGUUCAAUCCCUUGGGCUUAAACCCAAGCCCAUUACUUGAGGCCCAAAAUCUCUCGGGCCAAUACCAGUACCCAGAACCUAGGCCCAAACCCGGAUCUAACCCGAAUCUAAACCUAGACCCUUGUGCCCGGCGCGUGGGGCAUAAGCGCCUUCGCCUGAGGCACUGUGGCAGGCGACUUGUCCAGCAACCAUUUACGGCGCGUGGGGUAACCUGAGGUCCCUCCUUAAGUUAUUCAACGUGCCAAAUCCGAAUCCGCUAUCCGUUUUUCCAAAUUCUAACGCUUUAGUAGAGUUUUACUAAAUGGUUUCUAAUUGGGUUUAGGUACGUUGGUGGGAAGUGGUACCAUCCUCGCUAGUUGAGCGACUCCUUGGCAAUCAAAUAUAUGUGAGUGUCCCCUUCAUAAUUUGCAUGGUUUUAUAAAUCUUAGGAUUGCAUGCAUAUUUUAUUGCAAAGUUUGAACAUGUUUUAAGUAUGUUUACGGAUUUGCCUAUUUUUGAGAUUUGGAAAAUUUACUAGUUAAUUGAAUUGCUUUAUGAAUAUUUUGGAUCUAUCAGAUUUACUUUAUAUUAAAGGAUUAUAAACUAUGGGUUUAUACAUACGAGUUUGAGUGGGUUUAUGGGUAUAAACUAGCAUGGCUUUAUUCGAUGUAGUUUUGAGAUAUGUUUUUGGAUAAAUAUCUAGUGGGUUAUCAUACAGCACAUCCACACAACACGGGUAUUAGAUGUAUAUGGCCAUAGGACACAAUGAUGAGGAGGAGUGAGAUAUAUGUUAUACCCCCAGCUUCACUGCCAAAAGCAGUGUCGGACAGCUUCACUAGCCACGGCUAGUGUCGAUGCGUGAUGUUAUAGAUUUCUUCUCCGGCGUAACCCGGAAUCGUACAGCUUCACUUUCGGAUGAUGGGGCCUACCAUGUUUCUUUACUGGCGUAACCCAGUGUCGUACAACUUCACCUUCGGGUGAUGGACAGGUACUGCCUUUGGGCGACUAUGAUACCCCUAGAGAGUAUGGUAUUAUUGAGAGUUACGGUUUUGCCUGCGGGCAGAGGUUUUAUAGAUUUGCCUUCGGGCGGUUUUACUACCAUCUAAGAGUAUCGUUUUACGUAUAUAUGUUUUCCAAACGAUUGCACAUCAUGCUAGGGUUUUCAAAGAACUUAUUACGUAGUAUUAUAUAUGUUUUCAAAACAGGGGGUUAGUAUGUUAUUAAAGGAAUUGAUUUUUGUAUUAUUAGUAUUAUAAUAAACUUUGGUCCACUCAUCUUUUCUAUUUUGCGCCCCCUCAGGGUUUAGGGUUUAGAUUCGAGACACAUGAUCUUGACGUCAGGACCCUUUUGCGUAGUUAUUCUCAAGUCUUCUUCUGAUAUGUAUUAUUCCUUUGUUUGCAUACUUUCCUAGAGAUUCUUUCAUAUUAUUCCGAGUAGUUGUAUGCUCUGAACAAGUUCUUGCAUUAGUAUUUUCUUUCUAAUUACAUAAUUUUAUUCGUAGGCAUGCUUAAAAAUGGCUUCGUCACCCUCGGGUGUCGGCCAGCAUGUGCUUGCUCUGAUAUUUGGGGAUAUUGGGGUUGGGACGUGUCACUAUACAUAUCUAGCAUUCUAUUCCAAAACAGAAAUGAUCAGGUAAAGACAACGGUAAAAAAAAAAAAUUGAAAGGCCUUCAGCAACAAAGGGAAUUUUUUUUUAAGGUCUAAAAGCAAUAGUAACGGCAAUAUUAGUACAAAUAAAUAAGAUAUAAUCAAUCAAAACAAGAAACUUUCAGAACAACCAUUGAUAGAAGCUCAAAAUGUAAAAUAUUCAGACAAUCCCCUGCCCAACCAAUUGGUGAAAGAAAUCAAAUAAUAAAUCUCCAAUUUUAUGUUAUUGGUCUUUACCAUGCAUAUUGCUGCUCAUGAAGUAAUGCAUUUAGCACUUACAAAAUAAAAGUAAAAAUAAUGAGAGUAUUCUGUCUGCAUACCGCAUGCAUAACCCCUUCGGAAAGGUGUCUAGAAAACUAUAAGCUAUUGACAUUUCCAAUUAAGCUUGAAGAAUGCAAUAAGCUCAAUAGCAUAUUUUAAAAGCCCUUAUAUGCUGUGUCAUAUUAAUUGAUGUUAAUGCUACAUUUUCACUCCUAGGUCGAUCUGUUAUACUAAGGUGCGUACAUGGCAUUGCAAUCCUUUAUCAAGAUGUCUAGAAAACAACAGAAGUCACAGUCUUGCUUCACAAUCUGAAUGGUAAGUCAAUGAUAUAUCUAGAUUAAGCUUCAGAUCGAUAUGUAGUCUGUAACAUGAAAACAUUUAAGUUGAGUCUCGUUUGAUCGAUAUGUGGUAAGUCAAUGAUACGAAUACGUUUAAAUUACAUUUACAUCCUAUAGAACGCGUUCAUACUCCUGAAGCAUAUCCAAAAUCUAAUAAUAACAUGUACGGUACUAACUUCUUGCCUCAAGAAGUCGUCACAUUAUAGUAUAGAGUUGAAAUAUCACCAUGGCCAAAAUGUAGGGAGGAAUCGUGAUCUAGGAACAUAUGAUUAGAGGACAAUACUCCCCCUCAGUUUGGAAGUACAUCAAGAGAUUCAGGACGCGGGAAUAUUUGUGCUUUUGGAUAAUUAACAGUUUAAAAAAGGAGCGAUCCCAAGCCAACAAGGCUCCCCGCUUUGCGAGAGUCAGGGGGAACAUCUAUCGUACGAAGCUUAACCCUUGUUUUGCAAAGAGAUUGUUUCCAUGACUGGAACCCGUGACCUUUCGGUCAGAAAACUUUAUAUAUAUGGUAUUUUAAAAAUACCAUAUAUAUAAUUCUACGGUCAGAAAGUAUAAUCUUAAAUGUAAUUAAAAUUGAAAUAUGAGGAGUGAAGUAUCUCAUGAGGUUUAACAAGCAUUGACGUUCGUAUUCUACUAUUCAUUUGCCCAUCUCAGUUAACGAGAUAACCGAUUUCUUCACUAAAUGCCUUCUCAAGCAACGGCCUCUCCAAAUUCAUCUAUACGCAAACUCUGGAUUAAAUCAAUUAAUUCUAUAGAAUGUUUCAUGCGCGCGAUUCAGCCCUCAAUUGACACAAUCAAAACUUUCAAUGCAUUGUAUAGGCUGCUUCUUGUACAAUGCAAAGACACACAGACAUUCAAAAACUUUAAUGUAUUAUGAUUCACAAAAGUUGCAUCACACCGAAAAGUAUACGAAGAAAGGUGAAUUGAACAUUAAGAAGGAUAAAGGCAAUAGCCAACAGAGUGACCCCUCAAGUUAUCGACUCGAAUUCGACCUUCGUGUAACGCCAGUUUAUGACGCUCCACAGCCAUCUCCUCCAAAAAAAACCUCCCAAGGUUUCUCAGGACCGUCACUAGACCCAUUGCUAGAACCCGCAAGACCCAUCUGCCAUUGCUUGCGGCAAAACACUCGGAGCAACUUGGACUUGUUGAUCACCGUGCUCCUGCAUUAAAAGUAACAAAAACCCAGUUCAAAUUUACCUACAAAAUUUUAAAUAAAUUGUGGUCGGAGAUCUUGCUCUUGAGCUGCUGCUCCGCCUCUUCUUGUCGCCGGUGAAAGAGAUAUCCAUCUUUGCUCGUAAUCCGUCGGUAAAUUGAGUUUAGCAACGUUAUACACAGGGUGUCUUCGAUUAGGACUAGGAGAGUUCAAUAAAUCAUGACUAUUCAAUUAAGAUUUAAAUAAAUUAUGAAAGUUCCCGAAUAUUCAAUUAAAAUUUUAAAAAGUUUGUAAAAUUGUAUAGAAAUGUGAAUGUAUUUAUUUUGAAUCUAAAAUAGUUUAUAAAAUUUCAUGUAUAUUCAUUUAAGAUAUACAUGCUUUUUAGACUUCAGAUUUCUAUUGAAUUCAUCUAAAGUUCACAUAGAGUCUAUAGAACUCCAUUAAACUUCAUGAAUACAACGUCCAUGUAUUUAGAAACAUUUUAAGGGAUUUUUUCUUCUUAAAUCAUGACUAUUCAAUUAAGAUUUAAAUAAAUUAUGCAAGUGGCCCUUUACCAUAGUGGUGGAAAGGUGUUGUGCUCUUGCAUGACGACGUGGGUUAGAACCCCGUUGGUGGCUAAUCUAACAUUUAACUUACUAACGCCUAUCGUUUCACUCAAAAAAAAAAAAUUAUGAAACUUUCCGAAUAUUCAAUUAAAAUUUUAAAAAGUUUGUAAAAUUGUAUAGAAAUGUGAAUGUAUUUAUUUUGAAUUUAAAAUAGUUUAUAAAAUUUCAUGUAUAUUCGAUUAAGAUUUUAUUUUAAAGUAUUUUAAAAAAUGAAGAAUUUAAAUGGAUUUGGAAGGAUUUAUCCGUGUUUUUUAGACUUUAGAAAAUCAUGCUUUUUUUUUUUUUUUUUUUUUUAAGAUUUCUAUUGAAUUCAUCUAAAGUUCACAUGGAGUCUAUAGAACUCCAUUAAACUUCAUGAAUACAGCGUCCAUGUAUUUAGAAACAUUUUAAGGGAUUUUUUCUUCUUAAAUUCAGGGAUUUUCAUAUGAAUCUCGAGAAAUCAAUCAAACACUAUAAAAAUUAUGAAUUUGUUAAUUCAUUAAAAUUCCUCAAACUUCUAAUUGAGAUGGUGACAAAAAAAUUUUUAUACAACGAUUUAUUUGUAGCAAGGAGUGGAAAAUAAAUUGGUAUCGAACUUACCAUUUACGAUAUUCGAACCUAAGACCUCUCACUUGGAAGUGUAGAGGGAAUAAUAUUAAACCAUAGUACUAAGUAGCAAUAGCAAUGGUUGUUGGAUGUGUGUGGUGCAAUAGUGAGGUGUGUGGUGCACUAGCAAUGGUUGUUGGAUGUGUGGAUUUGCCCAAAUUAUAGGAGUACAGUACUUUUCUAUUUAGUCAUCAGCUCUAUUCUCCGCCAUAAUCAAUUCGAUCAUUCAAUCCUUAAUUUAAGCCUGGCUCCCUAUCCUUAAGCUAUAAACUUAAAAGGCUACAUCAAUGACAAUGCACAAUGAAGUUAAGAUGACAUGCUUUUGUCCCCCUUGUCUGGAAUCUUGGGUUUAGAUGACUAAAAUAUUUACUGUUAGUCUACAGAAUUUCAGGGUUAGUGGAUUUGUAAUUUGUGCAAGUAACAAAUCGACUUUAUACUGAAAUUUGUAGUUAAUUUUUUAUCUCCUUGUUUGUCCCCAAUUUUCACUUUGUUUGGAUUCACUAUGUCAUGCAGAACACCGCCGAUGAGACCCUGAUCCGAAGUUUUCAGCUAGCCUUUUCCCUAAGGAGCAUUUCUCUUGGAGGAGGUAAGCCCUCAAGUCUACAAACGGUUUCUUUUCCAUAAGUUCUUAACCACAUAAAUACAUUGCUCAUGCUAUAGUGAAAUGCCAAGAUUGAGAUUGUAUAGUUCAUAAAUUUUCUUGCUCAACAUACGACUUAGGAAUUGUGUAAGUUAUCUAAUGUUUACAGCCCAGUAAAACAUAUCAGUUACUGGUAAAUUAAUAGAGGAGUGAGCUGGAGAGUAAAUUGCAGUUUAAUCUUGCCCUCCGUAUUCCUAUUACUGCGUUUUUAACUGUUUGGUCUAGUUUAUAGAAGAAUUUCCUUUGAAACAUGUUGUAAUGGUGAGUUUCAGUCAAGAAUUGUACCUGAUUAUGAGUCUCGGGAAACAUACGUGAUGAGUUGCUGUGUUGCUUUGGCUGUAAAGCUGAUGAUGUGUUUCUUCACACCUUGACAAAAUGAAGUUACAUACAGAUUUUUGCUUCUUAUUAACUGUAUGGUAAAUUGGUAAUUGACUCGUUGAUUGGGUCGCAAUUGAAUGGUGGCUUAAGAGAUUUAGUAUGAAAGAAAAGCAUAUCUAAUAUAGAAAGGCAUGCAUUGUAAGAAGCAGCUUUCGUUUAAUGAUGCAGUUUCUAUUAAACACAUCUGUCUGUCUUCUCGUAAUAUCCUAAUUACCUCUAUUUGGUAAGUCUGAUAUUGUCAACUUUAGUUUGUAAUUCUAUAUUGAAUAUAUUUGUUGCACUAUAAUGUACUAACGGCUGCAAACUAUUUUGGUUGUAACUUUUCUGAUGCCAUCUUUAACUAGGGGAUUUCAUAUUGCAGGAUUGCAGCCAUCAAGACGCAGAUCCCUCUUUACCUUGGCAACAUCGAUGAUCAUCUUCUCAGCUAAAGCCUACAACGUGGUUGCUCUUGCACCUUGUGCUAAAGCAGCACUUACAAAUGAAACAGUACGUGCAACAGAGUUUCCUGACUACAUUUCCGCUGAAUGUUAAAUUGGCGGACCUUUUAAGUUAUUUCUACUUUGACUUGAGGUUUCCGAAGUUAACCUUGCUCAACACUAACGUGUAUGAGUUGAUGACCUGCUGUCAGGUUGAUCCAUUUCUACGGUUGGUUGAUGAUCGCAAAUUGCAAGCUGUCAAUUCUGGAGCUGACCAAGUAAGGAAAGUUUAUGGAUCAAAAGAAGAUGAUGAGGAUGCUUUAAGGUCACUUUCUGCUAUAGAAAAAUCUGAGAGCCAAUCUAAGGAAUCGUUUACUACCAUGAUAGUGCAGACGCUUAGAAAUUCACCAGAUGUAAACUUCUUAUCACAUUGAUUAUCGGAACCAUGUCUAGUUCUUUGUAAUUAUGAUUCUGAUAUAGCUAUUUCGGUUUUCUUUUUUAACUACAGGAUUCAUCAAUUAUAAAACAGCAGUUGCUUAAUGAUUUUCUGCCUGAUGAUGCAUGUCCAUUGGGAGCUCCGUUGAACAUGGAAACACCCAGAGAAAUAGACCAAGUUGGCGUACAAGAUGAUGGAGAACCUGAUAAGGUAACUUACUCGAACAACUUCCUUAUUUUAAAAAAAAAAAUAUCCAAACAAUUAAAUGUGCAGAAUGAUUUUAUUGUGCAGGCGGAGCCCCCAUUAUUCACAAUUGGGGAUAAUGCCUUACCCAAUGCAUCUGAAAAUCAAACCGAUCCUGGCACAAAAGUUGCAAUGGAAAGUUUAAGCCUAAUAAGCGUUGAUCAGCUUUUAGAUUCGGUAAGUGAGGUCGCUCAUACAGUGUUGCUGGUUUGUGGCCUUUGUAGAAGUCAGACAGAAAACACGUAAAUCAAUGGACAUUACAUCAAGUUGAUCAUUGUGCUAAGUAAGAGAGCGAUUCGUGUGCAGGUUUUGGAGACGACACAUCAAGUUGGAAGAUUAUCAGUCUCAGCUGCUACAAACAUGCCUUACAUGGAAAUAGCUGGCCAGUGUGAGGCCAUUCAAAUGGGGAAGCAGCAGAAGUUGUCGACGUUUAUAGUUUCCCAACAGAGACAAGAAAGUUUGAUUAGAUUUUCUAAUGACUGUAGCCAGGAAAAGGAGACUCCAUCUGUUGUUCCGCUGGGCGCUCCUACGGUAUUUUCUUUAGCAUACAUACUACAUGGGAAAGUUUUAAAUUCAAUCCUUUUGUUAUUGCAAUUUGCAUUGCAUGCAUAUUGUGUUUUUAGCAUAUUCUGAGUCUCCGAAAACCAUCUGGAACUGCAGAGUGGAAAUCCAUUCCUUGAAUCGGGUGCUAUUUCACUCAACCAAUCUGUUGGCAAUGGCUCUUUGAUGCUUUGCGCAACUGAGUAUCAGCCCUAUCCGCACUUCCAGCUACCGGCAUCAAGCCCCUACGAUAACUUUUUAAAGGCUGCAGGUUGUUGAUCCGUGUAGAGAAAGUUCGAUAGCCCUUGUAGCACGUAAGAAAUUGAGUGUUAACAGCACUGGAGCGAGCGGCAGUUGUAUCUGCAACAAGUUUGUGUUGUUCCCGAUUCAGCCAGCCAUGUUUUCUCUUCAUAUACCCACUGACUGACUGCAUUCAUUUAGUCAUCAAUUGUUGAUAGGGAGGUUCAUUUUUUAUAUCUUUUUAGGCUCUCCCUCACUUUACAUGUUUGAUAUUGUAAAGUAAGAGUUUUGCUCACUUGCACAUUUUUUCUUCACAAUCGUUCACUCGUGAAAAAGAAAAUGUGCGAGAGAUAAUUUUCAUGUAAAGUAUAAAGAUGUAAAAUAGGUAAAUUUCAUUUCAUAAGCACUGAUUUUCAUUAGUGUUUUAAAAAACUUGCCUCGAGGUGCGCCUAGGCGGCCUUGGAGGCGGGGCGGUAGCAAUUUCGCCUCUGUUUUCUGGGAGUGGGCGGAAACUCGCCUAGGCUUCGUUGCGGCACGCCUAGGCGGCCGAGGCACGCUUGAGGUGUUUGACUGGGUGUUCCCAGUACCCUUCAGCGACCCAAAUCUUGCUUGAAAUUUGAAGUUUUCUGGAAACCUGGUUCUGGUUCUGGUUCUGGGUUGCAGCAGCGUCUUCAUGAAGAAGAAAAUUGUGCGAAGAAGAAGGGUCGGUUUUUUUUUUCUUAUAAAGACAUGGCCCAAAACGACGCCGUUUUGGCCAAGUCUUUAAUAUUUUUAAUGACUUGGCCCAAAACGAUGUCGUUUUGGCCAAGUCUUUUUUUUUUUUAAUAAUUAUUAUUUUUUUAGUUUUUUUAAUUUUUUAAAGGAACAUUUGGUCCGUAUAUAUCAUUAUCAAGCAACACAAAUCGCAGGAGGUCUCAUCCUCCUUCACCACCCAAUACCCAGUACACGAUUCACCCAAUCCCUCGAACCCUAAAUUCUCGGGAUUUUCGAAAUGUUUUCGGAUUUCAGGAUGGAUAGGAAUUGGAUUUUGGGUUUUGGGCUUUUUGGGUUGAAAUUUGAGAUUUUUUGAAUUUGGGCUUUUGGCCUAAAAUUUUGUUCCUAAUUUCAUAUCAAUUGAAAUUUAGAUUUUUUACAUCAUAUUAAUUUGAAUUUGCAUACCAAUUCAUUCAUAACAAGUCAAAUGUGUUCCAAAAUUCCAAACUACUUAAUUUCAUACUUCUAUUUCUAAUAUAGUCUACUAUCAAACUACUUAAAUUCAACAUUCAACAAUCAACAAUCAUGCAACCAAUAUAAAUAAAUAUAUUUUUUUGGUUCGGUUCGAAUCGAUUUCGAAAAGUUCGAUAUUAAUGGUUUGAGAAUUUUUCGGUAUGGGGUAUCGGAAUUUUUUUGGUUUAGUUUGGGAUUUUCGAGAAAAAUUUCCAGCUCUAUGAGAGGAGGGUAAGAAAAGUAUAGAAUGUGAAAGUGUAUUUUGGAGUUGAGUGUUUUGGCUAAGGCGUCAUUUUUGAGUAUAUAGAUAAUUUAUAUUUUUUUUAGUACAUCGAUAUUUUAACACUAAGGGGGAGGGGGAGUUCGGCUUAGUCACACAAUGGGCAACCUAAUUUGAUAUCAAAUUCGUCAUCCACGAAAUUCGAACCUAAGACCUCUCACUUCCAAGUGAAGAGGAAUAUUACCAAACCAUAGUAUUGAGUGACAGAUAAUUUAUAGUUUUAGUUAGAGUAUUUUUCAUGAUAAAAAGAGUUGAGUAGCGGCAACUGUCCCCAGUCAGCAUAUGCCGCCUUUGUUCAUGUCCAAAUGUAUCAAAUAAGUAGACAGUCUCAUGAAUAUGUCCCAAUGUAUCAAAUAAAGAAGGGUGGGUGGGCAAAUGUUUUUAUUUUAUUUUUAACAAAUGAUAUUAUCUACACGGGGUGGGUUUAGCCUCAUGAUUGACCAGUAAUAACGUGGUUCAAAUUCACCUUUGGCGAGAAUUGAAUCUAAAAUCUCUCACUUACAAGUAAAGGAGAAUACUACUAGAUUGUAAUACUAAGUAGCGGGCAAAAGACUAUUUUUACCUUUCACAUACUCUUGUUAAUUUUUUGCUAGUGAUACUCUUUAAUUUAUUUAAUUCGACGAUCAAAAAUUAAGAAUAUGGUGUAAAAAGUAAAAAUGAACGUGUAUAUAGCACUAUUUUAAUUAAUUAAUUACUUUGUUUUCUCUAGAAUCUUCUUCGAUAGUUGAAAACCAAACACAAUACAGAUCCUCUUACUCUCUCCUCAUCUGUAUCUCAUCACACAAGUAAGUCCCGCUUUUUCCAUUUCUAUUUUCCGUUUUCUGUUUGUUUCCCGAGAAAAUUCCAAAGAAAAAGAAACCCUUCCUAAUUUUUGGUUUGGAAUUCGAAUGCAAUUGCAUUAAAUUUUGCGUCUUUGAUUUGGGUAUUUGCAGAAUUUUGCCAAGACCCAUUGGAUUAUAGAAGCUUGAAGUAAUGGAGGAUGUUCGGGAGCAGGCUGAGCAGGAAAGUCAACUACUUGGUAUGUUUAGUCAUACUUUUGGCCUUAAUUUCCAGUUCAAGUAUUAAUUCAUACUUUUUACACUCAAUCAAAUCUUCCAGCUACACUUGGUUACUGUAAAAGCAAAUAUGUCAAAUCUUAGACUCUUAGUAGGUUUUUAGCUUCAAAUAUAUGUCAAAUUAACCUGAUAAGCGGGUUUUCGAGUGAUUGAGUUGGGCUGAAUGAAUAAAUGAUGUUUUCUUCAGAACAAUUUUUCUAUAGGUGCAUUAUCGAGGCGGAAACUUAUUGUGUUUAUUUAUUACUUGAUAAGAUUUUGGAAAUAAUUUGUACAUCAAGAAGGAACGCAAUAGGUGGACAUUAUGAAUACCGCUUCCAGUACACCGAUUCAUCGUUCUUCCAUGCUUUUAUGUUGAGUAACUCAGAAAUCCUGUGUUCCAAAACUCAUGUAGUACAAGUGGGGAUGUCAGCUAUCUAGUCGCUGUAUAAUGUGCAGGGGAAAGAAGAAGAUUGUCGUUCCCCUCUGUGUAUGAGUGAAUUAGAUUUCCUUAUGGGGGCACUAUAAUUCAUAUAGGGAAUCCAUGUGAGCCUCGAAAAGGACCGUCAUAAUAUAGACUACUACUCAUUUUUCAUCUUGUUUGUAGGUCAAGAUGGUGAAAAUGAAACAGUAACUGAAGAUGCUACCUUCGUUCGUGGAGAACCUUCUCAAGAUGCUAAUGGCCCCCCAAAAGUUGAUUCCAAGGCGGAAAUCCUUCAUGAGAAAGUCACACAGCAAAUCAUUAAGGAAGGUUAUGGUCAAUACCAUCCAAGUAUUCAACAUGCUUCUGUAAGUGUCACGUGGUUUCCUUUUUGGUAGUGCUGUACUGUGUGCAUUAGUUGAAAACCCAAUAAUGUUAUGUGUGCAUGUAGUUGUUAGUGUAUAAGACAUGAAUGAGCUUGUGACUUGCAAACAGACACACACAACUUCAACGUUCAGAGAGUUGUGGAUGUACUAUUCGUAUAAGAGAAUUAAUUGCAUGCAUUAAAUUUUAUGAAAGGGAUGCCUAAGAUACAUGUAGAAAGGUCUUGAAGUGAAUUUUUACUCUGGUUUUUUCAAUCACUGAGUGAUUGGCAUAUGCGUAUAGGAGAAUUAUUUGUGCAUGCAUUAAAUUUUAUAAAAGGGAUGCCUAAGAUACAUGUAGAAAGGUCUUGCAGUGAAAUUUUACUCUGAUUUUUUUCAAUCACUGAGUGAUUGGCAUAUGUGUGAUAGUGCACUACAGGGCAUGGACUGAAAGCACGGGACACAAGUUUGAAUACACCUGGGAUGAACAACGACCACUUGAAAUGAUUUUAGGAAAAGGUAUUAGCCUUGCCGAGUAGUCUGGUACUUUUGAUAAUACAAAAUAUAUGCAAACGAGUUCUGGCACGUUCCUUGUUCAGUCUGCAAUUAGUUUUGUUAUUUCUUUAUUGCUUUUAUUCUCUGUAAGUACUCGUCAUUUCAGAUGAUUUGGGUCCAUAAGCAUUUAAGCAUUAUCUAGUGGUAUUAAAUGCAAUGGACUUCUUAUUAUUAGUAUAUUUUUGUUACUGCAACACAGAAAAAAGAAAUGACUGGCUUGGCAAUUGGGGUGUCCAGCAUGAAGUCUGGAGAGCGUGCACUAUUACAUGUAGGCUGGGAGUUAGGGUAUGGGAAAGAAGGGGGCUUUUCUUUUCCGAAUGUCCCACCAGUGGCAGAUAUAUCAUAUGAAGUUGAGCUUAUUGGAUUUGAUGAAACCAAAGAAGUAAGUUGCUUGCUCUCAAAUGUCUUCCCAAGUAGUUACCAAUGGAAGUUUCAAAAUGUCUUUUCCAGGGAUUUGCUUCAGUAAUAUAGUAACAUGUAUAUUUGUGGGUUCAGCCUUUCAUAGGGGAAAGCUCGUAGUGACAUGACUGUGGAGGAAAGGAUUGGAGCACCCGAUAGAAGAAAGAUGGAUGGAAAUGCUUUAUUUAAAGAGGAAAAACUAGAGGAGGCAAUGCAACAGUAUGAAAUGGUUACGCACUUGUAAUUCUUGCAUAUUUUAUUUGUGGCAGAUGAGCAUUUUUAUAUUUCCUUUCUGGCAUGAUUCUGGUGGGUUUUCUCAGGCUAUAGCAUAUAUGGGUGACGACUUCAUGUUCUAGUUGUUUGGGAAGUACAGGGACAUGGCAUUGGCCGUUAAAAAUCCAUGCCACCUUAACAUGGCAGCGUCUUUUAUAAAGCUCAAGCGUUAUGAAGAAGGCAUUGGACAAUGCAGUAUUGUAAGUAUGCUGCUAUCACAAGAAAGCCAUCUAAUUUCAUGUGUUCAGCGGUUGUGCUAUUCAUCAUUAGAUACUAGAAAGUUGGGUUUGUAGGCUUAUUUGGGAGUACAACUGCAUCCCAAGAAGUUUGAAUCUUCAUUCACUUUAACCUGCUAUUUUGGAUUGCCGUAGAAAAUGAAAAUGCUCUUAUUAUGGACCAGCGAAAAGUUGGUAGCCUUACCGGCACCAUUCUUCAUUCAAUAAUCGAAUUCUAGGUCCUAUGCGACUCGUAGGAUCUCUUUAUUAUGUUACUACCCAUGCUUCAUCCUGUCGUUCAAACUAUGUGGCUGUUAUAACUAUAACUUGUCAAUGCAACUAACGUCUAAUAAUUGAUUUUUCUGCGUCGUAUGGAGUCAGGUGAUAUUUACCUUUUUCAUGAAUACCCAUAAAUUGUCAAUGCAACUAAUGUCUAUUAAUUGAUUUUUCUGCUUCGCUUGGAGUCGGCAGAUAUUUAACUUUUCAUGAAUACCCUCAAAUUGUCAAUGCAACUGUGUUAACUGUAAUGGAUGAAUGAAUGCUCGCAGGUACUGGCAGAGGAUGAAAACAACGCAAAGCGCUAUUUAAGCGAGGAAAAGCCAGAGCAGAGCUUGGGCAGACAGGUGCUGCUCCGGAAGACUUUCUAAAGGCGCGCAAAUUUGCACCGCAAGACAAAGCUAUUGCAAGAAACAAAAAGAAAUCUACAAGGGAAUUUUCGGAGCAACCCCAGAACCUAAACCCAAACGGGAUAAUUGGUUGAUCAUCUUUUGGCACUGGCCGUUGUCAUUGUUCUAUCGUCUCUUCGGGCGCGAAAGGUAUAAAGCUGAGUAGUCAAAGAUCUUAAGCUCUUGAAUUGCAUGAUAAAUGAGGAAAUCCGUGUGUU
RNAcentral lists this long non-coding RNA (93351 nucleotides) under Malus domestica (apple). RNAcentral's name for it is "long non-coding RNA (MDOM_LNC006426)". Lineage: Eukaryota; Viridiplantae; Streptophyta; Magnoliopsida; Rosales; Rosaceae. The record is from RNAcentral.